CUGGUGGCUUCUCUCCCUUAGGUGGUUUGCCAACUGGGGUUGGUGGCUUGUAUGAGUCUUCAGCAUUCUCUGCAGGAGGGUGACCAGGGUUGUGACCAUAAUGUGGUGGCUUCUCUCCCUUAGGUGGUUUGCCAACUGGGGUUGGUGGCUUGUGUUCUGGGAGUGGCUUCUCCCCCUUGGGAGGUUUUUCCAAUGGGGUUGGUUUGUGUUCAGGAGGUGGCUUCUCCACUGGAGGCUUGUGUUCAGGAGGUGGCUUCUCCACCGGAGGCUUGUGUUCAGGAGGUGGCUUCUCCACCGGAGGCUUAUGCUCUGGUGGUGGCUUCUCCACCGGAGGCUUAUGCUCUGGUGGUGGCUUCUCGAAUGGGGGAUGCUUAGGGUAAUCAGCAAGUGAGGGGGCGGUGAGAACCACCAGGCCAAGCAAGACCACUAGCAAGUAUGUAGGAGACAUCUUUGGGUUUAGACUCAGAUGGUGCAAAACUAGGAGAAUUGUCUUUUAUAGCGGAUCGCACCCAAUAAUGAAAUGACACGUGUCUUUAUGACCCAUGUGUAAUGGGGUCGAUUUGGGUCCUACAGUGUUGAAAACUUCGACAUCCACUUUUGGCCUUUUGCUUUCUCUACAGCCGCCUUGCUUUUUCCCUCUUUCCUUUUGUUUUCCUCCUGCCCCAUUCUAUCAACUAAACACAAUUAUGUAGUUGUUUAAUUCUUAAAUGAGAUAUUAUCCGUCAAUCGUAUCAUAUUUUAUCAACAGAGAACGGAGUGCAAUGUGGCAAUCCAAAGAAAGAAGAUCCAUAAUGCAGCUGUAAUUUUAUCGUUUACUUUUAUCUCUUGGACCACUGCAUUUUUGUUAAGAGGUGCAAUAAUACACGUCUUUAUCUGCCAUUCAAUGUUUACAGUAAAGAGAGGGCACAAAACUCUUCACUGCUCUGCAUGUGUCCCAAAAAUGCAAUUGGACAAAUUAUGAUUUGCAUGCUAAAAAGAGGCAAAUGAGGUUAAUUCGCACCAUAAUUAUUUUGUUUUCUGGACCCCGGGGCCCUUUGGUUGGUUUGGGGGUCAGAAAAUGAACAUCAUAGGGGGUUUUUCCCUUAUGUGCAUUUGUAUCUGAUGGCUUUAACUCGCCUUGUUACUACAAAGAAAUUGUCACAUAUAGGAACUUAUUCCAGGCUGAGUAUCUCCGCAUAGACCCUAUAAAAGAAGACAAGUCAUAAUGAACAUCUAACCUUUGUUCAAUUUGAUUCAAUGCCCCAUUGUGUCCACCUCACAAAUCUGAAUUAUUAUAUCCAUUGAAUACAUAAAUUAAUGAAGAAAAUAUGAAACCCAAGAUACAUCUCUGCACAACCUCAACCCUGGUUGCUAUGUUUCCCUUCUAUUCACAUGAGGAUAUUGAUUACGGAAUAGGGAAACCUAGCAAGGGUUUACUCGGCUCUGGUUUGAUGCUAAUUGCCAAACUUGCAACAAGCCCUGAGUUUGAAGCUCACAGAAGAUGUUAUACAGGCAGGGAAAAACCUUCAGAGUUCGCUGCCAAAGAUAAUUAUUAAGGAGAUAUCACCAAGAGAAUUCCAAGGAGUCUGAAUCAAAGACAAAUUGGUCGUUCGUGGAGGUUCUUACUUUCUUUUGGGUAUAACUCACUGAGGGCACUGUCUUUUUUAUUUUCAUUUCACAUUUAGAGUUCUGUUCUGGAAACAUAUAAAAGGAGCAUCAGUUUGUUCUUGGGUAACCCAUAGUCGUGAGUGGGUCCAUUUGCAUGCUACUUAGUUGAAAAGUUGGACCAUUUGCUCCGACGCCUACCUCCUGGAUUCCAUGCUCGGAUAAAACAAGAAUAAAAAAAUAUUUAUAAUUUACAAAUGGGGGAAAGAAAAAAAUGUCAACAACAAACUAGGAAAAAAGAGUAGUAAAAUUCAUGUCACAUGCUAGUGAGAGAAGGGGUUGUUACACUCACUCGAAGUUCUUUUCAAAAUAUCGCAUGGUAUUUUAUUUUAUGUGUGAGCGCAGUUGUGAAUGGAACGUGCAAAAGUCCAAAUUGGUGACCUUUAAUAAAUAUUUAAAACAAAAAACGAAAAAAAGGAGGGAAAAGGGAUCAGAAAAGAUAAAACAAUGUGUACAAAAGCUCAAUUAGUUUGCAAAUUACUGUUUGGAUUUUGAUAGUAUUUUAUUUGAUGUAAAAGAGAAUUUAAGAUAUUUCCGAAACAAAAGCAUUAGUUUGCUCCAUGUCAAUUUCGGCAUUUCUCAUAUGUUUCACACAUACACAGAAGAGCAUCGUUUUUUAAAGCAUGCAUUUAUGUUGGAUUAAUUUGGAUUUUGUGGGAACUGGGGCAAGGAUCACAUGGAAGAGAGGUUGACUUUUUUCAGUACUUCAAUGGUUGAGACAGGUGAAGGCCUGAUUGAUACUGAAGCCUGAAAUUGCGACUCCGUCAUUUGUCAAAACAUAUGACAGCUUCCAUGCUCUCGUUUGGUUGCAUUGUUCUGUGGUCAUGCAUACAUGCCACUUAGUGAUCAGUCUGUAACUGUCAAUCAUUGGGCUUUGACUGAACAACAUCAGCCAUGUAUAAAUACUUGCAAAUCAAACGGUCUUCUUCCUCCCAUAAGGAAUUUCGGUUUAAUUAUGAAGCAUGCAUUUGGCUGACCAUCAUAAACCACUUCUUUAAAUUGAUGAAUGAUAGUUUUUCAUUCAUUCUUUCAUUCGUUCAUAUACAGAGUAUAUAUAGAGGGUAAUCAUCAUUCUAAGAAUGGGAAAGAAUGAUACAAGGAAAUAAUGAUAUAAAGAAAUAACAACUAAUAUUCUAAUAUCUCAACUUUCCUAAUAUCUAAACAUUCCUAAUAUCUCAACACUAAAUGAUAUAAAGAAAGAAUGAUAUAAGGAAAGCAUUCCUAAUAUCUCAACACUCCUCCUCAAGUUGGUGCAUAGAUGUCAAACAUGUCCAACUUGUCUAAAAAUUUUGAGAACAGUUGACUUGAGACAUCUUUGGUGAGGAUAUCGGUCAAUUGAUCUUCUGAUCGAAUCUUAGGCAAUUCCACAAUCUUAUCAUCCAACUUUUCCUUAAUGAAAAAUCUAUCCAUCUCGACAUGCUUUGUACGAUCAUGUUGUACUAGAUUAUGAGCAAUGUCACAUGCUGCUUUAUUGUCACAAAACAAUCGGAUUGGUUGCCUAGAUAGGUAACCUAAAUCCUAUAAGAGGAGUCUUAGCCAUAAUGCCUCACAAAGUCCUAAAGUCAUACCUCUAAAUUCCGCUUCUGCACUUGAACGAGCGACGACAUUUUGCUUCUUACUUUUCCAUGUCACAAGAUUACCACCUACAAAGGUAAAGUAACCAGAUGUAGAUCGCCUAUCAUCCACUGCACCGACCCAAACAGCAUUAUACUUCUAUACUCUGAUGAUCAACAUUUUUAGCGAACAAAAUUCCCUUCCUAGGAGCAUUCUUCAAAUACCUCAAAAUACGCAUGACUACAUUCAUAUGUUGCUCUCCAGGAUUAUGCAUGUAUUGACUCACUACACUCAAUGUAUAAGCAAGAUCUAGUCUUGUAUGAGCUAAGUACAUUAAUCUCCCCACAAGUCUCUGGUAUCUUCCCUUAUCGAUUGAUACUUGAUUAGGCUCAACACACAAUUUCAGACCUUCUUCUAUUGGUGUAUUAAUAGGUUGACAUCCCGACAUUCCAGUUUCCUGUAGAAGAUCUAAGGCAUACUUUCUUUGAGACAGAAAAAUUCCUUCACUUGAUCGAGAAACUUCAAUCCCAAGAAAGUAUUUCAGACGACCAAGAUCUUUCAUUUCAAAUUCUCUAGAUAGAUACUUUUGCAAAGCUUUUCUUUCUUCAGGAUCAUUUCCUGUAACUACAUGUCAUCCACAUAUAUCAUAAGUGUCGUAAUCUUACCAUGUUGCUUUUUCAAGAACAAAGUGUGAUUUGAAUUACUUUGAUGAUAGCCAAAAGCUCUCAUUGAUUUUGUGAACCUUCCAAACCAUGCUCUCGGGGAUUGCUUCAACCCAUACAAUGACUUCUUCAAUUCGCACACCUUCUGACAUUGCUUUUCUGACACCAUGCAUCCUGGUGGAAGAUCCAUAUAUACUUCUUCAGAUAAAUCGCCAUGCAGAAAGACAUUUUUUACAUCGAACUAUUGUAAUGGCCAAUCUAGGUUUGCAGCUAAAGACAAUAAUACUCGAACUGUGUUGAUCUUAGCUACAGGUGCAAAUGUCUCUGUGUAGUCAAUUCCAUAAGUUUGAAUGUACCCACUAGUCUUGCUUUAAAUCGUUCAAUACUACCAUCUGCCUUGUACUUCACAGUAUAGAUCCAACGACACCCAACUAGCUUCUUUCCUGGUGGACAUUCUACGAGUUCCCAUGUUUCAUUUUUCUGCAAUGAUUUCAUCUCUUCAUUCAUGGUUGCUUUCCACUUUGGAUCAGCUAAAGCUUCCUGCACACUAUUAGGAAUAGCUACAGUAGAUAAUUGAUUUACAAAUGACUUAUUUGAUUCAGACAAACCAUGGUGUGGACCCGCAUUUUUCACGUGCGCCUCUACUCGAUCGGCGAGACUCGCUUUCUAUUUGUGAAAAAUUAAUUUUAGAAAAGUUGGAGUCGCCACCUAUUUUAUUUUUAUUUUGAAGGGAAAAUAAAACAAGAAAGAAAAACCCUAAAAAGUGACUCCAUAGUUUUGGAAAAAGCAUGUCUUUGGGAAACCUGAGUCUAGGUCCGGGGAUCAUGUUACUUAUUGGGAAGGUACCUCUAGGAGGUAGCACCCCUCUAAGCCUUAUGAAGGUCUCUACUAACUAAAUUAAGGGAAGUGUGGCAAUAAAUCGAUUGAUCAUAGAUACCUAAGUAGACUAGGUGAUUUUAAAGUGUGGCAUGUCAAACACAAUCAAAUUGCAAUAAAGGAGAGUUAGGGCGCGUACCUGAACCGCUUCUCAAGCGCUAUCAUAAAACAUCAAUGGUUAAUUUAAAUAAUAUAUCAUCCAGCAUGUAUUUUAUUAGAAAUAAUCAAACAAUGAAACAUGUAUAUCAGAACACUCAAGCAUUAUUAGACAUAAGCAUUAUUUCACUAUUCACAGAAUUCAGAAAGUAGGUGAUAGAGGACAUACCUGGAUAGCAUAGAUAAUUUGUAAUGUGCUUCCUCAAGUUGUAAGGGGUUAGAUAACAAAUAAUAAAAUAUAGAAAUCCUAGCAUGCUCGUUAUCUAAUUAGCAUAGCAAAAGUGAUCACAGUAUACAGAAUCAUCAAUUAUCACAUACAUCUUGUAUAUAAUUCCUAAAAAAAAUAGAUAGACAUGAUUUCAACAAGUGUCAAAUGUGGCAACAAAAAUAAAUUUUGAAAAGAUUUUCUUAUGUAGGGGUUUCACCAAUUCCCCAAAUUAAUAUACACGAAUUUAGCUUAGAAUUAUCCCAUUUAUUUGGGACUACAAGCUUUGAUUCGUGUUUUUGUUCAAAACCAAAAAUUUUUGUUGAAAAUCAAGAAGGAUGCGAACCGAACAAGAUAUGGUUGCAUAUUAUUUUUAAAUAAAUAAAUAAAUAAAUAAAGGAGAUUUUGAUCCUGAGGACUUUAAUGAGUUUUUUUUUUUAAAAUAGAUUUUUAAAAUGAUUUUUUUGAGAAAAGUAUUUUAUUUUAAAAUAAAAGGGAUUAAUUUGGGAAAAAAAUAAAAUAUAAGAAAUAAAAUACCAAACAAAACAAAAAUGAAACCUCAAAGUAAAAUUUUUUUAGUAAUUAACAAAAAUGAUAAUGGUGAUGGUAGAGGGCAAUCUUCAUGAUUUUCCAAUGGCCUCAGAAAGAAAAUCAAAUUAAAUGAAGGAUCACUAACAGGCAAGACAUUCUAAAUUAGACAAACUAACAAAGUAUCAAUUCAUGAACUAACCGCUAGGAUUUUGAAAGCAUAUAAGCUAAGAUAAGGGUGAUCAGGAACUAAUAUUAAUGAUUUUGAAAUAAAAACUAAAAAAAAGGAUCAAUUCGGGUAAGGAACUAAAAUUAUAAAAGUACCUAAACUAAUUAUGACGAGUUUGACUAAAUUAAACUAAAAACAUGAACUUUCAAACAUAGAAUUAAUUUUACUAAUGAACCAAAGCAAACUAAAAAUAUGUACUUUCAAGCAUAGAAUUAAUUUUAUUGAUGAACUAAACUAUAACAAAUAUCUAAACUAAAUAUAAUGAAUCAAAUUAAAUUAAAGCAACUUAAAAACGCAAACUUUCAAACAUAGAAUCAAUUUUAUCAAUGAAUUAAAACUAUAAAUGUAUUUGAACUAAAUAGAUGAAUCAAACUAAAUCAGAGCAAAAUUAAAAAAAAAAAAGAACUUUCUAACAUGAAAUCAAUUUUAUCAACAAAUAAAUGAAUGAAUAACAAGUAAUUAAAAGAAUAGCUACUACAUGAAUAACUGAAUGAAUAAAAUUCAAAUGUUUUCAAUCUGAAGCAAUCAAUCAAAAUUAAAUAGGGAUCAAAUCAAAAUAAUCGAAAUCGGAAAAACAAUAUGCAAUCUUUCUAAAGGUUUAACCAGACAAUUGAAUUAAAAUUAUGAAUAGAAUAAAUUAAUAAACCAAAUCGAAACCUAAAUUGUACCUAAAAAGAUUAAUUAAUUAAACUAAGAAAUCAAAAUCAAUAACAAAACUAAACUAAGGAGUAAAUUAAGACAAGACUAAUUAAAUUAAACUCACAAACACGUUUUAACUAUCAUAUGGAUUAAAACAAAAUUAGCAUGGACUUAUGAAUUACGAACAAAAAUAAUCAAAACUAUUUUAAAAAACUCACCUCUAUUAUAAGAAAAAAUCUGCCUUUGAUGCGUUGAGGUGGCUCCCCUCUCUGUGUGGAUCUCUCUGCUCCCCAGAAAAAAAAUGUCUCUUCCUCCGUUCUCUUUUGUUUCAGCAAAAUAAUAUAUCCCCUGCUGUGGAUCUCUCUACUCCCAGAAAAUAAUAUAUUCUCUCCGUGUCCUAAAGUGGACCUAGGGUGCCUAAGUGGACCUAGGGUGCCUAAAUGGGCCUAGGGUGCCUAAAUGGGCCAAGUGUAUCUAAAUAGGCUUAGGGUGCCUAAGUGGGCCUAAGUCUAAGUGAGCCUAAGUCUAAAUCAAGACUACCAAGGAUCAUAAUAAGGGGUUAGGCAAUCCCUUAACCAAAGUCUCCAAGGUGGCUAAAAAAAAGUAAGUAGUAUGAGUAGCUAUGGGUCACCAAGGAACUACUGUGGAGCAUUGAAAACGAAUUUAAAGACAUGUGCCAAAGGGACAAAAUUGAGGGUCUACAGAUGGUUAGACACAUAGUUGCUCAUGGGAUAUUUGACUUUGGUAAACAAUUCAGAUUCAUAUGUGGGUUUAGGAAUACCUUUAUUAUGACGGUGUGGUAAUCGUUUCAUGAAUGGAUCAGGUUGCAAAUUAAGAACACCCUCAGCAAACAACGAUUGGUUUGGUAUUUCAGUGAAGACAUCUUCGAACCCAAAUUGUUGACCACUCAUAUCCAACUCACCCGCUUCCUGGUUCACUAGUUCAGAUUGUCCAAAUUCAUCAUUCUCAUAGAUAUGAUAAUCAUAAUCGAGAGUCUGAAUUUCCUUAUGGUACUCCCCCUGAAGUUCAGACUUAGAUGAAAAAUACAUCGAAUAUUCAUGAAACAGCNNNNNNNNNNNNNNNNNNNNNNNNNNNNNNNNNNNNNNNNNNNNNNNNNNNNNNNNNNNNNNNNNNNNNNNNNNNNNNNNNNNNNNNNNNNNNNNNNNNNNNNNNNNNNNNNNNNNNNNNNNNNNNNNNNNNNNNNNNNNNNNNNNNNNNNNNNNNNNNNNNNNNNNNNNNNNNNNNNNNNNNNNNNNNNNNNNNNNNNNNNNNNNNNNNNNNNNNNNNNNNNNNNNNNNNNNNNNNNNNNNNNNNNNNNNNNNNNNNNNNNNNNNNNNNNNNNNNNNNNNNNNNNNNNNNNNNNNNNNNNNNNNNNNNNNNNNNNNNNNNNNNNNNNNNNNNNNNNNNNNNNNNNNNNNNNNNNNNNNNNNNNNNNNNNNNNNNNNNNNNNNNNNNNNNNNNNNNNNNNNNNNNNNNNNNNNNNNNNNNNNNNNNNNNNNNNNNNNNNNNNNNNNNNNNNNNNNNNNNNNNNNNNNNNNNNNNNNNNNNNNNNNNNNNNNNNNNNNNNNNNNNNNNNNNNNNNNNNNNNNNNNNNNNNNNNNNNNNNNNNNNNNNNNNNNNNNNNNNNNNNNNNNNNNNNNNNNNNNNNNNNNNNNNNNNNNNNNNNNNNNNNNNNNNNNNNNNNNNNNNNNNNNNNNNNNNNNNNNNNNNNNNNNNNNNNNNNNNNNNNNNNNNNNNNNNNNNNNNNNNNNNNNNNNNNNNNNNNNNNNNNNNNNNNNNNNNNNNNNNNNNNNNNNNNNNNNNNNNNNNNNNNNNNNNNNNNNNNNNNNNNNNNNNNNNNNNNNNNNNNNNNNNNNNNNNNNNNNNNNNNNNNNNNNNNNNNNNNNNNNNNNNNNNNNNNNNNNNNNNNNNNNNNNNNNNNNNNNNNNNNNNNNNNNNNNNNNNNNNNNNNNNNNNNNNNNNNNNNNNNNNNNNNNNNNNNNNNNNNNNNNNNNNNNNNNNNNNNNNNNNNNNNNNNNNNNNNNNNNNNNNNNNNNNNNNNNNNNNNNNNNNNNNNNNNNNNNNNNNNNNNNNNNNNNNNNNNNNNNNNNNNNNNNNNNNNNNNNNNNNNNNNNNNNNNNNNNNNNNNNNNNNNNNNNNNNNNNNNNNNNNNNNNNNNNNNNNNNNNNNNNNNNNNNNNNNNNNNNNNNNNNNNNNNNNNNNNNNNNNNNNNNNNNNNNNNNNNNNNNNNNNNNNNNNNNNNNNNNNNNNNNNNNNNNNNNNNNNNNNNNNNNNNNNNNNNNNNNNNNNNNNNNNNNNNNNNNNNNNNNNNNNNNNNNNNNNNNNNNNNNNNNNNNNNNNNNNNNNNNNNNNNNNNNNNNNNNNNNNNNNNNNNNNNNNNNNNNNNNNNNNNNNNNNNNNNNNNNNNNNNNNNNNNNNNNNNNNNNNNNNNNNNNNNNNNNNNNNNNNNNNNNNNNNNNNNNNNNNNNNNNNNNNNNNNNNNNNNNNNNNNNNNNNNNNNNNNNNNNNNNNNNNNNNNNNNNNNNNNNNNNNNNNNNNNNNNNNNNNNNNNNNNNNNNNNNNNNNNNNNNNNNNNNNNNNNNNNNAACCAAAGGAAGCAUGUUCCAGACGUCGAUGCCACAACCAAAUUUCAGACUUUUUCUUCUCCUCCUUAGAUCCAUCUGCCAUCAAGGCUUGUUGCAACUUAUUUGAAUCCUUUGAUUGCAAGUCCAAGUAUAGAGUUUCCCCCGCUUAAUACGACAACCAAUCGUCUGUCUUGUUUGAAUGUCCUUAAUCACACAAAAUUCAGGCCAAAAAAUGACAAUACAAGAUAAGGCUGCAGUGAUUUGAGAAACUAACAAAAGAUUGUAAUCUAAAGAUGGAACAACUAAAACAGAAUCCAAAUUCAAAGUAUCAGUAAGAGUUAAGGAUCCUUCCCCAAUGACUGGGGUUGUGUUACCAUUGGCUGUGGAAACAAUUUUUUGUGAGGAAGGUCUAAGGGGUGAAACCUGUCUAGAAUCAAAAGUCAUAUGAUCUGUAGCACCAGAAUCAAUUAUCCAUGCACUAUUAAUAACAGGUGUAAAAGUAUUUAAAAACUUACCACAAUGAUCUGUAGCGGCUACUAAUGCAGAGACUUUCUCAACAACAUUAGUCUUUGUUUUUAUUUCGGUAACAGUUGCAAUCAAGGUUUUCUUGGAAUUCUUCUUCCGUUGAUCACGAUUAUUAUCAUUAAUAACAAAGUGUUGAUAGCCUAAACAUGAUCUAAAGGUCCAUGGUGCAAACCCUCGGUUCCUCAUUGUUUUCCUGGUCAUACCAAGAGUUGUUGCUUUGAAAUUGUGGGAUAUCCAGACUGGUGGGAUCAGUUUUAUUGCAGUGAGUGCAUUUGAAUGUUGACUUAUCAAUAUUAGGGCUUGUCUUCGGAUGGUUGAUUGCUGUUGGACUACCAUAGCGACAAAAUAUCCAGGAUUUCAAUUCCAGGGCUCUGAUACCAUCUUCAAAUUGAUGAAUGAUAGUUUUUCAUUCAUUCUUUCAUGUACAGAGUAUAUAUAGAGGGUAAUCACCAUUCUAAGAAUGGGAAAGAAUGAUACGAGGAAAUAAUGAUAUAAGGAAAUAAUAACUAAUAUCCUAAUAUCUCAACUUUCCUAAUAUCUCAAUAUUCCUAAUAUCUCAACUUUCCUAAUAUCUAAACAUUCAUAAUAUCUCAACACUAAAUGAUACAAGGAAAGAAUGAUAUAAGGAAAACAUUCCUAAUAUCUCAACACCACUUCAUGAUAUAUAUAGUUUCUUACCCUUAAUCAAUGGUUUCUAAGUGAAUUUAUAUAGAAAGAAAUCCAAACUGUAGACAGCAGUAUUGGUAACACUCAAUAUUCUGUAUAUAAUAGAAUAAAUAGCGUCACAGUGAUCGUCGCCUACAAGCAAGGUACAAAUACCACAAAGAGUGACCCACAUAGACAUUCCCCAACAAGAUGUAGUAGUGACUGACACAUAGCCACAAUUAACACGUAGAAAAGGAUAAGACCGGUGCACAGUAGCUCUUAUUUUACAUACUACUUAUGCCAACCAAAGUCACUCAGUUGGGAUGGGAGGGAGAUGGAGGUUUGUGCGGUGGCUUGUGGGGCGGAGUUGAUGGCUUCUUUCCAGGAGCUUCUGGCUUUUUCAUCGGAGCUGAAGGAGGCUCAAUCUUAUGAGGCGGCUUGUACGAGUCUUCUUUGCUCUCGAAAGGAGGGUGGCCAGGGUUGUGACCAUAAUGUGGUGGUUUCUCUCCCUUGGGAGGUUUACCAAUUGGGGUUGGUGGCUUGUGUUCUGGGAGUGGUUUCUCUCCCUUGGGAGGUUUAGUGGGUGACUUGUGUUCUGGAGGUGGCUUCUCCACCGAAGGCUUGUGCUCCGGUGGUGGCUUUUUGGUUGGAGGGGGCUUGGGGUAAUCAGCAAGAGAUGGGGUGGUGAGAACCACCAGUCCAAGGAACAACACUAGCAAGUAUGUGGGAGACAUUUUUGAGUUUGGGCUGAUCAGAUGAUGCAAAACUAAAGCAUUACGUGACCUUUUAUAGCAAGUAGCUCCCAAUACCUACUUGACACGUGUUACUGUGACCCAUAAAUAUUAUGGGGUCUAUUUGUGCCCUACCGGGUUGAAAACUUGGACAAUUGGGCAAGGACCCGCCUGACUAUGGAGGACUACUGAGGUGUGAUCACAGCUUUAGGAUUUUUCUUCCUCUGCAGCCGUCUUGCCGUUGGCAUGAUUUUCUUAAUCUCAAAUAAAGGCAUAGUUAUAGAGUUGUUUAAUCUCUAAAUGGGAUUUUAUAUAUCUUCAGAUAGCCAUUAAUACAUUUGAUGAAGAAAGAAAGACAAGUGCAUACAACAUGUAUACGACUAGCUUUCAUGGAGUUCAUUUAUGAUCAGUUUUCCUGUACAUGUAAACCAAGAUCAUAUAUGUUUUUGUUCCACAACAAUUUUGGAAUCUUGUUUAUCCGUUUUUAUCAUUAUAAUGUCACAUAGGCUGCCAACUUGGGCGCUAAAUUAAAGAUCCAGUUGGGCAAGUUCGUUUCAGAAUUUCAAUGGUGGAUUCAGGAAUUGUUUUAUAAGAUAUGCAAAAUAGUAGAGGGAUGAAUAGUGUUUCAUUAAGAAAAGAGCCCUGUAAAAAUAUUGUUUAAAGGUGCCAUAGAAACUAUAAUCAAUAAAUAACUUUUUUUCCCCAUGGGUGGUGUUUCUUGUGGGGAUCAGUGACUGGUUUGAGUCAACGCCGUGUCUCUUUAGUCCAGAAAUCAACUAUUUUAUGCAUUGAAUACAUCAACAAAGAAAAUAUGAAAGCCAAAUGACACCUCCCCCGCAAAAACUAAACCCUGGUUGCUAACUUUCUAUGUUUCAGUUCCAUUCACACAAGAAUAUUAGUUCAAGUUUGAGAAAAAUGGCGACUUACCUAGUGAUAACUCGGUCUUGGUUUGCGAUUUGACUUUAACGUCAUGGGUUGAAGCCUCCUACAAUCAUCGUGUAUGCUAGUUCAAAGCUCGUGGAAGAAGUUAUACAGGGAGGGAGAAACCUCCACAGCAAGCUCCAAAAGAGAAUUAUCACAUUGAAAGCUCCAGUUGAACACUGGGUGAAAGCCAUAACAAGAUUGGUUUUCUAUCGCUCUUUUAAGUAAUGGAAGAUUAUUAUCUCUGCUUGUCACUACAACCGUGCAUGCUGCUAGAUCUUUCUAGACACUUCAAACAGUGAAACCAAGUAUGAUUCUUUUUCUCUUGAGUGGGUCCACUUGCAUGCCAAUGAACGAGUUGAAAAGUUGGACAAUUGGCCACAGCGCGCACUUACCUUCUGGAACCGAAGGUCAGUGAAGUGGGGUUCCUUUUGGCCCCUUGUGUUUCUGUUCCAACCUACUCCAGGAACCGAAGUUCAGUGAAGUGGGGCUACUUUUGGCCUCUUGUGUUUCUGUUCCAACCAAACAAAAAUGGGAGGGAAAAAUAGCAUUAUGCUUGUGCUAAAGAUCAACGCAUGAUAGCUGAAUAAGGGAGAAAAAGGCAUUGCUAUCUCAAUUUCAUAAACUUGAUAAGUAGUGACAUUAAUAGUCUUCCUCAUAGAUGGAUACAUGGUUUUAUUUUAUUUAUUUAUUUUUAUUUUUUUGUUUUAUGUCAAUGCUAAUGAAUGAAGUGCAUUAGCUUGUUUUGUGACUAGAACUACAAAUGUCCAAAUUGGAGCUUCUCCAAUAUAUUUCUCAGUGAGUUAUUGAUUAGAACUCUUGGAUUGAGUUCCAAGAUUUGAAUCAGACCCCUCUAGCAGCUUCAGGGGUACGUAGCAACCUAUAGCAUAUUAAUGAAGACUUAGGAUUUAGACUUAGGAAUACAAAUUAAUAUGUACCUCAUGCUCUGACUAGCUUCCCUGCGUAUGCACAAAAUGGAGAUGACUCCCAAAAAAAUAGCAGAAUCGCCUUAGUAUGUUUUUGUGGUUAAGAUGAUUCUCCACUUUAUAUAUCCACAUUGGUUCAUUAUGCAAAUUAAUCAACUAAGCUAUUUUUAUUUUUUCUUAAAUGUGAAAUAGGAGCUCCAAAUUAACCUAACCAUUGGCCUGAUUGAAUUGAUUUCACUUGCAUAAUGUUAUAGUAGAAGUCCGUAAUUUGAAUUUUAUUUUUGCAAAAGGUAACGUAAAUGAAGCAUUGUAAUUAAAUUUAUUUGUAAUUACAAACUAAUUUUAUUUUAUUAAGAAUUAAUUUAAUUACUCAUUUAAAAUAAAAAUCAGUUAUACUUUUACCAAGAUGAUAAUAUUCAUAUUUUUCUAGUUAACAUAUAUAAAAUAGUACACUUUUUCAUAUAAAAAAAUAAUUUAUGAUUUAUUAUAAUGUUACUAUUCACAUUUUACUAAAUUGAUGGUACAUGAUAGUGAGAGAAGGGGGUGUCACACUCAGCUAAAGUUCUUUUCAAAAUAUUGCAUGGUGUUUAAUUUUAUGUGUCGGCGCGCGUGUGAAUGGAACCUGCAAAAGUCCAAAUUGGCGUUUCUCCAUUUUCCACAUAGGAUGGUGACGUUAAUAGACAAAGAUACAAUAUCUGUAGACAUUGCUUAAAAAUCGAUGUGAAGUAUUAGAAAUUACAGGGCACUGUACUGGGGGAGCGGCUGCCCCGCCAAAGGAGGAAGAAUGUAGCAAUUUCUUCUGUUAGCCAGGCCUUAGGAUUUAUGCAUGGGAUGCCUAAUAACAAACAGAGAAAAUAUACUUUUGGGGAAGGUAUCCAACAACAGACACCAUCAUUCAGAUGGUGGGAAGGUAUCCAACAGAUGCCAUCAUUCAGAUGGUAACAUAUAUAUACAUUUAUUAGUGAGUUUUUUUAAUACCUAUAAAAAAAAAUAUACACUUUGAUAUUGUGGCUGAAUCCAUUACAUACUCAACUAACCUUGCUCAUUAGGGAUUUGACUUAACAAGGGCAACGUUGCAGUACAAGCUCAAAACUUUAUGCAGGUGACAUUACAUUUGGUAAAGAAGAGGAAAAUAACGAAAGCCAUCCAUAAAAGCAAAAUUCCACAUGGGAUGAAAUUCACAAGCUUCAUUUACGAUAGAGUCGCAUCCAGGCAAUUAAUUCCACAUUAGACCGCCUGUUGACAUGUGUACCAAUCUUUUUUCAAAAAAUAUUUAUAAAUAAUUGAUACUCACAAAAAUAAUUUAAUAUUUAUAAAGGAUAAAAAAAUAUUUUCAAAUCUAUAACAAUUUAUAAAAUAUUAAUAAAAAAUUAUCUCUUAAACUUAGUAUAGUUUUAUCAGAUUAAACUUUUAUUUUGAACAAAUAAUUUUAAUCUAAGUUUUAAAUUCUAAAAUUAUUUCCUUAAAAUAAAAUUUUAAAAUUCAACACUUCAAUUGAAAUUGUCUUUUUAAAAAAUAUCUUCUUAUUUUAAUCCUUAUAAACUAUAGUUGAUUGAAAAUACUAUUGAAGUUCUCUCUUAAAAAAAAGUCUUAUUUUAAUCUUCAUAAAUUGCCCUUGAUUUGAAAAUAAAUUUUCAGUUAUCAUAUUUUAAAUAAUAUCUAUAUUUAAAAUACUCUAUUUAAAAAAAAAUGAACUAAUUUUAAUUAUAUUAUAUUUUAUUUUUUUAUAUAUUUUUAAUGAUAAACCAAACAUAGAAAAUCAUUUUUCUAAAUAUUUUAAAAUUUCUAAGCAACCAAACAUAAUCUUCAAAAUAAAAGGAAAAUAAGGAGGGACAUUUGAGAAAUGGCGAUUAAAAAAAAGUGUACAAAAGCUCAAUUAAUUUUCUUCUAGUCUUUUAUAUAAAAAAGUAAAGGAAUUGAAAAGUAUUGAUAUGUAAAUUAAUAUUUGGAUUUUAAUAGUAUUUUAUUUGUCUUUCUCUAUCUCAUGUAAAAGAGAAUUUAAGAUAUUUCCUAAAGCAAAGCAUUAGUUAUCUGCAAUCAGUGGUGAUCAUGCCCCAUGUCAAUUUCGGACCCAUAUCUUAAAACUGUAUAAUUUGCAUUCAAACAUUACUGAUUUCUCAGAUGUUUCAUACUCCACAGAAGAGCAUUGUUUGUGAAAGCAUGCAUUUAUGUUGGAUUUUGGAUGAUGUGGGAACUGGGGCAAGGAUCAUAUGGAAGAGUGGUCGAUUUUGUUCUGUACUUUAACAUUUGAAAUAGGAGAAGCUCGGGCAUUUGUGGGGCUUAAUUGAUUUUGAAGCCUGAAAUUGCGUUUCUGUCAUUUUGUAAAAAAUAUGGCAGAUUCCAUGCUCUCAUAUGUUUGGUCUGUGGCCAUGUAUAGAUGCCCCUUAGUGACCAGUUUGUAACUGUCAAUCAUAGUGUUUUGACUCUGGCUCAACAACAUCAGCCAUUGACGGAUUUUCAUACUUGCAAAUCAAAUAGUCUUCUUCCUCCCUUAGGAAUUUCGGUUUAAAUGUUAUUAAGCAUACAUUUGGCUGACAAUUAUUAACCACUUCAUGAUAUGGUUUCUUACCCUUAAUCAAUGGUUUCUAAGUGAAUAUAUGCAGAAGGAAAUCUGAACUGUAGACAGCAGUAUUGAUAACUCUCAAUAUUCUUUAUAUAAGAGAAUAAACAACGUCAUAGUGAUCGUCGCCUACAAGAAAGGUACAUUUCCCAACAAGAUGUAGUUGUGACUGGUACAUGGACGCAAUUAACUCGUACAAAAGAAUAAGACCAGUGCACGGCAGCUCUUAUUUUACAUGCUAAUUAUGCUAACCAAAGUCACUCAGUUGGGAUGGGAGGGAGAUGGAGGUUUGUGCGGUGGCUUGUGGGGCGGAGUUGGUGGCUUCUUUUCAGGAGCUUGUGGCUUUUUCGGAGCUGAAGGAGGCUCAAUCUUAUGAGGCGGCUUGUACGAGUCUUCUUUACUCUCGACAGGAGGGUGGCCAGGGUUGUGACCAUAAUGUGGUGGCUUCUCUCCCUUAGGUGGCUUGCCAACUGGGGUUGGUGGCUUGUGUUCAGGAAGUGGUUUCUCUCCCUUGGGAGGUUUACCAAUUGGGGUUGGUGGCUUGUGUUCUGGGAGUGGUUUCUCUCCCUUGGGAGGUUUAGUGGGUGACUUGUGUUCUGGAGGUGGCUUCUCCACCGGAGGCUUGUGCUCCGGUGGUGGCUUCUCCACCGGAGGCUUGUGCUCCGGUGGUGGCUUCUUGAUUGGAGGGGGCUUGGGGUAAUCAGCAAGAGAUGGGAUGGUGAGAACCACCACUCCAAGGAACAACACUAGCAAGUAUGUGGGAGACAUUUCUGAGUUUGAGCUGAUCAGAUGAUGCAAAACUAGAAGAAUUACGGGACCUUUUAUAGCAAGUAUCUCCCAAUACCCACAUGACACGUGUUACUAUGACCAUAAAUAUUAUAGGGUCCAUUUGUGCCCUACCGGGUUGAAAACUUGGACGCUUGGCCGAGGACACACCUGACUAUGGAGGACUAUUGACGUGUGAUCACAGCUUUUGGAUUUUUCUUCCUGUGCAGCUGUCUAGCGGUUGGCAUUAUUUUCUUAAUCUUAAAUAAAGGCAUAGUUAUAGAGUUGUUUAAUCUCUAAAUGGGAUUUUAUAUAUCUUCAGAUAGCCAUUAAUAUAUUUGAUGAAGAAAGACAAGUGCAUACAACAUGUAUACGGCUUGCUUCAAUCGAGUACAUUUAUGAUCAGUUUUCCUGUGCAAGUAAACCAGUUUUUUGUUCCACAACUAUUUUGGAAUCUUGUUUAUCAGUUUCUAUCAUUAUAAUGUCACAUAGGCUGCAAACUUGGGCACCCAAAGAUCUAGGUGGGCAAAUUUGUUUCAGACUUUCAAUGGUGGAUUCAGUAAUUGUUAAAAGGUGUUUCUUCAUUAAGGAAAGAGUCCGGUAAAAAUAUUGUUAAAAGGUGUCAUAGAAACUAUAAUAAAUAAAUAACUUCUUUUCCCCAUGGGUGGUGUUUCUUCUGGGGAUCAGUGACUGGUUAGGGUCACCCAAAAUGAGUCCAGAUUAAAAUUGGUUCGAGUCAAAGCAGUCUCUUUUGUCCAGAAAUCAACUAUUUUGCGCAUUGAAUGAAUCGAUAAAGAAAAAAUGAAAGCCAAAUCACACCUCCCCUGCAAAACCUAAACCCCGGUUGCUAACUUUCUAUGUUUCAGUCCUAUUCAUAUAGGAAUAUUGGUUCAAGUUUGAGAAAAAUGGCAACUUACCUAGGGUUUACUUGGUUUUGGUUUGCGACUAUUUACGCAACCAACCAUGAGUUUGACUUUAACGUCAUGGGUUGAAGCCUCCUACAAUCAUGUAUGAUAGUUCAAAGCUCGUGGAAGAAAUUAUACAGGAAGGAAGAAACCUCCAAAGCUAGCUCCAAAAGAGAAUUAUCACAUCGAUAGCUCCAGAGAUUCCCAAGGGAACUGAAUCAAAGACAAGUUCCUCACUUUUUCUUCUUUUGAGGCCAAAUAUGAACCAAGGAUCACACGACCUCAUUCAACUUCAUAAGUUUGAUUUCAUGCAGUUGAACACUGGGUGAAGGCCAUGACAAGAAUUGAUUAAAAAAUUCUACCACUCUUUUAAGUAAUGGAAGAUUAUUAUCUCUGAUUGGCACCACAACAGCACAUGCUGCUAGAUCUUUCUAGACACUCCAUGCAAUGAAAGCACAAUGGAUCUUGUAAUGAUAGAAACUAAGCCAUGCUACAGUACUAGAUGAGGGGGUAAAACUAGUAGACAUCUUUCUAGACACUCCAUGCAAUGAAAGCACAAUGGAUCUUGUAAUGAUAGAAACUAAGCCAUGCUACAGUACUAGAUGAGGUGGUAAAACUAGUAGACAUGGCUGGCAGUUGAUUACUACUCAAAAAGUACUCUUUUAUAGCUUGAAACUAACUGUUUUAAACACUUUUGAGUAGUAGUUAAUACCUUUUAACUUAAUUGGCACAUUAAGGAACCUAGCAAGGGUUACUAAUCAACAUUUGGCAAGUUUUGAUGUUUUUGGUAGCUAUUUGAUCAUUGAAACAAGCCAAGAAUGAGGGGGAAUUUUGUGAAGUCCAUGGCAAUGCAAGUUAAAGCUCAAAUACAUGAAGAAUCCAAGCUUUGGAGCACUUCAUAGCCCUUUGCCAAGCCAAUCAAAGAUGCAAGGAAGAAAACCAAAGGAAGAAAUCCAACAAUCAGCAUUUUGGCAUGGCUAUGUGAAAUUUCGCACACCAUGCGAAACCACAAGAGGCAGCCAAAGAAUUUCGCAUGGUAUGCGAAAUCUUCUUGUGCACUGACUCUGUUAGAUUUUUAUCUUCAGAUAUUUUGUGUAAUUUCCUAGUUUCUCCUUGUAACCAACUUAGAUAUUUUCUUUUAUAUCUUUUUUUAUAUUUUUUAGGUAACAUCAUAUAUAAGAGGAGAGACAUAAGGAGGAUAUGGAUGUUUUUCAUAGAACACUUGUAAAUUUUUGGUAGUAAGAAAUAUACAAAGCUUUUUGCUCUGCCUUACCUUCUCAAGGGAUGAGUGGCUAGGUUUUCUUGGAGUGAGGGAAGCUAGGUGAAGGACCUGAAUGCAAAGGUGGGAGUUUUCCUUACUUUAAAUGAAAGUAGUUGUUAAACAUUAAUGGUUUUUAUUUUAAGGUUUAGCUUUAAAUCCCUGAAAAACACCUUGAAUGGCCAAUACUUGGUAAGCUUUUUAGAUUCUAUGGAUGCUUAUUGCUAGAUCCAUGGAUGUCUAUUAGUUAUCAUUUACGAGCCAUUGGAAGGUGAUUCAAGGUGAGGGUCUUUAGUGUUUGAAGCCAUUAAUGGGAAGCAAUUACCAUUUUUUCAUGAAUCCUUUGGAUCAAAUCUUAAUUGCUAAAUAUAAAACCGGUUUCGAGAGAUAACCACCAUCCUUUAUGUUAUUAUCCCCAACGCGAGGAGAAGAUCCGAAAUCUUCCUUUUUAUCUAAGGAACCCGAUCCUAGUGACCUAAAGCUCCAAGAUACCUUUUCUUUGUAGUUAACUUCAUUUAUUGUUUUUGCUUAACUUAAAAUCAAUCUUUGCAACCACAAUUCCAUUUUCUUUAAAAGCUAAUUUUUAUAAGGAAAAACACCAUUUUAUUUCCUUCACUAAGUCAACUGUACGAUGAAAACCCAUCCCUGUGGACGAUCCUAGAGCCACUAUACUAUGUUAGCUAUGCUACCCUAGUGUGAGGUGAUUUAGGUUUUAUAAAUUUUUUUGAUAACACCCAUCUGAGCCAGAAUCAAAUGGCACGACUGAACCAGGGACGAAUCAAAUGACGCCGCUACCAAGGAUGGUGCCAAAGUACAUUGACAUGACUUUUGGUGAACACUUGUGAUCUUCACCACAAGUUUGGUGAUUUUUCUUUUACUAAUUUUUUUUAUUUUAGCUUAUCUUUUAUUUAGUUUUUAGUUAACCUUAAAUUUUUCCUAGAAUUGUAUUUCUUUUGUUUUCUUUGUUUUUGUUUCAGUGAUCUUUAGUUGUGCAUGCCCUAUUGGAUAAGAGAUAUUGAGGGAAUACUUGUGAAGAUUGAAACUCCUCGAGAAACUGAGUUAGAAGUGUGCUUGAACAUCAUGGAUGUUCCACCUGAAGACCAGAAUAGCCAACAUGGUUAAGAGGAUAAUUUCAACACAUACCGAUCCAUGAGGAACCGCAUACAUCCACCUUGUAUGAGUGCACCGUCAGGCAUAAUGCCUCCCACUGAGCAGCUAGUAAUCUGACCUCACAUUGUGCCACUCCUACCUACUUUCCAUGGGAUGGAGAGUGAGAAUCCCUACUCGCAUAUUAAGGAAUUCGAGGAGGUUUGUAAUACAUUCCAAGAAGGAGGAGCUUCAAUUGACUUGAUGAGGCUCAAGCUAUUUCCUUUCACUUUGAAGGAUAAGGCCAAGAUUUGGCUUAAUUCUUUAAGGCCAAGAAGUAUCCAAACUUGGAUUGAUUUGUAAGCCGAGUUUCUUAAGAAGUUCUUCCCUACCCAUAGGACCAAUGGUUUGAAAAGGCAAAAUUUGAACUUCUCAGUUAAAGAGAAUGAGAAAUUCUAUGAGUGUUGGGAGAGCUACAUGGAAGCUAUUAACGUUUGUCCUCACCAUGGCUUUGACACAUGGCUCUUAGUGAGCUAUUUUUACAAUGGUAUGUCUUCUUCAAUGAAGCAACUCCUAGAAACUAUGUGUGGAGGAGACUUCAUGAGUAAGAAUCCGGAGGAAGCCAUGGACUUUUUGAGUUAUGUGGCUGAAGUUUCAAGAGGAUGGGAUGAACCAAAUGCUAGAGAGGUGGGAAGAAUGAAGUCUCAACCUAAUGCUAAGGGUGAGAUGUAUGUUUUGAAUGAAGACAUUGACAUGAAAGCAAAGGUUGCAGCUAUGGCAAGGAGAUUGGAAGAGCUAGAAAUGAAGAACAUACAAAAAGUGCAAGCCAUUUCUGAGACAUCAAUGAAAGCUAUGCCUUGUUCCAUUUGUCAAUCUUAUAAGCACCUAGUGGAGGAGUGUCCUACAAUUCCAGCAGUGAGAGAGAUGUUUGGUGAUCAAGCAAAUGUUAUUGAUCAAUUCAAGCCUAAUAACAAUGCUUCAUAUGGCAACACCUACAAUUCAAAUUGGAGGAACCAUUCAAAUUUCUCUUGGAAACGAAAGCCACCUCAAUACACACAACCUACUCAAGCACCUUAGCAAUCCUCGAAUCUUGAACAAGCUAUUGUGAACCUUAGCAAGGUUGUGGGAGACUUUGUGGGAGAUCAGAAGUCCAUCAAUGCUCAACUGAAUCGGAGAAUUGACAGUGUGGAGAGUACAUUGAACAAAAGGAUGGAUGAGAUGUAAAAUGAUCUGUCUCAAAAGAUAGACAAUGUCCAAUACGUAAUCUCAAGGCUUACCAACCUCAACACAGUGUAAGAGAAAGGAAAGUUUCCUUCUCAACCUCAUCAAAAUCCUAAGGGUAUCCAUGAAGUAGAGGCUCAAGAGGGAGAAUCUUCAAAGGUGAGGGAAGUCAAAGUAGUUAUCACCUUGAAGAGUGGUAAAGAGGUUGAUCAACCCACAUCCAAGCCAAAGCAUAAUGAAGAGAGUGUAGCAGAAAAAGAAAAGAGAGGAAAAUAAAGGAAUUAGAAUAGAGAAAAAUACAAAGAAAGAUGACCAUGAGUCUAGUGUGGAUGAAGAGCCCGAGAGGAUGGUGAUCAAGGAAGAUAUGAUGAAGAAACACAUGCCUCCACCUUUCCCCUAAGCUUUGCAUGACAAAAAAAGAACCAAUAAUACAUCAGAAAAUUUUGAAGUAUUGAGGCAAGUGAAGGUCAAUAUCCCUUUGCUAGACAUGAUCAAACAAGUGUCGACAUAUGAAAAAUUCUUGAAGGACUUGUGCACUGUAAAGAGAGGGUUGAAUGUGAACAAGAAAGCUUUAUUGACCGAGCAAGUGAGUUCCAUCAUACAGUGCAAGUCCUAGUGAAGUACAAAGAUCCGGGUUGCCGUACCAUCUCAGUGAGUAUUGGAAGGACUUGUGUGGAGAAAGCUUUGUUGGACUUGGGAGCAAGUGUGAAUUUGCUAUCCUACUCUGUCUAUAAGCAGUUGGGAUUUGGAGAGUUGAAGCCAAUAUCCAUCACUCUAUCUCUAGCGGAUAGAUCAAUGAAGAUUCCAAGAGGGAUGAUCGAAGAUGUCCUGGUUCAAGUUAACAAAUUCUACUAUCCAGUAGAUUUUGUUGUUCUUGAUAUGGAUCCGGUUGUCAAAUGAACUAAUUAUGUUCCUAUCAUACUUGGAAGACCCUUCCUAGCUACAUCAAAUGCAAUCAUCAAUUGUAGGAAUGGAGUCAUGCAACUCACAUUUGUCAACAUGACAUUAGAGCUCAACAUCUUCCAUUUGUACAAGAAGCAUAUCCAUCAGGAGGAAAAAGAAGGUCUAGAGGAAGUGUGAAUGAUUGACACUUUAGUGGAAGAGCAUUGUGAUCGAGAAUGCAAAAAGAUUUAGUUGAGAAUUUUGGGGAUCUUGAUGAAAGGUUACUUGAACCCUCAGAUUUGCUUGCUACCCUACUCCAUUGGAAGAGAAGAGAAGAAAUUCUACCCUUAUUCAAUGAGGAGGAGACGCAAAGAGCUGCAAAGGAGAAACCCCCAAAACUUAUUCUUAAGCCACUACCCACAGAGUUGAAGUAUGUAUACUUGGAAGAAGACAAGAAGUGCCCUAUUGUUAUAUCUUCAACUCUUACCAUUCAUCAGGAGGAUUGUCUACUUGAAGUCCUUAGAAGAUGUAAGAAGACAAUAAGGUGGCUAAUUUCUUAUUUGAAAGGGAUCAGCCCUUUAGUCUGCACCCAUCAUAUUUACAUGGAGGAUGAAGCUAAGCUAAUUCAUCAACCUCAGAGAAGGUUGAACCCUCACAUGCAAGAGGUGGUUCGAGCUGAAGUUCUGAAGCUACUUCAGACCAGUAUUAUUUACCCCAUAUCAAAUAGCCCAUGGGUGAGUCCUACUCAAGUUGCGCCAAAGAAGUCUGGGAUCAUGGUGGUGCAAAAUGAUAAGGGAGAAGAUGUCUCUACACGCCUCACUACAGGUUGGAGGGUGUGUAUCAAUUACAGGAGGUUGAAUGCAGUGAUAAGAAAGGACCAUUUCUCAUUGCCCUUUAUUGAUCAGGUGCUUGAGAGGGUCUCUGGGCUUUUUUUUUUAUUGUUUCUUGGAUGGCUACUCCGGGUACUUUCAGAUAGAAAUUGAUGUUGAAAACCAAGAUAAGACCAUUUUCACAUGCCCAUUUGGAACCUAUGCAUAAAGGAGAAUGCCUUUCGGCUUAUGCAAUGCACCCGCAACUUUCCAAAGAUGCAUGUUAAGCAUUUUCAGUGAUAUGGUGGAGCGUAUUAUGGAAGUCUUUAUGGAUGAUAUCACCAUUUAUGGAAGUGCAUUUGAUGAAUGCUUGGUCAACUUAGAAGCUGUUCUGAACCGAUACAUUGAGAAAGACUUAGUGCUUAACUGGGAGAAGUGCCAUUUCAUGGUACACCAAGGGAUUGUCCUUGGGCACAUUAUCUCCAAGCAAGGCAUUGAAGUUGACAAAGCAAAGGUUGAACUCAUUGUUAAGUUGCCAUCCUCAACAAAUGUCAAAGGAGUAAGGCAAUUCUUUGGCCAUGUCGGGUUCUAUAGGAGGUUUAUCAAGGAUUUCUCUAAGCUUGCAAGGCCUCUUUGUGAAAUAUUGGUGAAUGAUGUUAAAUUCAUAUGGGAUGAUGGAUUUGAAAGGAGUUUUGAAGAAUUGAAGCUAUUUUUGACAACCGUACCAAUAGUGAGGGCUCCCAACUGGCAACUGCCCUUUGAAGUAAUGUGUGAUGUCAAUGAUUUUGCUAUAGGAUUUUUUCUUGGGCAAAGAGAAAAUGGAAAACCUUAUGUGAUCUACUAUGCGAGGAAGGCAUUGAAUGAGGCACAAAGAAACUACACAACCACCGAGAAAGAAUUGUUAGCUGUAGUUUUUGCCUUGGAUAAGUUUCGCGCUUACUUGGUGGGGUCCUUCAUCAUGGUUUUUACUGAUCACUUUGCUUUGAAGUAUCUGUUGACUAAGCAAGAUGCUAAAGCAAGGCUGAUUAGAUGGAUUCUCUUACUUCAAGAGUUCAAUCUCCAUAUCAAAGAUAAGAAAGGAGUGGAGAAUGUGGUAGCAGACCACAUUUCAAGGCUAGCUAUCGCACAUAAUUCCCAUGCUUUGCCCAUUAAUGACGAUUUUCUAGAGGGGUCUCUCAUGUUGGUGGAAGUUGUCCCUUGGUACGCUCACAUUGCUAACUACCUGGUCACGGGAAAAGUUCCAAGUGAGUGGAAAGCACAAGAUAAGAAGCACUUCUUUGCAAAAAUUCAUGCCUACUAUUGGGAAGAGCCAUUUCUAUUCAAGUAUUGUAUGGAUCAGAUAAUAAGGAAGUGCGUUCCUGAAGAAGAGCAACAGGGGAUCCUUAGUCAUUACCAUGAAAAUGCAUGUGGAGGCCACUUUGCUUAUCAAAAGACAGCCAUGAGGGUGUUGCAAUCGGGUUUCUGUUGGCCAUCACUUUUCAAAGAUGCCCACACCAUGUGCAAGAGUUGUGAUCGAUGCCAGAGGCUUGGGAAGUUGACACGCAGGAACAUGAUGCCUUUGAACCCCACUUUAAUAGUUGAUAUUUUUUAUGUUUGGGGCACUAACUUCAUGGGACCUUUCCCUAUGUCUUUUGGCUACUCUUACAUCUUGGUAGGAGUAGAUUAUGUUUCUAAGUGGGUUGAGGCAGUCCCAUGCAAACACAAUGACCAUAGAGUGGUUCUCAAGUUUCUUAAAGAGAAUAUCUUCUCAAGAUUUGGGGUGCCCAAAGCCAUAAUUAGUGAUGGGGGUACUCAUUUUUGCAACAAGCCUUUUGAAACUCUCCUAGCCAAGUAUGGGGUGAAGCAUAAGGUAGCUACACCUUACCACCCUCAAACUCAUGGACAAGUUGAGUUAGCAAACAGGGAGAUUAAAAACAUAUUGAUGAAGGUGGUGAACACAAACAGAAAAGAUUGGUCAGUCAAGCUUCUUAAUUCACUAUGGGCAUAUAGAACAACUUACAAGACCAUUCUCGGGAUGUCUCCUUAUCGCCUAGUUUAUGGCAAAGCAUGCCAUCUCCCUGUGGAAUUGGAAUACAAAGCUUGGUGGGCAAUCAAGAAGCUCAACAUGGAUUUGAGCAGAGCUGGGUUGAAGAGGUUCUUAGACCUUAAUGAGAUGGAGAAAUUGAGAAAUGAUGCCUACAUCAAUUCAAAAAUUGCAAAAGAAAAAUUGAAGAGGUGGCAUGAUCAGUUGAUUUCCCGCAAGGAUUUUCAAAAUGGACAAAGAGUCUUACUUUAUGACUCUAAACUCCACAUCUUUCCGGGCAAGCUGAAAUCAAGGUGGAUAGGUCAUUUUACCAUUCACCAAGUGCAUUCAAAUGGAGUAGUGGAACUACUCAACUCCAACAAUAUCGAGAACUUCAAAGUGAAUGGCCACCGUCUCAAGCCCUUUGUGGAGUCUUUUUCUCACAACAAGGAGAAAUUCAUCCUCCUUGAUCCACAUCAAGCUUAACAAGACCAAUUUUCUUGAUGGACUUAGUCUUUCUAAAGACUAUCGAGUCCAUAACUUUUUGUUUUAUUUUUUAUUUGAGAUUUUUUCGGUAUUGUUACUUGUUUUGUUUUUUAUUUUUCGUUUUAAUUUUAUUUGGUUUGAUUUAACUUAGGUUUUUGAUGAUCAAUUACAGGGGGGAUUUCAAAUAGAGGAAAAACCAAGAUAAUUCGCACACCCUACGAAAAUUUCGCAAGGCAUGCGAAAUUUAUGGCUUAUUUUGCAUGGGGUGAAAAUUUUCGUACAUCUUACGAACCAAUUUCGAACACUUUGCGAAAAUAAACCAACCCUGCGAAAUCAUUUCGAUUACUCUACGAAAUUUUCGUAGAGCAUGCGAAAAAUUUAGCACACCAAACACCAUUUCGCAUACUAUGCAAAAACCUAAGGGGUCUGCGAAACCAUUUCGCACCUCCAAAUCCAUUUCGCACAUUGUGCGAAAACCAAGAGGCGCUGUGCGAAAAUGAAAAGUCGCCCUGUCAUCCCUUUUUAAACCCCUCGAGCCCUAAAAUCUCCAUUUCGCAAGCACCCCUGUCCUUGCGAAUCCCUCAUUUUCCUCUACUACCUUGCAACCUCGUCCCUUUCCAUUUGAUAUUGUGCCCCGCGCACAUCUCAUUUCAGAGACUCGCACUCCGCGCCCCCUCAAAGCAUGGACUCGAGACCCACCUUCCAUUUCCGACGUGGCACGGACCCAAGGAGCCCUUUCUGCCCCUUCACUAAGACACACACCAAGGCAGAAAGCCUCCUUUGCUCAAGUGCCUAGUGAUUCUCCAUCUUAGGCCUCAGAGGCCUCGGAGGCCCCGUGGAUUCCACCUUCCGAGGGUAGAGCAGCCAUUGGUCCUUCCUCUUCUACUCCUUAGCGUAGAUACGAGACGAGGAGACCACCUACUACACAAGGGGCGACUACUUCGAGCCUUGAGAAUUCAGUACGAUGCCUUCCUGCCAAGAGGGUCAAGACUUCAGGUCCAAGUGAGUCAUCCAGAGCUUCAUAGCCUAAGCCUCCUGUAGAUUCCAAGGUUCCUACUGACAUAUCACCGGAGUCUAUUAUCAGAAGCCCGAUGCUCAUAGCACCGCCCAUUGAGGGCAACUCAGAUUAUAGAGCGAGAUCUUUCCACUUGGAGCUAUAUUUUGAUCAGGAGGCCAUACGACAGCAGCCUGAGCUCCGAGACUCUUAUGGCUUACUGCAGAGGUACCAUCUUGAGGAACUUAUGACUCCUCGUGAGUUUUUUUAUCCCAGAGUAGCACUAAACUUUUACCAGUCCAUGACUACUCGUGGCGUCCCGAGUCCUACCACGAUUCACUUCACCAUUGAUAGACGUCAUGGUAUCCUCAAGGCCAGACAUAUUACAGAGGCUCUACAAAUUCCUUUCGAGCUAGAGGAUCCAUCUGUUUUUCGCUAAUGGUCCCCAGUAUCUCAGAGGGACAUGGUCCGUAUUUUAUCUAGGGGAACAUCUACAGAUUCGAUCUUUCUACGGAAGGAGCUUCGACCUGGGAUGCUCCUCUUAGAUGUGGUGCUAUGCUCCAACCUCUUUCCCUUACAACAUUCGGUACAUAGGUGAUGAGCUAUUUUGGACGCUUUAUUCCGUAUAUCAGAGGGCUUCUACUUUGGCCCGCACCACUUGAUCAUGGUCUCCCUCAUCCACUUUGAGGAGAAGGUUCAUAGGAAGAAGCUUCAGAGGGUGGACACCAUUCCAUUACUAUUCCUGAGGUUACUUUGCCAGGUCUUGGAGUACAUGGGCUUUCCUACUGAGCCUCGGCUCGAGCUUUGCCGCCUUUGUCGAGAGUGAUCCACUCUCGACAAAUGGAAUUAGUUGGCGGGCUAUUCUGCACCUCCAGGAGCCCCUCCCAUGGUAGCACCUCCAAUGUCCCCACAGGCAAAGUAGGGCGAGCUCCCGGCAAAGACUGUACCACCAAUGCCCACACUUGAGGCUAUUUCUGCUGCUCUGCCUAUGACUCCUACUGUUCCACCAGUUGGUCCUUUUACAUCCGAGCCUUCCAUCACCAUCUCGGCUUCGGAGUUUCGCGCCCUUGUGCAUACCUUUCAGACACUCACCACCACACAUACUCCUCUCUUCUAGCAAAUGGUUGAGAUGUGUGCCCAUCAGGACCGGAAGACUACUAUACUCUGCCAAAUUCAGCAGCACCUAAGACUUUUGCCUCAACCUCAACCUAACCAUCCCAUAUCAUCAGAGCCUCUAGCUCCAACUGAGGAUACUAUUCCACCUGAGAACACUACCACAGUAGAGGUCCGGUUUCCACCACCUUAAGAGGCCACCACAGCUACAUCAGAGGAUGUGUCAUCUCCACUUGAGGCUCCCACUACUUGAUCAUAGGACAUAUCUUUAUCUUAUUGUAUUUACAUAUUAUAUUACUAGAGAUUUGUCCUUGUUUUGAUACUUUAUAUUCUGGGAUUGGAUGUAUUGCCUGAUGAUAUCUCAAUUGUACUUUCUCAUAUUAAUAUAUAGACAUCAAUUUUUUUUAGUAUACUUAGCAUUUUUCUAUUUCCUCUACUCAUUACUCUUUUGUUUUUUUUUACUCAUGUGGUUUCUCUUAUACAACUCAGACUCCAUUUCACUCAGGAGGUACCACUUCCUCCCUUUAUUUUCAAUUGCUCUUGAAAUAUUGAGUGCAAUGUUGAUCUUGGUUGGGGGGAGAGUUGAGGAAGGAAGUUUUGUUAAUAAUGCUAGGUUAAUUUGUUAAUUUAGUUACUUUCUGCUUAAUUUUAAAAGUUUUCACUCUACUUUCCAUGGUUAUUAAGGAAAAAUUCUCAAAAUGAAAUGGGAGAAAUCGAAUUCUUGCAUUUUUACUUGAAUCUUAGAAUUUGUAUCAUGCUUAUUAAAGUUGAUGAAUUAUUGAAACUCCUAUUGAAUUCAACCUUAUUUUUUCCACUUUAAUCUUACCACACACGGUGCACAUUAGGUUCCAGUUAUAAGAUAAAAAACUAUCUCACCCCCUAAACUUAGAAAAAUUUACACUUGGUACCUUUGACAUCGUUUUAAUAGUGUUGGGACACCUUAUAAAAGGCCAAUGAGCCUUUAAAAAAAAAAAAAAAAAAAAAAAGAGAAAGAACAAAGUAUUGCACUUGCCUUGAAACCUGAGCAAGAUCCGAGGGGUAUACAGUGAAAGUCUUUAAAACCUGGUGCCCUAAGCCUUGAUUGGUUGGGAGUCACCGACCUCAAUGCUCGUUAUAAGGGUGAAUAGGUGGAGUUUAACAUAUUGUAGGUGCUUGGGUAUUGAAUUUCAAUCUCAAAAGUCCGGGAAAAAAUCUAAGGAGUUAGUGGUCAAAAGAUCCUUAAAGCUUGAUGCCCUAAACCUUGAUUGGUUGAGAGUCAUUGAUGGAUCCCCGCUACAUGGACAUUUUAGAAAACAAUACCUUUAGCAUUGCACGCCUACAAUGAAAAAAAAAUGUGAAAUAAAAGAGGUGCGUUCUUAGCCUAUUGGAGGUUGGUCAGUUUGCUAAAGUUUGAGAAAUCUAGGUUGGGGGGAGAGAAUAGUCCGACAUACUAUAAUAAAAAACUAAUAACCUUAACACUUAGAUUUUUGUGGAAGAGUAAGGAUUGGACCUUUAGGGGUGGAAAUUCUUUUGAUGCUUAAAUUUGCAUAAUGCCUACUCUUUAUAAAUUAUGAUUAGGCAAGAGAUUUGAUGACUCUUGUUCAAAGUUGGGUUUUUCCUCUUUGAUGUUCCAUGAGAGAGUAUAAUCCUCAUCAUGCCACUUGAAAUCUUUUUGGAGUGAUUAACAUGAUUUUGUAAAUUAUUUUACUGUCUAUUUUUCUUUAUCUCUCUUUUAUUGCUAAUGGACUAGCAAUAUGUCAGUUGGGGGGAGUGAUUACUACUCAAAAAGUACUCUUUUAUAGCUUGAAACUAACUGUUUUAAACACUUUUGAGUAGGUGUUAAUACAUUUUAACUCAAUUGGCACAUUAAGGAACCUAACAAGGGUUACUAAUAAGUUUUUGGCAAGUUUUGGUGUUUUUGGUAGCUAUUUGAUCAUUGAAACAAGCCAAGAAUGAGGGAGAAUUUUGUGAAGUCCAUAGCAAUGCAAGUUAAAGCUCAAAUACAUGAAGAAUCCAAGCUUUGAAGCACUUCAUAGCCCUUUGCGAAGCCAAUCAGAGAUGCAAGGAAGAAAACCAGAGGAAAAAAUCCAACAACCAGCAUUUUCGCAUGGCUGUGCGAAAUUUUGCACACCAUGCGAAACCACAAGAAGUAGCCAAAGAAUUUUGCACACCAUGCGAAAUUUCGCAUGGUAUACGAAAUCUUCCUAUGCACCAACUCCGUUAUAUUUUUAUCUUCAGAUAUUUUGUGUAAUUUCCUAGUUUCUCCUUGUAACCAACCUAGAUAUUUUCUUUUAUAUCUUUUUUUUAUAUUUUUUAGGUAACAUCAUAUAUAGGGGGAGAGACAUAAGGAGGAUAUGGAUGUUUUUCAUAAAACACUUUUAAUUUUCUGGUAGUAAGAAAUAUACAAAGUUUUUUGCUCUGCCUUACCUUCUCAUUUUGUUUUCACCUAUCUUUCUAGCCAAACAACCUCUGAGAAUGAUUUCUCAGGGGAUGAGUAGUUAGGUUUUACGUUUCUUGGAGUGAGAGAAGCUAGGUGAAAGACCCAAAUGCUAAGGUGGGAGUUGUCCUUGCUUUAAAUGAAAGUAGUUGUUAAAUAUUAAUGGUUUUUAUUUUAAGGUUUAGCUUUAAAUCCCUUAAAAACACCUUGAAUGGCCAAUACUUGGUAAGCUUUUCGGAUUCUAUGGAUGCUUAUUGCUAGAUCCAUGGAUGUCAUUAGUUAUCAUUUAUGAGCCAUUGGAAGGUGGUUCAAGAUGAGAGUCUUUAGUGUUUGAAGCCAUUAAUGGGAAACAAUUACCAUUUUUUCAUGAAUCCUUUGGAUAAAAUCUUAAUUGCUAAAUAUAAAACUGGUUCGGGAGAUAACCAUCCUUUAUGUUAUUAUGCCCAAUGCAAGGAGAAGAUUUCGAAUCUUCUCAUUUGUCUAAGGAACCCGAUCCUAGUGACCUAAAGCUCCUAGAGACCUUUUCUUUGUAGUUAACUUCAUUUAUUGUUUUUGCUUAACUUAAAAUCAAUCUUUGCAACCACAAUUCCAUUUUCUUUAAAAGCUAAUUUUUAUAAGGAAAAGCACCAUUUUAUUUCCUUCACUAAGUCAACUGUAUGAUGAAAACCCAUCCCUGUGGACGAUCUUAGAGCCACUAUACUAUGUUAUCUAUGCUAUCCUAGUGUGAGGUGAUUUAGGUUUUAUAAAUUUUGUUGAUAACACCCGUCUGAGCCAGAAUCAAAUGGAACCACUGAACCAGGGACAAAUCAACAGCCUAUAUGGGAGGGACACAAGUUUAAUUGAUUUGCAUUUCAGCGUUAUAGAUAAGUAUGUUUUGGAAGAUUUGUUCUGGAAAUACUGCACCAAGUACGAUUCUUUUUCUCUUGAGUGAGUCCAUUUGCAUGCCAAUUAACGAGUUGAAAAGUAGGAGCACCUACCUCGUGCUCAUGGAACCGAAUGUCAGUGAAGUGGGGCUCCUUUUAGCCUCUUGUGUUUCUGUUCCAACCAAGGCGGCGUAGGGAAAAACAACAAUAUGUCUGUGCUAAAUAUCAACGCAUGAUAGAUGUUUUUUUUUUUUUUUUUGGUAUGUCAAGGCUAACGAAUGAAAUGCAUUAGCUUGUUUUGUGACUAUAACUGCAAAUGUCCAAAUUGGAGUAUCUCCAUUUCUCACUUCGGAUGGUUAACUUUAUAAACAAGAUAUAGGAAACAUGUGAACAUCUUGAGGAACAAUUCAAAUUAUUCAUUAGAAGUCCUGGGUUAAGUUCCAAGAUUUAAAUCAGACCCUUCUAGCAGCUUCAAGGGUACUUAGCAACCUAUAACAUAUUAAUGAAGAUUUAGGAUUUAGACUCCGGAAUACAAAUAAAUAUGUAUCUCAUGCUUUGACUAGCUUCCCUACAUAUGCAUAAAAUGGAGAUGACCCAAAAAAAAUAGCAGAAUCUAGCUUCCCUACAUAUGCACAAAAUGGAGAUGACCCAAAAAAUAGCAUAAUCGCCUUAGUUUCUGUGGUUAAGGUGAUUCUCCGCUUAAUAUCCACAUUGACUCAUUAUGCAAAAUCAACUGAGCUAAUUUUAUUUAUUUAUUUAAUGUCAAAUAGGAACUCCUAAUUAACUGAUUACUGUCGAAAAGUGCUAUUUUGUAGACCUAAUUAUAAGGGUUUUAAGCACCUUUGAGUAGUAAUCAUAUUCAUUUAACCUAAUUAAUUCAUUAAGCUCCUUAGUAAUUAGUUCUAACCAUUUUUAGUGGCAAGUUUACAUGUUUUUCAUCAGCUUAUGAACCAAUUCAAGCAUGCCAAUUGAUGGAGGAGCUACUUGGGCGAGUUAAGCAAGGAUUUUGGACGUUUACAGGCUUGAAUUUCAAGUGGAAACACGAGCACAAGCAAUGGGAACACCAUUUCGCAAGGGGAGGCAAUUCACCUUGCCAAAUGACCAAUUUCGCAAGGGGAUUUUCCUCAUGGUGCAAAAUUUGGUCAUUUCGCACCAUGAAGAAACCACCUUGCAAAAUUUCGCAAGGUGGAUUUAGGCACCUUGCGAAAUGCCAAAUUUCACAAGGUGGCUUUUCACCUUGCGAAAUUUGGACCUUUCAUCUUCCCCCCUUGCGAAAUGCCUUUGAAAUCCCCUGUUUUGAGACGCUGUUGAUGAUAUUCCACUGCCGGUUCUCCAAGAUAUUUUGCUUGACUUUUAGCUUUAUAAAUACCUAUUUUACCCUUGUAAUCAACCAAUGAAAAGGUUGCUUUUGUAAUAGCUCUUGUAAUUUAGCUUUUUAUUGUCUUUAAAUAGAGGUGAAGAGCCUCAGACACGAUCAUCUUGUAACCUGUAACUUUAUAAGUUAUAAGAGCACUUUUGUUCAUACGCUUCUUUUCUCUUUUCUUUCUCAUUUUCUUAGUAGCCAAACAUCCUUGGAGGAUGAAAUCCCCAAGGAUGAGAGGCUAAAACCUUUUAGUUUCUUGAAGUAAUGGAUGCCAUGUGAAGCUCCCGUGUCAGGAUGGAGAUUUCCAAGCCAUAAAUGUAAGUAGCUGAGCGUCAUAAAUGUUUUCAUUCAAAGUAAAGCUUUUAAUCCCUCUGACUUGCUUUGAAUGGCCAAUACUUGAUAACCUUUUGGUCUCAAUGGAUUCUUAUUGUUAGAUCCACUGACGUUCAUUAGUUAUCUCCUACGAGCCAUUGUAUUGCAAGUCGAGGAGAUGACCUAUACCAAUAAAAGAGCAUUUAUGAGGUUCAACUACCCUUUUUGUAAGUUUUCAAGGACUAAAACUCAGUUGUUAAACUCAUACCGGUUCGAGAAGUAAGCAUCACCUUAGUUGCUUCCCCAACUCGAGGUGAAAAGUCCCAAAAUCUCCAUUUUUACACAGUGAGUUAAGCAUGGCUAUCCAAAGCUUUAAGAAACUUCUUUUUCCAUCUUUUAACCUAUUUUCAUGUUAGUUUAGUUUACAACACCUUCAUCUUUUUAUGUUUUCAUCUUAACCUAAUUUUUAUUAAGAAAAGUUCACUCCAUCCUCCGAACUUCACCAGUUAAAGUAAAAACCCUUCCCAGUGUUCGAUCCUAGAGCCACUAUGCUAUAGUAGCUUUGCUACUUUAGUGUAAGGACCUUAGGUAUAAAUUUUGUUGAUACCCUUACAUGCCAAGCUACCAAGAGUCGGGUUAUCAUUAACCUAACCAUUGGCCUGUGUAAAUUGAUUUCACAUGCACAAUGUUGUAGUAGAAGUCCAUAUUUUGAAUUUUAUUUUUGUAAAGGUAAGGAAAAUGAAGCAUUGUGUAAUUAUAAAAAUAACUUCAUUGGAAUUCACAAGGUUCACCCAAAAUGGAGCUACAUCUGUAUUCUAUCCUACAGUAGACUAUAUAGAUUGUACAAUAGUAAAUUGCAAAUACAAUUAAUAAGUCUUGUGCUUCCUUACUAAUAAUCCUUUGACAUGAACAUUGCAGCACUAAGGUCCUCUUGGGAAGACACCUUGCACCCAUGAGAGCACUAAGAGGAAGCAAGGCAGAGUCAUGGGUGCAAUGUCAUGACUUGUUGUUGCACCAAGAGAGGCUUGGUGAUGCCAUGGUGUUGCAGUAGCAAGAAUGUUGCCUUGGCAGGGACACGAUCUAGGGAUAGAUGCCAAGAAAGGCUUAGCACUCACAUGAGUUGCACAAAGAUGAAUGUAAUAGAGCAUCAGAGAGACGUCUUGGCAAGUAAAUGAAUGGAUCCAAGAGACAACAACAUGAGGAGUUUCAAAUGGAUAAGGAAUGACUCAAAGACAUUUGAAAGCUACAAGUUGGAUUCUAAUUACGAUUGCAAUUUGAGUUUGAGUAGGAGUUUAGAUUUUGAUUGUAAUUGUAGUAUGAGUUGGACUAGGAUUGCUUAUCCUUAGUCAAUAUAGGAGCGGUUCGUGUCACCCUAUGAAAAGAGUUUGAGUAGGGACUAGGAUUGCUUACUCCUAGUCAAAUAUGGAGUAGGUGGUGCCACACCUAUAAAAAAAAGGGACAACAUGAGAGAGAGAGAGAGAGAGAAAGAGAGAGUGAAUUCACUAAAGAUAUUGUGGGAGUUUUGCUUUGUUACGUCUUGUAUUAUUACUUAGAAUAGGAAUAAAAUACAAGUUGGGGCUAGAGCCCCAUAAUUAAUCUCGUGUGCCUUUGUGGUUAUUCUUUAUUUGUCAUCUCGUGUGGAUUGGAUUAGGUUGACUUAGAGGGCUUCUAAGCACCACCUUUGUGGGUUAUUAUUUAUUUUCCAUCUCUUGUGGAUUAGAUUAGGUUGACUUAGAGGGCUUCUGAGCACCACCUUUGUGGGUUAUUAUUUAUUUUCCAUCUAUUGUGGAUUAGAUUAGGUUGACUUAGAGGGCUUUUAAGCACCACAUUUGUGGGUUAUUCUUUAUUUUCCAUAUCGUGUGGGUUGGAUUAGGUUGACAAGGAGAAAAAUUAUGUGGGAAAUUUGUGUUGGGACACUUACCAUAACCAAGUAAAAUCUACCAAGUCCUUUGUAAUAUCUUCAACAAAUAUUUUAGACUAGUUCUUUCAGUUAGUGUAAAGGAGGAAGAAGUGGUAUUGAUUCUAGAAAUAGGGUGUGUGUAUUUGAACUACAAUCCUUAUGAUCCUUAGGUCUCUAAACCUUCGUGAUGGGCUCCCUGACAUUUCAUAGGUUGUGCUACACAUGCGUUUGAAAUUUAGAGUGCGUUUGACAGUGAUUCCGGGAAGUGUUUUUGGCCUUUCUUACACUUGAAAAUUUUUAUUUUUCAAGUAUUAGAAAUGCUACAAACACUUUUGAAAAUUACUGUCAAACACACUCUUAGGAGCGCACAUAUAUAGUAGAAAACUAGAAAUUGUGGUUUUUUUAGGAUUUACUGUAAUGUCAUUAGGAGGGUAGUAAGUUGAAAUUGAGUAUGAACAAAUAUUUCUUUCUUUGGGAUGUUCUUCUAGUAGGUGCUGAUGAAACUGUUCUUUCUACUGCCAAUGUCACAUAUCAGCCAGAAAUUGAAAAUUUCAGUCAAGGUGUCCUCUGUUUUAGUGGUGAGGAAAGCUAGAAAUUUUAAGGUGAAGUUUUGUUAAAAACCUUAAGUAGCUGGGAUAUCAGGCCUGUUUUGCUUGAAAAAAAAAGUUGCAAGAUAACUCAUAUGCCAAACAGGUUCUGAUAUUGUGAAUCUAUCGGCAGACAUCAGUAAUCUCAUCUUCUGAGAUGGAUGUUGGGGGUGCAUGUGGUGGUGGAGGGGCAAGGUUUCAUUUGGUUUAUUUUGUUGAUGGAUAUUGUCUAGCCACCUGCGCCAAGUUUGAGGGGUGGUGGGUUGUGAUGACCCUACAAUUACUAUUAAUUUCUUCAUCUUUUACCGAUUAAAGUGUCCGAACAGUCGAAGUUACCCUUAUGCAUGUCAACUUGAUCACUUACCUCUUCAAUGGAGUUUAUGCUGGUUCAUUUAGGAACUGAUUUUUAUUGUUAUGUAUUAUAUGCUGAUGUUUAGGUCUCUCCAUCAUCACUAUAUACAAAAAUUCUAGGUUGAUACUAUAGGUUGAGAUUUAUUUUUUAAAUAAAAAAUAAUAAAAAUAAAAAUUAUGGUGAUGUUUAGUUGUUUUAUGGAAAAUUUUAACAAGUAAAAGUUAUUUUUGGGCAAGUUUUCAAACAAAAAGAAAAGUAAAAGUUGUUUUGACAAAAACAUAUAGAAAAAAAAAUCAUAGAAAAUAAAUAAUUUCCCCAUAUUCUAACUUUUUUGAAUUUUUCUCAAUGGGCAAAGGAAUAUCAAAUCAAGUUUGAGUAGGAUUUCUUAAUUUUUAAAAUAACUUACAAUUAAAAAAUUUUGGUGUUUUCAUUUUUGGACAAUUUUUUAUUAAGCAAAUGGACUCUGAGUCAUGCAAGAGAUAUGGUUCAUUAACCGGUCGAACAAUUUUUUUAAAUUAAUUUAAAAGUCAAAUACAUAAUCAAUUUCACAAAAUUUAUAAACAAAAAUAGGUUUAGAGAAGAUCUACACAUAAUUUUACUUUUCUAAUUUUAUUUUAUUUUAUUUUUUGUUGGAAAAUAGUCUUCAAAUCAUGUAAGAUUUAAUAGGUUAAAUUUGUUAACAAUAAAUUUUAAAUUAUAAAAUAUAAUCUGGAACUCAAAAAUCAAUUCAAGUAAUGCUAAAAAAAAAUCAAAUUUGGUAUAGAAUGACUUUGUAAAUUUUUUUACAAAACAAAUGAAUUUUAAAUCAAGUGAGAUUUAAUGCAUUAGAUUUUUAUCAAAUAUAGUAAUUUUAAAAAUAAAUUUGGAACUCAACAAUAGACACAAUAAAUACCAAAAAAUAAUGAACCAAAAUUGGUUUGGAAUAACUCCACAACCUUUUUUUUUUUUUUUUGGUGCACACGAAUUUUCUUACUAGGUAUAUUGCUUUCAAAUUGAGAAAGAUUUACCAUUUAGAUUUUUUUUUAAUGAGUUUAAUGGUAUUUUAAAAUAAUUCAAAAUUUAAAAAAUUGACUAAUUAAUAUUAUAAAUUGAUAAACCAAGACUAUUUCAAAAUGCAUUGGGGGCUAAGGGGGUUGAAAAUAGGGACAAUGGGAUGGGUUUGGGACAUGACACUCAUAUCUCAUUUCCAUUCCAAUUACACAGUUAUCUCCCAUCCUUAUCCCAAACUUGUGUUGGAGCAAGUUGAUUUGUUCCCAUCUUUGUUGACGAAAUGACUAAUAACCUCAUCCCCUCCUUAUCUUAGAUGUACAUUUUGUCAAAUUUGAUCAGGUAUGAUUGAUCCAAGCCCUAACCCUAAUUGGUAAUGAGUGAAUACUACACCUAAUUGCAUUCUUCUUUCAUUGCAAAAUAAUGAGAUUAUAAUAAUCUAGCAAAUAAGAAAAAAUAGUAUGGAAGUUCAAAUUAACACCAUAACUAUCAAUAAUUUUAAGCUUAUAGAUGACUUAAAUGAUUAAAAACUAAUGCAAAAUCCUAAAAAAAAUAAAAAUCAUAUAAAGAAUUCACAAGAGAACAGAAUGAACAAAAACCAAAUAUGAACAUGGGUCAACAUUAGUUAUGGAUUUGGAUUCCUUUCAAGGCCAAUCUUUGAACCAAGACUUCAUCAAAUCAACUACUUCAAAGGCUUUUGUGUUCUUCUUGGGUUGUGCUCUCAAACAAAGACUUCGAGGUGAUGUUCUAGAUGAUUGAAUUACACAUAUUUAGGGUGGAGAGAUUGGAGAAGCUUGAAGAUGCCAACGAUGGGUACAAUUGAGUGGUCAAUAAGAACAAUGUAGCCUAUGACUAGUUUGAUGUCAUGGUACAAGAGUUUUAGGCAUUGAGGUUAAAGCAAGAGCAACAUGGAAUUGAUUUCGGAGUCUUUCAGUUAGUGUAAAGGAGGAAGAAGUGGUGUUGAUUCUAGAAAUAGGGUUUUAAGUGGUGCGUGAUUACUACUCAAAAAGUGCUAUUUGAUAGCCUUUAAUUAAUCCUUUUUAACACUUUUGAGUAGUAGUUUAGGCCUUUUAACUCAAUUGGCAUGUUAAGGAUCCUUUAAAGCAAUUUUGAUCACUUUGUGCAAGUUUUGGUGUUUUUGUUAGUAUUUUGAUCACCAAAGCAAGUCAAGAAUGAGGAGAACUAUGAGGAAUCAUGGGCAAAGCUUAGAAUUCAAUUGCCAAGAGUGAAUCCGGAUUGCAAGGAGAAAAAGCAAAGAGAAUCUGUCAUGAAGCCUAUUCUUGAUGACAGUCGUAGCAGCCACUUUUGGAGCACUUUCUGAAGUCCAAAUGAUGCAAGCUAUAUACCAUUUCAAAGAUCAGGAAGUCAACAAUCCAAUGCUUCAAACGGUGCGCGAUUCGGAGUUGAAACGAAGAAGUUGCAGCCAUUACAAGCCAGUCACUCUAAAGUGUUGCGGAAUCAGCCUUUUGUUGCGAGAAUUUCGCAGCACUUUUGUACAGUAAGGUGUUUCUCCUUCUGACGAUGCACGAACCAUGCCGCGAGAGGGAAGCUAGGAACUUCAAGAUGGAAGCCAACUUUGCAGCCUGGUGAAGAUAGCUUGGUCUUGCGAAAUAAUUUCGCAGCCCUCUUGGGUGUCUGCGAAAUUUCGCAGGCACCACUUUUUUCCUGCGAAAUGGCUCCGGAAGCCUCCCGAAGCUUGCUACCGACAUUGGGAGAUAUUUUCCAUUAGAUUUUUGUUGUCUAAAUUCCAAAAUACUCCUUGUAAACCACCAAUUACAUGAUUCCUUAGUUUUUAAGUUAGUAAAAAGACCAAAUAUCUAUGUAAUAAUUAGUUUUAUAUUAGUUUGCUAUAAAUACCUCUCGGGAGCAUGUUCUCAGAGAGGAGUUCCUUCUGUAACCAUUUUGGUAAGCAAGUAAAGUCUUUUCUUUCUACUGCCUUACCUUCUCACUUUGUAUUUUCAUUUUAUUUCUAAGUUAUGAAUUCUCUGAGGAGCUUUCCCCAGAGAAUGAGUAACUAAACCUCCAAUUCCUUGGAGCUAAGGUUGCCGGGGAAGGUUCCAAGUGCAAGAAUGCAAAGCUCUGUGGUUUUAGCUAGUAAUGAAGAGGAAGUGAAAUCCUUUAGUGAUUUCAAUGUUUUUAGUUAACUUAAAACACCUUGGAGUCACCUGGGCCAACACUUGGUAAGGCAAGUGAUUUCCAACCGUGGAAAUGCACUAGUUUACCCCUUGCGAGCCUCUGGUAGGUGACUUCAAGGUAGGAUUUUCUGGAAUUACCAACACUUGGUAAGCUUUUGGACUCCUAGGAGACAUCCAUUAGUUAUCUCUUGCGAGUUUGUGAAGGGGAAUCCAAGGUUAAAGAUCACCUUGAAUGGUAAGUGCUCGUGAGAGGCAUGAACCAUUGCAAGUUGUAUCAGUGAGAGAAUUAAAGUGAAAUCUAAUUGAAGGAGUCUCUGUACAUCACCGGUUAGAGAAUUGACUAUAAGUUGAAUCUCUAAUGCGAGGAAAUGAACCAUCUGACCGGAGCUAUGUCUUUUGCAUGAGGAACCACCCCAGUGAACCUAAAUCUCCAAGGAAUGCUUUUCUUCCUAAAUUAUUCCAAACUUCUGUUAAGUUAGUUAGUUUAAGUCUAAACCUUUACCAAUCAAACUUUGUGUUUUAUUUCUUAAGCUAACCGUGAAAUGAAACAAAACCAAUUCACUUGGAAUUGGUAUCCUUGAUUGCUUGCAAAUCAUUCCCAGUGAACGAUCCUUAGAGCCACUAUACUAUAGUAGCUUUGUAUUUGCUACCCUAGUGUAUGGUGUUAUAGGUAUAAAUUUUGUUGAUCACUUCCUCAAUCAAGGAACACCAGCUGAACACAAAUCAGCUGAGACACCAAUUGGGCAUGAGUCAAAUGGCGCCGUUGCCGGGGAAUGAGUGUCAAGAUCAUUGUGAUACCAUUUUUGAGCACUUGUGAUUUUCAUCACAAGUUGGUAAAGUUUCUUUCACUUUACUAAUUUUCAUUCUCUCUUUGUUUAUUUACAAUCUAAGUUUAUCUUUUUAAAAUUUAGUCUAGUUUAAUUUUGCUAUUGUAGCCUUGUUUCUCUUGUUGUCCUCUGUUCUUGUUGUCCUCUGUUUUCAUUUUAGUUGCAGCUGAAUACUAGUUGUGUAUGCCAAAGUGGAUACGAGACAUUGGAGGUAGGCUUAUUAAGUGUGAUACACCUCAGAGAGGAGAAUUGGAAGUAAUCUUGAAUAUCAUGGAGGCUGCACCUGAAGAUCAGCAUAGUCACCAAGGUCGUCAAGACAAUCUCAAUGAAUUCAGAUCAAUGAGGGACCGUAUGCAUCCACCUCGUAUGAGUGCACCAUCAUGUAUAGUGCCCCCUACAGAGCAACUAGUGAUCAGACCAUAUCUUGUUCCACUUCUACCAACUUUCCAUGGGAUGGAAAGUGAGAAUCCGUAUGCACACAUCAAGGAAUUUGAAGAUGUUUGUAAUACAUUCCAAGAGGGAGGAGCUUCAAUUGAUUUGAUGAGGCUUAAGUUAUUUCCUUUUAAUUUAAAGGAUAAGGCCAAAAUUUGGCUUAAUUCUUUAAGGCCAAGGAGUAUCCGCUCUUGGACUGAUUUACAAGCUGAAUUCCUCAAGAAAUUUUUUCCUACUCAUAGAACAAAUGGCUUGAAAAGGCAAAUUUCAAACUUCUCAGCUAAAGAGAAUGAGAAAUUCUAUGAGUGUUGGGAAAGAUACAUGGAAGCUAUAAAUGCUUGUCCUCACCAUGGCUUUGAUACUUGGCUACUGGUGAGUUAUUUUUAUGAUGGUAUGUCCUCCUCAAUGAAGCAACUCCUCGAGAAAAUGUGUGGAGAAGAUUUCAUGAGCAAAAAUCCAGAGGAAGCUAUGGAUUUCUUGAGCUAUGUAGCUGAUGUUUCAAGGGGAUGGGAUGAACCAACUAAAGGAGAAGUGGGAAAGAUGAAGUCUCAGUUGAAUGCUUACAAUGCAAAGGCUGGGAUGUAUACUUUAAAAGAGGAUGAUGACAUGAAAGCAAAGUUGGCAGCUAUGACAAGAAGAUUGGAGGAGCUGGAGCUGAAAAGAAUGCAUGAAGUGCAAGCUGUUGCUGAAGCACCAGUGCAAGUGAAGUUGUGUCCCAAUUGUCAAUCGUUUGAACAUUUGGUAGAGGAAUGCCCUGCAAUUUCAGCUGAAAGGGAAAUGUAUAGAGAUCAAGCAAAUGUUGUUGGACAAUUCAGGCCCAAUAACAAUGCUCCUUAUGGAAAUACCUACAAUUCAAGUUGGAGGAAUCAUCCAAAUUUUUCAUGGAAGGCCAGAGCAACUCAAUACCAACAGCCGGAUCCACCAUCUCAACAAUCUUCAAGUAUUGAACAAAUAAUAGCUAAUCUCAGCAAGGUAGUGGGAGAUUUUGUGGGAAAGCAAGAAGCCACCAAUGCUCGAGUGGAUCAAAGAAUGGACAGAGUGGAUCAAAGAAUGGACAGAAUGGAGAGUAUGUUGAACAAAAGAAUGGAUGGAAUGCAAAAUGAUAUGAAUCAAAAAUUUGAUAACAUCCAAUAUUCAAUUUCAAGGCUUACAAAUUUGAAUACACUGCAAGAAAAGGGAAGAUUUCCUUCUCAACCUAACCAAAAUCCCAAAGGUGUCCAUGAAGUGGAAAGCCAUGAGGGAGAAUCAUCACAGGUGAAAGAUGUGAAAGCUUUGAUCACUCUAAGGAGUGGUAAGAAAAUUGAGCAGCCAACACCCAAGCCACAUGUUGAGAAAGAAGAAGAGAUGAAGAAAGGGAAGGAAAUGGAAGAUAAAGGCAGUGAGAUCAGUGAAGAAAAGAAGGACUCUGAUGCAACAAUGAAAGUAAUUCCAGAGAAGGAGCUUCUGAAGGAAGAAAUGCUGAAGAAAUCAACUUUUCCACCUUUUCCUCAAGCAUUACAGGGGAAAAAGGGGGUUAGAAAUGCAGCUGAAAUCCUAGAAGUAUUGAGGCAAGUGAAAGUUAAUAUUCCACUGCUGGAUAUGAUCAAACAAGUUCCAACGUAUGCAAAAUUCCUAAAGGACUUGUGUACUAUCAAAAGAGGGUUGACUGUAAACAAGAAAGCCUUCUUGACUGAGCAAGUAAGUGCAAUCUUACAGUGUAAGUCUCCUUUGAAGUACAAAGACCCUGGAAGUCCUACCAUUUCAGUCAUGAUUGGAGGAAAGGUAGUGGAGAAAGCCUUGCUAGACUUGGGAGCAAGUGUGAAUUUGCUUCCAUAUUCUGUCUACAAGCAACUGGGACUUGGAGAGUUGAAGCCAACAGCAAUCACUUUGUCUCUGGCAGAUAGAUCAGUGAAAAUUCCAAGAGGGGUAAUUGAGGAUGUAUUGGUUCAAGUAGAUAAUUUCUACUAUCCUGUAGAUUUUGUUGUUCUUGAUACAGAUCCUACUGUAAAGGAAGCUAAUUUAGUUCCUAUCAUCCUUGGAAGGCCAUUUCUUGCAACUUCAAAUGCAAUCAUCAACUGUAGAAAUGGGCUUAUGCAACUCACUUUUGGUAACAUGACACUGGAUCUAAAUAUUUUCUAUAUGUCUAAAAAGCAAAUCACUCCAGAAGAAGAAGAGGGUCCAGAAGAGCUAUGUAUUAUUGAUACUUUGGUGGAGGAGCACUGCAAUCAACAUAUGCAAGAUAAGUUGAAUGAAAGUUUUGUGGAUAUUGAGGAAGGUUUUUCUGAAUCUCCUAAUGGGCUUGCUACUCUACAAAGUUGGAGAAAGAUAGAAGGAAUUCUACCUUUGUUCAAUGAAGAAGAGGAGGCAGCUGUUGAAAAAGAAAUUCCAAAACUCAAUCUGAAGCCUUUACCUAUGGAGCUGAAAUAUACAUAUCUUGAAGAAAAUAAUCAAUGUCCUGUCGUAAUAUCUUCAUCUCAAACCAAGUCUCAAGUGAAGGAUGCAAGCUUCAAAUGGGAUCCGGGCAAACUGAAUCAGGAAGGGCAAAAAGUUUUGAUGUAUGACACAAGACUCCAUAUCUUUCCUGGGAAGCUCAAGUCAAGGUGGAUUGGUCCAUUUGUUAUUCACCGAGUAUAUUCCAAUGGAGUGGUGGACUUAUUGAAUUCCAAUGGCAAGGACAGCUUUAGAGUCAAUGGAUAUCGUCUUAAGCCGUUCAUGGAGUCAUUCAAAUCAGAAAAGGAGGCAAUCAACCUCCUUGAACCUCAAAAAGCCUAAGUGAAAUGGGUUUGCUGGACGUGGUUUUACCACAGUCCAAAAAUUUUUGUAAAUUUUGUAAAUUUUCAAGUUGUUUCCAUGCUUUUAAUCUUAGUUUUUGAUUUUAAAUCAUGUUUUUAGGUGUGUUUUAAUCGUUUUAUAUGAUCCCAGGCGGAAGAAAUUUCAAGGGGAUUGAAAAGAAAAAAAUCGGGUCGAAAUUGGAGCCGAAACAGAGCAAAAACAGGGGAAAAACAGAGCUCUGCGAAAUUUCGCAGGGUGAAGGAAACUUCUGCGAAAUUGGCAUUUUGCUGCCAAACCAUUCCGCAGCACUGUAGAAGCCUCUGCGAGUGUAUUUCGCAAUUGCGAAAGUGGAUUUGGCACACGAGUGCCACUUCGCAGCACAGUGACAUCAAUUUCGCAGCUGCGAAACUCACUGCGAAGUUGCUGCGAAAAUGGCAAGUUGCUGCGAAAUUGGCGUUUUGUUGCGAAACGUAAUCUGACCCCUGGGCUUCCGUUUUUCCUAUUUAUACCUGUCAAAAGUGCUGCGAAAAAGGUUUCAAAAAUUAGAGCACCAUUCUCGCAGCCCUUUCAUCUUCUUCGCCAAGCCACGCCGUCCGUUUCUCCGGUCGUCUUCUCCGUUUAGCAGCGCCGGCCAAAGAUCGAUAGCCCAAAAAUGGCACGAACGCGAGGGGCAAAGUCUUCAUCCCCUUCGAACCGCAAAAGGAGUCUGCGAAAGGAGCCAAGUUCAGGCUCUGUUCCAGAACCUGCUCCAAAGCCUUCGCCGUCGAGACCACAACCUUCUCCAGUGAAGCCGGCGCCACCAAAGCCGCCGGCAAGGCGAUAUUUAACCAGGUCAGGUGGUCAGCCAUUGAAGAAGAAAGCCAGAGUUGAGAGCUCUGAACCAAUCGAUUUGACUGAGCAAUCCCCUGAGAAAUCACCAAAUCCUUCACCGGUACAAAUUCCAGUGCCAUCACCGGUUCCCUCGCCAAUUCCCUCACCAGAAGCAACUCCAAUUCCAUCGCCGGUACCAUCUCCGGCACCCCAAGAAAAAGCUCAGGAGCCUCAAGCGCCAAUUCCAGAGCCCCAAAUUGCAGCUGAAGCACCUCUGGAAGAAGUGAUCCGAAGGCCAAUGCUGCCUCAGCCCCCAAUCGAAGGAAACCUGGAUUGCCGAACUCGGGCAUUCCAUUCUGAGCUUUGCUUCGAUUUAACAGCAUUCAGAGUGAGGCCAGAGCUUGCCCAAUCCUUCCAACUGCUGAGGAGAUAUCAUAUGGAGCAUCUGCUAGCUCCAAGGGAUUUUUUCUAUCCCCGGGUAGUCACGGAUUUCUACCAAACCAUGACAACCAAAGAAGUAAGAAAUCCAACUCUGAUUCAUUUCAUAAUUGAUGGAAGGCAUGGUAUUUUGGGAGCAAGACAUAUUGCUGAAGCCCUGCAAAUUCCUUUUGAGCCAACUCAAUUCGACAAUUUUAAAGCUUGGACAAAUCCUACUGAGUUAGAGAUGGUUAGCACACUAACCAGAGGAGCUGCAAAUCGAUCGCAUUUGUUGAGGGGGGAGCUACCUCCAGUUAUGUUUUUGAUUGAUGCCUUUUUGAGGCAUAAUAUCUAUCCCCUGCAGCAUUGGACCCAAAGAAGGGGAAUUCUCCUAGAAGCCUUGUACAAAAUGUCUGAAGGAUUCUUCUUUGGGCCUCAUCAUCUGAUCAUGGCAGCCCUUCUAUACUUUGAGGAGAAGGUUCACAAGAAGAAGCUUCAAAGAGCAGAUUGCAUUCCACUCCUCUUCCCAAGGCUGCUAUGCCAAGUUUUGGAGCAUCUCGGAUACCCCUCUGAGCCUCAGCAGGAAAGAAAGAGAAUAUGCCGUGAGCCUUUUACCCUUGAUAAAUGGAAUAAUAUGACGGCCUACAAAAUUGAUCAGCCUGGGCAGCCUCAGCCAGCAGCAAGGAGAGUCUCCCCAAGACAUAUACCUGAAGGUAUAACACUUGCUACUCCUGCCAUCCCUCGAGCUCCACCAGCUGCACCUGCUCCAUCACAGCCAUCCACAUCAGCUGAGCCGAGGAUGGCCAUCCCUAUAUCCGAAUAUCGAGAGCUGUGCCGUGCAUUGGAGACUCUUACAGCUUCUCAGAGCAAUCUUGCUCAGGAGUUGGCAGCCAUUAAAGCAUGCCAGGAGCAGAUGUUAGCCUCUCAGACUCAACAAGCUGCCAUCCUAAGGCAGCUUCAAGUCCAUUUCGAUCUGCCACAAGCUGUAGAGCCCUCUAUUCCUACUCCACCAGAGCCACACUCUCAGCCUUCAGAGUCUCAUCCUCCAGAACCCGAAGCACCAGCUGAUCCACCUACUGAGGAGGCAGAUCCUUCUGCCUAGCACCAUCACCCCCCUCAUCAGACAUUAUAUAUAUAUUUGCUGUUUAUGUUUUUAUGCAUGUUUGUUUUGUUUUAGUUGAAAAGAAAUCCCAGUAUUUUGGUACUAUAUAUGGGAUUCCUUGUGUUACUUGUCUUUAGUAUUGUAAUCACAUGAACUCAAAGUAAUACAAGUUGACUAUUUCUUGUUAAAAGUUAGCAUUAAAGUUUCCUUAUUUCCUUUUCUCACAUAUUCUAUUCUUUUUGAAACAUGUGGUUUUCCCCAAUCAAUAUUCGAAUUUGAUAUCAGCAUGGAGGUACCACUUCCUCCCUUUUAUUACAGUCACUCAAAUCACAUUGAGGACAAUGCUCAGUUCGGUUGGGGGGUAUGAGGAAGGAAGUAUUCUAAACCUUUUUGGUAUUGCAAUUAUAUUGGUUAAUUAGUUGUAGAUUUUACUUUUUACUAGUGUUACUCUAUUCUCCAUGAAUUUUGAGGAAAAAUUUUCAAAUUAAACCAAGAGAAAUUGAACUGUUGUUUUUCACUUGACUUAGAGUAUGGAUUAUGCUUACUAAAGUGGUUCAAUUGUUGAAACUUCUACUGAAAUUGAAUUGAGUUCUUCCACUUUAAGCUAUCCACACACUGUGCACAUUAGUUUCCGAUUAUAAGAUGAAAAGCUAUUUCCCUCUUGACUUAGUAUAUUUUUGGGACUUGGUAUAUUUGACCUCAUUUGAUAAAAAUUGAAACACCCUGCAAAAGGCCAAUGAGCCUUUGAAAUAAAGAAAGUUGUUUGCUUGCCUUGAAACCCGAGCAAGGUCUGAGGGGUAUAUGGUGAAAAUCUUUAAAGCCUGGUGCCCUAAGCCUUAAUUGGUUGGGAGUCACCGACCUCAAUGCUCGUUACAAGGGUGAAUAGGUAGAGUUAGCAUAUGGUAGAUGCUUGGGUAUUAGAAAUUCAUUCUUAAAAGUCCGGGGAAAAAUCCGAGGAGUUAGUGGUUGAAAGAUCCUUAAAACUUGGUGCCCUAAACCUUAAUUGGUUGGGAGUCAUCGAUGGACCCCCAUUACAUGGACAAGUCAGAAAGAGUACCCCAUAAAGCUACCUUAAAAAAAAAAAAAAAAAAAAAAAAAAAAAAAAAGAUGAAAGUGUGUUCUUUUCUUAUUGAUUUUGGUCAGUUUGCUAAAGUGUUGAAAAGAGAUAGGUUGGGGGGUGAGAUUAGUAGCAUAUUAUUCUCGGAACCUAAGGAACCAAUACACAUAGAUUUUUGUGGAAGAUUGAAGUUUAGUUCUUAGAAAAUGAAAUGAUUUUAAAACUUCAGUUUGCAUAAUGCACUCCCUUGAUUGACAGUGUUUAGCAUAGGUGUUAUGACUCUUGUUGAGAUUUGGGUUUGUAUUUCUUUAAUGAUUCAUGUGAGAAAUAGAUCAUCAUGCCACUUGAGAAUUAUUUUCCUUUUAGCAUGAUGUUGUAAAUUUUAGAUUAGUUUGCUAUUUAUUUUUUAUUUUCUCUCCUAUAUUGCUAAGGGACUAGCAAUAUGUCGGUUGGGGGGAGUGAUUACUACUCAAAAAGUGCUAUUUGAUAGCCUUUAAUUAAUCCUUUUUAACACUUUUGAGUAGUAGUUUAGGCCUUUUAACUCAAUUGGCAUGUUAAGGAUCCUUUAAAGCAAUUUUGAUCACUUUGUGCAAGUUUUGGUGUUUUUGUUAGUAUUUUGAUCACCAAAGCAAGUCAAGAAUGAGGAGAACUAUGAGGAAUCAUGGGCAAAGCUUAGAAUUCAAUUGCCAAGAGUGAAUCCGGAUUGCAAGGAGAAAAAGCAAAGAGAAUCUGUCAUGAAGCCUAUUCUUGAUGACAGUCGUAGCAGCCACUUUUGGAGCACUUUCUGAAGUCCAAAUGAUGCAAGCUAUAUACCAUUUCAAAGCUCAGGAAGUCAACAAUCCAAUGCUUCAAACGGUGCGCGAUUCGGAGUUGAAACGAAGAAGUUGCAGCCAUUACAAGCCAGUCACUCUAAAGUGUUGCGGAAUCAGCCUUUUGUUGCGAGAAUUUCGCAGCACUUUUGUACAGUAAGGUGUUUCUCCUUCUGACGAUGCACGAACCAUGCCGCGAGAGGGAAGCUAGGAACUUCAAGAUGGAAGCCAACUUUGCAGCCUGGUGAAGAUAGCUUGGUCUUGCGAAAUAAUUUCGCAGCCCUCUUGGGUGUCUGCGAAAUUUCGCAGGCACCACUUUUUUCCUGCGAAAUGGCUCCGGAAGCCUCCCGAAGCUUGCUACCGACAUUGGGAGAUAUUUUCCAUUAGAUUUUUGUUGUCUAAAUUCCAAAAUACUCCUUGUAAACCACCAAUUACAUGAUUCCUUAGUUUUUAAGUUAGUAAAAAGACCAAAUAUCUAUGUAAUAAUUAGUUUUAUAUUAGUUUGCUAUAAAUACCUCUCGGGAGCAUGUUCUCAGAGAGGAGUUCCUUCUGUAACCAUUUUGGUAAGCAAGUAAAGUCUUUUCUUUCUACUGCCUUACCUUCUCACUUUGUAUUUUCAUUUUAUUUCUAAGUUAUGAAUUCUCUGAGGAGCUUUCCCCAGAGAAUGAGUAACUAAACCUCCAAUUCCUUGGAGCUAAGGUUGCCGGGGAAGGUUCCAAGUGCAAGAAUGCAAAGCUCUGUGGUUUUAGCUAGUAAUGAAGAGGAAGUGAAAUCCUUUAGUGAUUUCAAUGUUUUUAGUUAACUUAAAACACCUUGGAGUCACCUGGGCCAACACUUGGUAAGGCAAGUGAUUUCCAACCGUGGAAAUGCACUAGUUUACCCCUUGCGAGCCUCUGGUAGGUGACUUCAAGGUAGGAUUUUCUGGAAUUACCAACACUUGGUAAGCUUUUGGACUCCUAGGAGACAUCCAUUAGUUAUCUCUUGCGAGUUUGUGAAGGGGAAUCCAAGGUUAAAGAUCACCUUGAAUGGUAAGUGCUCGUGAGAGGCAUGAACCAUUGCAAGUUGUAUCAGUGAGAGAAUUAAAGUGAAAUCUAAUUGAAGGAGUCUCUGUACAUCACCGGUUAGAGAAUUGACUAUAAGUUGAAUCUCUAAUGCGAGGAAAUGAACCAUCUGACCGGAGCUAUGUCUUUUGCAUGAGGAACCACCCCAGUGAACCUAAAUCUCCAAGGAAUGCUUUUCUUCCUAAAUUAUUCCAAACUUCUGUUAAGUUAGUUAGUUUAAGUCUAAACCUUUACCAAUCAAACUUUGUGUUUUAUUCCUUAAGCUAACCGUGAAAUGAAACAAAACCAAUUCACUUGGAAUUGGUAUCCUUGAUUGCUUGCAAAUCAUUCCCAGUGAACGAUCCUUAGAGCCACUAUACUAUAGUAGCUUUGUAUUUGCUACCCUAGUGUAUGGUGUUAUAGGUAUAAAUUUUGUUGAUCACUUCCUCAAUCAAGGAACACCAGCUGAACACAAAUCAGCUGAGACACCAAUUGGGCAUGAGUCAGUGCGUUAGAGGAUCAAGAAGAAGAAAAAGAAGGAACUGUUGGAAUUAGUAUGAGUGUGAAGAGAAAAGUAUAUAAAUAAGGGGAAGUAAAAGCAAAGUUCAAAAAGCUAUAUUUUUUUAUUGUUGGUGUAUGGUUGCAUGAUUAUCCCUAUAAAUAAUAGGAGUUUUUUGGUAUUCUACUAGUAGUUGAAGCAUAAUUUCAUAAAUUAAUAUUUAGAGCGGGGUGGGGUGAGUUGUGACAAAAUUCAUACCCGUCCCAAACCUUGGUUCAGAUUUUUAAAAUAUUCUCAAACUUAUCAUAUACCCAACUUUUAUAUUUCAUACUUGUCCUAAUAGAGGCACGUUAGGCCGGGUUACUUGAGUAACCUACAUAAUUGUCAUCCCUAGUUGAAAUACACUUUUUGGCAGUGGCCACCAACUGAGCUAGAAGCUUGAUUGAUUGACCUACAAGAUUAGUUCUCAUCAUUUUAAAAAAAGUUCUGGCUUUGGUUGUGAGUGCAAUUGAAUCUAAACUGGCAUUUGCUUAAUGCAUCUACUUCAAUCCUAAACUUCUUACUUCUUAAGCCUCAAUUGUUGUUAGGAUUUUGGAAAACCCAUUUCCUUAAAUUGUAAAUUUAAGAUAAAAUAAAAUAAAAGUGAGACAUUUCUUGAUUGAAUAUUGUUAAAGGUCCCUUGGCAUUAAGACUUGGUUGAAGCCUUGGAAGAUUAGUGGAACUCUCAACAUGUGUUUGAAUCUUGAGGAGAGUGGAUGUAAGCCAAAAUUUUGUCAAACCAUUAUACAAAUUGAGUUUGAAUCCUCAUUUCUUGAUUUCUUAUUUAUUUGCUUUUUCUUAUUAUUACUUGAAUUGUCAUUUGCAUUCAUUAAUGUUAAAAUUGGUUAUAAUUAACCAACACUAAUUCUCUUUCCCCUUCCCUUUCUUGGGUGUAAACCUAGGUUGGAUUAACUAGAUAAAUCUAUUAAGAUGGUAAAAGAAUAAUUAUUCUUAACAUACAUAAGAUCAUCUUCAAUCAAAUGACUCAUUGGCUAAUAUGUUGAAUUUGCUUAUUACUUGCAACUCAAAAUUGUGUUCUAGUUGUGUCAAGUCCCCAGUGUAUGGACAUUAAAUUUGUAGUACGUGAUGAGUAAUUAGAUGGUCCAACUCCAAGAAAGUGAUUGAAAAGUAGUUCAAGAAAGGUGCAAAAGGGAAUUGUUUUGGUAUUUUCGUUUUUAUUCUUGAAGGUGGCAGAGCUAAAAUUUGAGAAAUCAAGCAAAACAUACUGAAAUUACAUUGAAAGAAAGAAGAUGGGAGUUAAUGUCUUGCAGUACAUGAUAAGGACUUCAUGCAUGUAGUGUGACCCAUGUCUUGGACUGAUGCCAACUCACGGUUACACUUAUACCCUUGGUUCUCUCUUUACUACCUUGGCUAACCUAGAUCAGGCUAUGAGAUAGGCUCCUCACCACACCAUUACUUGCCCAUUAAUUAGAGACAUUUUCAAGCAAUGAGGUAACAUGGUGACACCAAGAGGGUCUAUUCCUCGCCCGGAACAAGUCUAGACUUGGUCUCAAAAAAAUGGAGAAAAAUGAGGUGUCGUUAUGUAGAAAUACAACAACCAUGCCUUCCUCAUUACUUAGAUUCAGAAUGUGAAGGUGAAAUUGAGAAACAGAAACUCUUGAAACCAAAAUGAAAAUUGAUACUUUUACGAAGAAUUACAACAACAUUAGAGGAAGACUACAUUCUUCCUCUUUAUUCCUACAUUUCUACACUACUUCUACUCCACUCCAUAUUUCUACAUACAUCUUUAAUCAGUCUUCCCUCCUUUAUAUAGAGCCAUCUUCACACAAAUUUCGCAAGGUAGAAAAGAGGAAUGAAACUUGGAGCAAGGUUCGACUACUGGUUGUAGCUUGUCAAGGCUGGAAGUGAACUUUUCUUGGCUUUCUGGGCAUGGGUAGUAACUUGUGGGUUCCUGUUUGGCAUAAAAAUGGCUAGAACAUGUGGCACUAUCUUGUUGGAUGAUGUGUCAAGCAUGUGGCAGCCAUCUAGUGGCGAUUAUGUCAAUUUUGGGAUGGAGAGUUGGCAUCCAAUUGCAAAGAAAUAUGACGUCUACCAACAUGCAAUGUAAACCUAUGUAGAUCAUAUGAAGAUAGAGAGGAAAAAUAUAGAAAUGGAUAUAUACCUAGAACUAGCUUUUUAUUAAAUGAAACGGAGAGACAACAAUGAAGGAAAAUAAAAUUUUUUGGCUUAUAUCAAAGAGUUCACAUUGUGUUACCCUAGGUUUUCUUAAAACUUACUUUUAUGAUAACAAAAAAGAAAAAACCAUUAUUGUUUAAUCCUUUGUUUUAAACGCAUGUAAGGUGUAAUUAAGUUAGUUCAAUGCAUUAAUUUAAGAAACUUGACCUAUCAAAAGUACAAAAUUAGAUGAAAUCCAUUUCAAUGGUUAAAAUGAUCAAAAUCAAACUUUUUCUAAGUAUUUUUUAAAAGCAUCAAUAGUGAAAGACAAUUUUAUAUUUAGUCGGAGUUUGGACAAAACUGAAAAACACACAAAAUCCAAGCGACCAUCUCUAGCUUGGAUGGUCGCUUGAUCCCACCUAGAGAUGUGCAUGAGUAAAAGGAUUUGAAAAUGGAAAUUGACUAUGUAGUCGAUCAAUUAACUUUGCAACAUCAUAUGCAAUCCUAAUUGCUAGUCAUCUAAUCAAUUAGGUAGUCAAUCAACAGGCCAAAAAUAUGUUUAUAAUGACUAUUUUGUACAAAAACCACCUGUAUAGUUAAAUAUAAUGCAUUUCAUUUAUAAAUCUUCUAAUUCUUGAAUAACGAUCCUAUCAUCCUUUGAAAGUUUUUAUUACACUUUUUUUACUUUUGUUCUAAAACUUACACAUCACCCUUAAUUGUACCAUGAGAACCUAGCUAUUUUUUAUUUUUUUUUUUGUAAUUCAUCAAAGUUAGCUUUUGUAUUCAUUGUUGUAUUAUUUUUAGUAUAACUUAGAAAGCUAGUGUUUUCAAGUGAGUAAAAUUAACUUGUAAAUAUUGUAAAGAUUCAUCGACAUGUAUCUUAAACUAAGUGUACAAGUUAAAACAUUUGCUAGUAGAUUUUCUCAAAAUUUAGAAUAGAGCUUGAGACUAUUGAAAUAGGUGGGGUUGCACCAAACCACAUCACAUCGUUGUUUGCACCUUUUUUCACUCUCUUUUACUUAGUUGCUCUAUAUUUGUUGUCUAGUAAUAUCCUAUAGGCUUGAUGGGUUAGGGAGCAUCCCUUUGUGAAAAAAUUUUAUUCAAUCCUUAGUUGUAUCACGCAUAUAUAAAAUGCCUCAUUGUUUUAAUGGUAUUCAGUCGUGGCAUCACAGAUAUGGGCAUCUAAAUUUUAAAAGUUUGAAACUUUUAUCUAAAGAAAAUAUGGUGCUUUGCCUUUUUGUAAAGCAUGUUGAUGAAAUCCAUGAGAAUUGUGUACUUGGGAAGCAACACCGAGAUGACUUUUUUUUUUUUUUUAUAAUAUUGUUUGUCCAAAUUCCCUACAAAUUAGGCCACCAGAUGUUCAUAAUUCUCCCUUCUUGAAUUUGAAAACUCGGACAAUUGGACAAUGCGACACCUAAGUCCGGUUUCUAAAUGCUAAAGUGAAAGGGUAGGUAUGGACCAUUGAAAUGUGAUCACAACUUUUCUCUGUAGCCAUGUUGUCUCUUUUUUCUUUUGCAUGAUUUUCUUACCUUAACAGAAUCAUAGACUUGUUUAGUCUCUAAAUGGGAUUAAUUUCAUCCAGCUUUAAGCUACUAUAUUAUAUCUAGGUGGAGGACUUUUAAGAGUGCAACCGACAUAGAGCACAUGGAAGUGGGUAUAUGGGACAUGAAAUUUCUUCUUAUAAAGAUUGCAUGAUUUUUAUAUUAGAGUUGUUGAGGCGCUAUGUAUUUAGCUUGUUUUGCAGUUAAAUUAAUUGGAUAAGUAGACAUUGGCGUUUCUAAAUCUACUGUGAAGUGCUUCAUGUACGUGUGAAGUAUUAGAAAUUUCUUUCUUGGCAACUUGUUUUUCUUUGCGGUCUACUGAUAGGUUUGACUAAAAUUAUAUUCCCUGUCAUGCUAAUUAAUUUUCACGUGCAUGCUCAAAAGAAAAGUAUGACCUUAGUGCACCAAAAUCACUUUGAUUAAUUUGUGAUAGGUUUUUGUGCAUCAUGACAUUAGCCUUAUUCAUUUAGAUAAUGUUUAGUUUUUAGAAAGUAUUAAGAAAAGGAAAAUAAAUAUUAAGAAAAAUAUUCUUAUAUUUGAUUGUAUUAUGAAAAAUAUCAUAAAAAAAUCAAAUAUAAUUUAAAUUAAUUAAUAAUUUAUACAUUUUCAAAUUAUUUAAUCUUUAUAUUGAAGAUAUAAUAUAAAUGAAAUGAGUUUUAAGUAUUAUAUAAAAGUGAUUUAUUGAUCUUACAUAUAUAUAUUUCUUUUUUUUUUCCUUCUAUUUUUUCUCUUUAUUUUAUUUUCCUUAUGUUUUCCUCAACAUUUUCCGGAACCAAACAUAGCCUUAGGAAAUCCACAAUUACCUUCAACUGAGUAGAUUCUGUUGUUUUAGCAAUGUUAGGCUGCUAACUUGUGUUGGUACGAACCUAUUAAGCCUAAAGAUGUAAUUAGUUAGGAUAUUCUUUUCCCUCUAGUCUUGUAGCUCCACGUGUACAGUUGGUUAGGACCUCAUUGUAUAUAAUGCUUGCCCUGUUAUUGUAGAAGACAACAAAGAUAAAUAAUAUUAACAUUUUUCCUCUCAUCUCUCUCUGUUUCCCUCUGUUUUCAUCUCCUCUCUCAUCUUGGUAUCAGAGCCUCCAUGGCUUCUUUCAAAGAAACCUCCGAAUCACCUUCUGCUAGCAUUGUUAAUGUGCAAAACCCAUUAUCUCAAUCAAACAACCUUCCUUCACCAGUAGCCACACCCUCUUUUUCUUUCUCGUCUAUGAAUCAACCUCUCACAGUGAAGCUGGAUAAUGGGAACUACCUCAUAUGGAAGAAUUAGCUUCUAAAUGUCAUCAUUGCUAACGGACUCGAUGAUUUCAUUGACGGAUCUCGACCCUGCCCUCCUCGAUUUCUCGAUCUGCAACAACAAACCCUCAAUCCAGAGUACUCAGCUUGGCAGAGAUACAAUCGACUUCUGAUGAGUUGGCUGUACGCAUCCUUGUCCAAAGAUAUAAUGGCUCAGAUUGUUGGGUAUUCAACAGCUAUGGAGAUUUGGAAUGCCCUUAAUCAGAUUUACUCUGCCUCUUCUAUGGCGCGGUUUACUGAGCUUCGCACCAAGCUUCAAACGCUCAAGAAAGAUGGACUCUCAGUUGGUGAAUAUAUUCAAAGGCUCAAAUCCAUUUGCAAUAGUCUUGCAGCAAUAGGAGAACCAGUUUCUGAGAAAGACCAUCUUAUCUAUUUGUUCAAUGGAUUAGAUUGUGAGUAUUAUUCUUUUGUUACCUCCAUUCAAAAUCGAUCUGACCAACCAACUAUUGACAAAAUCCAUAGCCUAUUGCUUAGCUAUGACUUCCGGCUUGAACAACAAAACUCUGUUUCUCUCCAUUCUGCCCAAGUCCAUAUGGCUCAUCUGAACAAGAAACCUUAUAAAUCAACUCCUCAACCUACAUUCAAUCAUAUUCACAUUCAACCUAGAUACUCUUCUCCACCUUUUAAGCCAACCACUAGUCAAUAUCAACCCAACAUUUUGGGCAAACCACAACCACAACCAUGACAGCCUCAACCUCAAUGGAAACCACAUUUUUCAAUCUAAAAUCAAAAGCCUCAGCGCCAAAUUUGUGGUAAAUUUGGACACACUGCUCUUAUUUGCUUCCAUCACACAAAUUUGAACUAUUCACCCCAACCUUCUCCUAAAUCUUUCAAUACUGUUCUCACCACAAAUUCCCAGCUCCCUAAUCCUCCAAAAUUUUCUUACCCUACAAUGGCUCAUCCUGCUGCUACGCAUAACACGGUUCCCGAUACAAAUUGGUACAUGGACUCAGGUGCUACACAUCACUUUACUCUGGACAUCAACGUGCUUGACACUGUGACACCAUUUAGUGGUUCAGAACAGGUGACAGUUGGGAAUGGUAAGCAACUCUGUAUCUCACAUCUUGGUACUGCAAAACUACCAUCUUCGUAUUCUCCUCCUGUUCUACAUCAGGUAUAUCACACUCCAAAAAUUUCAAAUAAUCUUAUUAGUGUUAAAAAAUUGUGUUCUGAUAAUAAAGUUUUUGUUGAAUUUUAUGCCACUCAUUUUCUUGUCAAGGAUCAGGUUUCGAAGAGAGUUCUCCUUUAGGGUCAACUUGAUAAUGGCUUAUACAAAGUUCAGUCGUCAUGCUCUCCUUCUGCUGUUUCCUUUCCUCCUCAAGUUUUCAUAGCCAACAUCAAGUAUCCAAAUCUGUGGCACAAGAGACUAGGCCACCCAGCUUUAUCUGUUGUUAAUCAAAUCUUGGAUUCUUGUAACAUUGCUCGAACACAGAAAAUUUGUUUUAAUUUUUUAAAUUCUUGUCAAUUAGCAAAGAGCCACAGGCUUCCUUUUUCUCUGUCUCCAUCCAUUGCAGAAAAACCUUUUGAGUUAAUUCAUACAGACCUAUGGGGUCUUUCGCUCGUUCGCUCUAUUUCUGGUGCUCUUUAUUUUUUACUUUUCAUUGAUGAUCAUACUCGUUUUACUUGGUUUUAUUUGCUCAAAACAAAAGAUGAAGCAUAUCCUACUUUUCUCAAGUUUCAAGCUCUCAUUGAAAAUCAAUUUAAUACCAAGAUUAAGGCUGUCCAAUCUGAUUGGGGAGGUGAGUUUCGAUCUCUCUCCAUACCGUUUUCAAAUAUGGGCAUUGUCUAUUGUUUAUCGUGUCCAUACACCUCACAACAGAAUGGGCGAGUUGAGCGAAAAAAUCGCCAUGCGAUUGUCCUUUCUUGCUUGCUCUAUGCCCUUAUCUUAUUGGCCUUAUGCCUUUCAAACUGCCACUUACCUUAUUAAUCGUCUCUCUACCCCUGUGCUGCAUCAUCAAUCCUCUUACUUCGCACUCUAUCACAAACUCCCAACUUAUACUCAUCUUAAGGUCUUUGGUUCCUCUUGUUUUCCGUAUUUGCACCCUUAUAAUACCCAUAAACUCCAAUACAGGUCACUAGAGUGUGCUUUUCUUGGUUACAGUUCACACCACAAAGGUUAUCUAUGUCUUGACAUUCAUUCUAGCAGGGUGUAUAUUUCUCGCCAUGUGAUUUUUAAUGAAGAUUCUUUUCCAUUCAAGAAUUUGAAAUCUUCUCUCUCUCAGUCUAUUUCUUCUUCCUCUUCUUUAUAAGUUCCUCUGUUCAUUCUCUUGCCUCCCCUUUCCCCAUCUCCUCUUAUUUCUUCAUCUAUACCUCAUUCUUUUCCCUCUUCUUCUUCUACCUCUAGUACUUGUUCCCCUCUCGUUGCUCCUACCUCUCUUCCUUCCUCUUCACACUCUGUGUCUCCAUCUAUUCCACCUCCUUCUCCACCUUCUCCGAGUGUGGACCUGCUUGCACCUUGUGUGAAUACAAAUUUACAUACUUCUUCUCGCACUCACAAUAUUCAUCCUAUGGUGACUAGAUCUAAGGUUUGUAUCUAUAAACCUAAGUUGUUGUUGAGUGUCUCCAUAGGUUCUCUCACUAAGCCUACUUCCUUUCUUCAAGCUAUUAAAGAUCCUUCAUGGAAGCAAUCCAUGGAAUUCGAGUUUGCUACCCUUCAACACAACAAGACCUGGCAUUUGGUUCCUUCACCUUCCUCAGGCGAAGUAAUCGGUUGUAAAUGGGUCUAUAAGCUAAAGCUUCAGCCUGAUGGCUAAAUUGAGAGAUACAGCCUGCUUAGUAGCUAAGGGUAUCAUCAAAUUGAAGUAUGGACUACUUCGAAACAUUCAGCCUGAUNNNNNNNNNNNNNNNNNNNNNNNNNNNNNNNNNNNNNNNNNNNNNNNNNNNNNNNNNNNNNNNNNNNNNNNNNNNNNNNNNNNNNNNNNNNNNNNNNNNNAGCUUCAGCCUGAUGGCUAAAUUGAGAGAUACAAGGCCUGCUUAGUAGCUAAGGGUUAUCAUCAAAUUGAAGGUAUUGACUACUUCGAAACAUUCAGCCUGAUUGUCAAGCUUUCUACUAUCUGUAUUGUGCUCAGUCUUACUUUUUCCCAGAAUUGGUGUAUUAGACAGCUGGAUGUUCAUAAUGCCUUCUUACAUGGUGACUUAGCUAAAGACGUUUUCAUGGAACAACUGCCUGGAUUUGUUGAUCCUCUCUAUCCUACUCAUGUCUGCAAGUUGGAUAAGUCUCUCUACUGUCUUAAAUAGUCACCUCGGGCUUGGUAUACUAAGCUGAGUACUUCUCGCUACACUUGGGAUUUGUUACUUCUAAGAAUGACUCUUCCUUAUUUAUUUGUCAUUCGUCUCAUGGGUUACUUCUUGUUCUUGUCUAUGUGGAUGAUAUAAUCGUCAUUGGGAGCCACUCUCCUCAGGUUACUCACCUUAUCCAACAGUUGCAUCAUUAGCUUUCUUUAAAGGAUCUUGGUCCUUUACAUUAUUUUCUGGGCUUGGAGGUUCAUCACACCCCUACUGGUAUUCACCUCAGCCAAGCAAAGUAUAUCACUGAUCUCCUUACCCGGGCGGCUAUGUUGGAUGCCAAGCCAUGUCCCACUCCUAUGUCCUCCAACACAUAUCUCUCUUUUCAUGAUGGAGUGGCUCUUGAAAAUGGUUCAGAUUAUCGAAGUUUUGUUGGUGCCCUUUAGUAUUGUACCAUGACACGCCCAGAUAUAGCUUUUGCAAUAAAUAAAGUGUGUCAAUUCAUGCACCAUCCCUCUAAUGUUCACUGGCAGGCUAUAAAACGUAUUCUCCGGUACUUAAAGGGCACAUCUCAUUUUGGUCUCUUCCUACAGCCUUCCUAUGACUUCAACAUCACUUGCUAUACAAAUGCCGACUGGGCUUCCUGUCCUGAUGACAAGUGUAGCACCAGUGGCUACUGCCUCUUUCUUGCCUCUAAUCUGGUUUCUUGGUCAUCUUCCAAACAAAAAGUGGUCUCCCGCUCCAGCGCCGAAUCAGAGUACCGAGGGGUAGCAAAUGGGGCUGCUGAAAUUGCUUGGACUGAAUCUCUUCUUUGUGAACUUUCCAUUACUCCCCCUCCCCUCAUUCUCUGUGACAAUAUCAGUGCCACGUACUUAGCUGCCAAUCCUAUUUUGCAUGCCCGCACCAAACAUGUGGAAAUCGACUAUCACUUUGUCACGGAACGUGUUCUUCAAUGCUCUCUUUUUGUCCAGUUUACACCUUCUGAUGAUCAACUUGCUGAUUGCAUGACCAAGCCUCUCUCCACCCAACGUUUCAUCACUCUACGCUCCAAGCUCACUGUUCUCACUAGACCAAUGAGCUUGAGGGGGGAUGUUAAGCCUAAAGAUGUAAUUAGUUAGGAUAUUCUUUUCCCUCUAGUCUUGUAGCUCCACGUGUACAGUUGGUUAGGACCUCAUUGUAUAUAAUGCCUGCCCUGUUAUUGUAGAAGACAACAGAGAUAAAUAAUAUUAACAUUUUUCCUCUCAUCUCUCUCUCUGUUUCCCUCUGUUUUCAUCUCCUCUCUCAUCUGAACCAAAUGAUCCAUGUUAACCUUGGCUUGGUUUGAUUUGGCUCUAUCUUAGAGAGCUCAAGGAUCACGUCAACUCUGGUUUCUACUAUUCAGGUCCAUUCCCAUAUGAACUGGUUCAAAUUUGAGAAAAUGGUAACAGACCUUUAGUGAUGUUGGUUUGGAGCCAGUUGCCAAACCCGCCCUGAGCUUUACCACUAAUGUCAAGGGAGAAAGCCAUUUGAACAAAAACAAUAGCUUCAAGGGACUGAAUCGUGGAUGAAAUCUGAUCCACAUUUCUUCUCAUUUUGGAAACAAAUGAGAACUUAACUAAGAAGAUUCUACGGCCUCAUAGUGCUUUUCCUGAUCUAAGGUUGGUUCGUUUCCCAAACUGUGAGAUGCACGUGCCAGACUUCAGAACUCUCACGCUCAGGAGUGUAUCCACGUGGUGGACAUAAGAUGGUGGCUUAAGAUCUGGUGUCGGUGGCUUUACUUUACUAGGAGAGUAGUGUGUCUUCAUCUCAUUCACUGCCGGAGGGUGGCGUAAGCAGUGACGCUAAGGUGGGGCACAGUCAAUAUCAUUUGCAUUUGACCAUUAUAGUUUUCUCCCGGCUUUAAAGUAACCUUAUCGUGAUAAAGGAUUACUAGCACUAGUUCAGAUGAUAGUCAUGUUAAAUUCGGACCAUGUUUGUGUCACAUUAUCAGCAACCAUGUGUUUAUGGUUCAUGCUUUCUGCAACUAAAAUUGAUAUAUAACCAGGUGAACUUCAAUCUAAAUUCUGAAAGUACUCAUGUGAUAGAUGGUGCCCGUCUGCAGAGUCCAUCAAUUGAAAAAUGGAGUGAGUGUAUCUAUAAGAGGGAAGGCUUGGAAAAUGUUCAGUUUUCUGGGAAUUCAACAAGGAUCUAAAAUAGAUUGUUUUCUUUGCUGAUUUCAAUGGUUGAAAUUUGAGAAGAUUGUGUCCACAUAACACAACUAUUACUGGUCCUUCUGUUGCAAUUUAUCCUCUAAAGCUCUAGCAUGUCUUCCAAUUCCCACUUCCCUGUUACUCCAGGAAAGCUAUUUCUGUCAUUGUGAAGAAGAAAAGAGAAUGUACAUAUCGAUGCUUUUAAGUGACUGGAGCAUUUAUAUCAGGUGGUCUGCAGCCAUAUAUGCCACUUUGUGAAGAUUGGAACAGUCAAUCACUAGGCUAUAUAUUAGUGUGGCCCAGCCACUUUAAUCAAGGACAAGUCUUCAUACUUAAAGUCAAAUUCUGCCUUUAGUCUCAUUAUAAAUUUCUGUUUAAAUAUUAAGCAAACAUUUGUUUAAUGCGAUUAAGACAGUACUAACUCAAUACCUGUUCUAUUUUUGGAUGCAAAUGCUUGAUGGUUUCAUCAUUGGAUGGGAUAAAGGUGCAUUCAUGAUUAGGAAUACUAGUAGUUAUAUUUUAAUUCUCUUUUUUCUCAAUGAGACUUGUUGGCACAAUUUUGCUGUUGAGAAACCUACCUCUCCAUGGAAAAUAAGUUGUGAUUGAUAGUACUGGAUAUAUUCAAGAAAUCUAAAUAUAGAUAGCACAAAAUAUUAUCGACAUAAAUAGCAUUAACAGCGUACGUAUGUCUCAGUGCUCAUCAGCUAUAAGCAUGGGGCAAACACUUACUAUGAGCAACUUACGUCAAAAUUCCAGAAUAGGACAUAGAAGUGACAGAUAUAGAACAUUGCAUAUGAGUCACAAGAAAGGAAAUUACGGGUGCAUAGCAGCUCUUAUUUUACAUACUACUACUCAUACUGAUCAAAGUCACUCAGUUGGGAUGGGUGGGAGUAGGAGGUUUGUGGGGUGGCUUGUGCGGAGGAGUUGGCAGCUUCUUUCCAGGACCUGGUUGCUUCUCUGCUGGAGUUGAAGGAGGCUUAAUCUUCCGAGGUGGCUUGUAUGAGUCUUCAGCAUUCUCAGCUGGAGGGUGACCAGGGUUGUGACCAUAAUGUGGUGGCUUCUCUCCCUUAGGUGGUUUGCCAACUGGGGUUGGUGGCUUGUAUGAGUCUUCAGCAUUCUCAGCAGGAGGGUGACCAGGGUUGUGACCAUAAUGUGGUGGCUUCUCUCCCUUAGGUGGUUUGCCAACUGGGGUUGGUGGCUUGUGUUCUGGGAGUGGCUUCUCCCCCUUGGGAGGUUUUUCCAAUGGGGUUGGUUUGUGUUCAGGAGGUGGCUUCUCCACUGGAGGCUUGUGUUCAGGAGGUGGCUUCUCCACCGGAGGCUUGUGUUCAGGUGGUGGCUUCUCCACCGGAGGCUUAUGCUCUGGUGGUGGCUUCUCGAAUGGGGGAUGCUUAGGAUAAUCAGCAAGUGAGGGGGCGGUGAGAACCACCAGGCCAAGCAACACCACUAGCAAAUAUGUAGGAGACAUCUUUGGGUUUGGGCUCAGAUGGUGCAAAACUAGGAGAAUUGGCUAGCCUUUUAUAGCGGAUCGUACCCAAUAAUGAAAUGACACGUGUCAUUAUGACCCAUGUGUAAUGGGGUCGAUUUGGGUCCUACAGUGUUGAAAACUUCGACAUCCACUUUUGGCCUUUUGCUUUCUCUACAGCCGCCUUGCUUUUUCCCUCUUUCCUUUUGUUUUCCUCCUGCCCCAUUCUAUCAACUAAACACAAUUAUGUAGUUGUUUAAUUCUUAAAUGAGAUAUUAUCCGUCAAUCGUAUUAUAUUUUAUCAAGAGAGAACGGAGUGCAAUGUGGCUGUAAUUUUAUCGUUUAGUUUUAUCUCUUGGACCACUGCAUUUUUGUUAAGAGGUGCAAUAAUACACGUCUUUAUCUGCCAUUCAAUAUUUACAGUAAAGAGAGGGCACAAAACUCUUCACUUCGCACCAUAAUUAUUUUGUUUUCUGGACACCCCGGGGCCCUUUGGUUGGUUUGGGGGUCAGAAAGUGAACAUCAUAGGGGGUUUUUCCCUUAUGUGCAUUUGUAUCUGAUGGCUUUAACUCGCCUUGUUACUACAAAGAAACUGUCACAGAUAGGAACUUAUUCCAGGCUGAGUAUCUCCUCAUAGACCCUAUAAAAGAAGACAAGUCAUAAUGAACAUCUAACCUUUGUUCAAUUUGAUUCAAUGCCCCCAUUGUGUCCAUCUCACAAAUCUGAAUUAUUAUAUCCAUUGAAUACAUAAAUUAAUGAAGAAAAUAUGAAACCCAAGAUACAUCUCUGCACAACCUCAACCCUGGUUGCUAUGUUUCCCUUCUAUUCACAUGAUUUGAUGCUAAUUGCCAAACUUGCAACAAGCCCUGAGUUUGACACCUAGUAUCGAUGGGCGAAUUUAAAGUCUCCUCCAAACAUAUAUUCCACAGCUUGAAGCUCACAGAAGAUGUUACAGGCAGGGAAAAACCUUCAGAGUUCGCUACCAAAGAUAAUUAUUAAGGAGAUAUCACAAAGAGAAUUCCAAGGGGUCUGAAUCAAAGACAAAUUGGUCGUUCGUGGGGGUUCUUACUUUCUUUUGGGUAUAACUCACUGAGGGCACUGUCUUUGUUAUUUGCAUUUCACAUUUAGAGUUCUGUUCUGGAAACAUAUAAAAGGAGCAUCAUUUUGUUCUUGGGUAACCCAUAGUCGUGAGUGGGUCCAUUUGCAUGCUACUUAGUUGAAAAGUUGGACCAUUUGCUCCGACGCCUACCUCCCGGAUUCCAUGCUCGGAUAAAACAAGAAUAAAAAAAAUAUUUAUAAUUUACAAAUGGGGGAAAGAAAAAAAUGUCAACAACAAACCAGGAAAAAAGAGUAGUAAAAUUCAUGUCACAUGCUAGUGAGAGAAGGGGUUGUUACACUCACUCGAAGUUCUUUCCAAAAUAUCGCAUGGUAUUUUAUUUUAUGUGUCAGCGCAGUUGUGAAUGGAACGUGCAAAAGUCCAAAUUGGCGUUUUUCCUUUUCCCGUGUAGGAUGGCGACCUUUAAUAAAUAUUUAAAACAAAAAACGAAAAAAAGGAGGGAAAAGGGAUCAGAAAAGAUAAAACAAUGUGUACAAGAGCUCAAUUAGUUUGCAAAUUACUGUUUGGAUUUUGAUAGUAUUUUAUUUGUCCAUCUAUAUUUGAUGGAAAAGAGAAUUUAAGAUAUUUCUGAAACAAAAGCAUUAGUGUAAAACUAAAUUAAGGUAUAAUUAAGUUAGUUCAAUGCAUUAAUUUAAGAAACUUGAUCUAUCCAAAGUACAAAAUUAGAUGAAAUCCAUUUCAAUGGUUAAAAUGAUCAAAAUCAAACUUUUUCUAAGUAUUUUUUAAAAGCAUCAAUAUUAAAAGACAAUUUUAUAUUUAGUCGGAGUUUGGACAAAACCAAAAAGCACACAAAAUCCAAGCGACCAUCUCUAGCUUGGAUAGUCACUUGAUCCCACCUAGAGAUGUGCAUGAGUAAAAGGAUUUGAAAAUGGAAAUUGACUAAAUAUUUAGUUGAUCAAUUAAAUUUGCAAUGUCAUAUGCAAUCCUAAUAGCUAGUCAUCUAAUCAAUUAGGUAGUCAAUCAAGUGUUUGUAAUGACUAUUUUGUACAAAAAACCACAUGUAUAGUUAAAUAUAAUGCAUUUCAUUUAUAAAUCUUCUAAUUCUUGAAUAACGAUCCUAUCAUCCUUUGAAAAUUUUUAUUACACCUUUUUUACUUUUGUUCUAAAACUUACAUAUCACCCUUAAUUGUACCAUGAGAACCUAGCUAUUUUUUUUUUUUUUGUAAUUCAUCAAAGUUAGCUUUUGUAUUCAUUGUUGUAUUAUUUUUAGUAUAACUUAGAAAGCUAGUGUUUUCAAGUGAGUAAAAUUAACUUGUAAAUAUUGUAAAGAUUCAUUGAUAUGUAUCUUAAACUAAGUGUACAAAUUAAAACAUUUGCUAGUAGAUUUUCUCAAAAUUUAGAAUAGAGCUUGAGGCUAUUGAAAUAGGUGGGGUUACACCAAACCACAUCACAUCGUUGUUUGCACCUUUUUUCACUCUCUUUUACUUAGUUUCUCUAUAUUUGUUGUCUAGUAAUAUCCUAUAGGCUUGAUGGGUUAGGGAGCAUCCCUUUGUGAAAAAAUUUCAUUCAAUUCUUAGUUGUAUUACGCAUAUAUAAAAUGCCUCAUUGUUUUAAUGGUAUUCAGUCGUGGCAUCACAGAUAUGGGCAUCUAAAUUUUAAAAGUUUGAAACUUUUGUAAAGCAUGUUGAUAAAAUCCAUGAGAGUUGUGUACUUGGGAAGCAACAUCGAGGUGACUUUAUUUUUUUUUCCUUUUAUAAUGCCACACCUAAGUCCGGUUUCUAAAUGCUAAAGUGAAAGGGUAGGUAUGGACCAUUGAAAUGUGAUCACAACUUUUGGCCUUUUCCUUUCUCUGCAGCCAUGUUGUCUCUUUUUUCUUUUGCAUGAUUUUCUUACCAAAACAGAAUCAUAGACUUGUUUAGUCUCUAAGCUACUAUAUUAUAUCUCGGUGGACUUUUAAGAGUGCAACCGACAUAGAGCACAUGCAAGUGGGCAUAUGGGACAUGAAAUUUCUUCUUACAAAGAUUGCAUGAUUUUUAUAUUAGAGUUGUUCACGUGCAAUGUAUUUAGCUUGUUUUGCAGUUAAAUUAAUUGGAUAAGUAAACAUUGGCAUUUCUAAAUCGACUGUGAAGUGCUUCAUGUACGUGUAAAGUAUUAGAAAUUUCUUUCUUGGCAACUUGUUUUUUCCUUGCCAUCUACUGGUAGGUUUGACUAAAAUUAUAUUCCCUGUCAUGCUAAUUAAUUUUCAUGUGCAUGCUCAAAAGAAGAGUAUGACCUUAGUGCACCAAAAUCACUUUGAUUAAUUUGUGAUAGGUUUUUUUGCAUCAUUUAGAUAAUGUUUAGUUCUAAGAAAAAUUUAUAUAAAAAUGGUUUAUUUAUCUUACAUAUAUAUAUAUAUAUAUAUAUUUUUUUUUUUUUCAUUUUUUUUUCUUCUAUUUUAUUUAUUUAUUUUAUUUUCCUUAUGUUUUCCUCACAUUUUCCGGAACUAAACAUAGUCUUACGAAAUCAACAAUUGCCUUCAACUGAGUAGAUUCUGUUGUUUUAGCAAUGUUAGGCUGCUAACUUGUGGUGGUACGAACCAAAUGACCCAUGUUAAUCUUGGCUUGGUUUGAUUUGGCUCUAUCUCAGAGAGCUAAAGGAUCACGUCAACUCUGGUUUCUACUAUUCAGGUCCAUUCCCAGAUGAACUGGUUCAAAUUUGAGAAAAUGGUAACAGACCUUUAGUGAUGUUGGUUUGGAGCCAGUUGCCAAACCCGCCCUGAGCUUUACCACUAAUGUCAAGGGAGAAAGCCAUUUGAACAAAAACAAUAGCUUCAAGAGACUGAAUCGUGGAUGAAAUCUGAUCCACAUUUCUUCUCAUUUUGGGAAAAAAUGAGAACUUAACUACAAAGAUUCUACUGCCUCAUUCAUAGUGCUUUUCCUGAUCCAAGGUUGGUUCGUUUCCCAAAUUGUGAGGUGCACGUGCCACUCUCACGCUCAGGAGUGUAUCCACGUGGUGGACAUCAGAUGGUGGCUUAAUAUCUGGUGUCGGUGGCUUUACUUUACUAGGAGAGUAGUGUGUCUUCAUCUCAUUCACUGCCGGAGGGUGGCGUAAGCAGUGACGCUAAGGUGGGGCACAGUCAAUAUCAUUUGCAUUUGACCAUUAUAGUUUUCUCCCGGCUUGAAAGUAACCUUAUCGUGAUAAAGGAUUACUAGCACUAGUUCAGAUGACCGUCAUGUUAAUUCGGACCAUGUUUGUGUCACAUUAUCAGCAACCAUGUGUUUAUGGUUCAUGCUAUCUGCAACUAAACUUGAUAUAUAACCAGGUGAACUUCAAUCAAAAUUCUGGAAGUACUCUUGUGAUAGAUGGUGCCUGUCUGCAGAGUCCAUCAAUUGAAAAAUGGAGUGAGUGUAUCUAUAAGAGGGAAGGCUUGGCAAAUGUUCAGUUUUCUGGGAAUUCAACAAGGAUCUAAAAUAGAUUGUUUUCUUUGCCGACUUCAAUGGUUGAAAUUUGAGAAGAUUGUGUCCACAUAUCACAACUAUUACUGGUCCUUCUGUUGCAAUUUAUCCUGUAAGGCUCUAACAUGUCUUCCAAUUCCCACUUCCCUGUUACUCCAGGAAAGCUAUUUCUGUCAUUGUGAAGAAGAAAAGAGAAUGUACAUAUCGAUGCUUUUAAGUGACUGGAGCAUUCAUAUCAGGUGGUCUGCAGCCAUAUAUGCCACUUUGUGAAGGUUGGAACAGUCAAUCACUAGGCUAUAUAUUGGUGUGGCCCAGCCACUUCAAUCAAGGACAAGUCUUCAUACUUAAAGUCAAAUUCUGCCUUUAGUCUCAUUAUAAAUUGCUGUUUAAAUAUUAAGCAAACUUUUGUUUAAUGCGAUUAAGACAGUACUAACUCAAUACUUGUUCUAUUUUUGGAUGCAAAUGCUUGAUGGUUUCAUCAUUGGAUGGGAUAAAGGUGCAUUCAUGAUUAUGAAUACUUGUAGUUAUAUUUUCAUUCUCUUUUUUCUCAAUGAGACUUGUUGGCACAAUGUUGCUGUUCAGAAACCUACCUCUCCAUGGAAAAUAAGUUGCGAUUGAUAGUACUGGAUAUGUUCAAGAAAGCUAAAUAUAGAUAGCACAAAAUAUUAUCGAUAUAAAUAGCAUUAACAGCGUACGUAUGUCUCAAUGCUCAUCAGCUAUAAGCAUGGGACAAACACUUACUAUGAGCAACUUACGUCAAAAUUCCAGAAUAGGACAUAGAAGUGACAGAUCUAUAUAUAUAGAACACUGCAUAUGAGUCACAAGAAAGGAAAUUACGGGUGCAUAGCAGCUCUUAUUUUACAUACUACUACUCAUACUGAUCAAAGUCACUCAGUUGGGAUGGGUGGGAGUAGGAGGUUUGUGGGGUGGCUUGUGCGGAGGAGUUGGCAGCUUCUUUCCAGGACCUGGUUGCUUCUCUGCUGGAGUUGAAGGAGGCUUAAUCUUCCGAGGUGGCUUGUAUGAGUCUUCAGCAUUCUCAGCUGGAGGGUGACCAGGGUUGUGACCAUAAUGUGGUGGCUUCUCUCCCUUAGGUGGUUUGCCAACUGGGGUUGGUGGCUUGUAUGAGUCUUCAGCAUUCUCAGCAGGAGGGUGACCAGGGUUGUGACCAUAAUGUGGUGGCUUCUCUCCCUUAGGUGGUUUGCCAACUGGGGUUGGUGGCUUGUGUUCUGGGAGUGGCUUCUCCCCCUUGGGAGGUUUUUCCAAUGGGGUUGGUUUGUGUUCAGGAGGUGGCUUCUCCACUGGAGGCUUGUGUUCAGGAGGUGGCUUCUCCACCGGUGGCUUGUGUUCAGGAGGUGGCUUCUCCACCGGAGGCUUAUGCUCUGGUGGUGGCUUCUCCACCGGAGGCUUAUGCUCUGGUGGUGGCUUCUUGAAUGGGGGAUGCUGAGGGUAAUCAGCAAGUGAGGGGGCGGUGAGAACCACCAGGCCAAGCAACACCACUAGCAAAUAUGUAGGAGACAUCUUUGGGUUUGGGCUCAGAUGGUGCAAAACUAGGAGAAUUGGCUAGCCUUUUAUAGCGGAUCGUACUCAAUAAUGAAAUGACACGUGUCAUUAUGACCCAUGUGUAAUGGGGUCGAUUUGGGUCCUACAGUGUUGAAAACUUCGACAUCCAGUUUUGGCCUUUUGCUUUCUCUACAGCCGCCUUGCUUUUUCCCUCUUUCCUUUUGUUUUCCUCCUGCCCCAUUCUAUCAACUAAACACAAUUAUGUAGUUGUUUAAUUCUUAAAUGAGAUAUUAUCGGUCAAUCGUAUUAUAUUUUAUCAAGAGAGAACGGAGUGCAAUGCAGCUGUAAUUUUAUCGUUUACUUUUAUCUCUUGGACCACUGCAUUUUUGUUAAGAGGUGCAAUAAUACACGUCUUUAUCUGCCAUUCAAUGUUUACAGUAAAGAGAGGGCACAAAACUCUUCACUGCUCUGCAUGUGUCCCAAAAAUGCGAUUGGACAAAUUAUGAUUUGCAUGCUAAAAAGAGGCAAAUGAGGUUAAUUCGCACCAUAAUUAUUUGGUUUUCUGGACACCAUAAAAAGAUGUUAUACAGGCAGGGAAAAACCUUCAGAGUUAGCUACCAAAGAUAAUUAUCAAGCAGAUAUCACCAAGAGAAUUCCAUAGAGUCUGAAUCAAAGACAGAUUGCUCGCUCGUGGGGGUUCUUACUUUCUUUUGGGUAUAACUCACUGAGGUCACUGUCUUUUUUAUUUGCAUUUCACAGUUAGAGUUCUGCUCUGGAAGGUUUGUUCUGGAAACAUAUAAAAGGAGCAUCAUUUUGUUCUUGGGUAACCCAUAGUCGUGAGUGGGUCCAUUUGCAUGCUACUUAGUUGAAAAGUUGGACAAUUUGCUCCGACGCCUACCUCCUGGAUUCCAUGCUCGGUAAAACAAGAAUAAAAAAAAAUAUAUAAUUUACAAAUGGGGGAAAGAAAAAAUGUCGGAAAAAAUAGUAAAAUUCAUGUCACAUGCUAGUGAGAGAAGGGGUUGUUACACUCACUCGAAGUUCUUUUCAAAAUAUCGAAUGGUAUUUUACUUUAUGUGUCAGCGCAGUUGUGAAUGGAACGUGCAAAAGUCCAAAUUGGCGUUUUUAUUUUUCCCAUGUAGGAUGGUGACCUUUAAUAAAUAUUUAAAACAAAAGACGAAAAAAAAAAGGAGGGAAAAGGGAUCACAAAAGAUAAAAUAAUGUUUACAAAAGCUCAAUUAGUUUGCAAAUUACUGUUUGGAUUUUGAUAGUAUUUUAUUUGUCGUUCUAUAUUUGAUGUAAAAGAGAAUUUAAGAUAUUUCCGAAGCAAAAGCAUUAGUUUGCUCUGUGAUGUCCCACAUCGAAUAGGGGAGAAAGUUUCUGGCGCUAUAUAUGUAGAGGCUCCUCUUAACCAAGUAGAUGCGUUUUAAAACCAUGAGGGCCCCCUUAGGUCCAAAGCGGACAAUAUCUACAUGAUUGGGUGUAAGUCAUUACAAAUGGUAUCAGAGCCGAUCCCCGACCCCGGUGUGGGGGUUUGUUUGGCCCUGUAAGGGGUGUUUGUCUGUUUGACCCCACAAUCCCAUGGGACACAACGAGGACGUUGUGUCUGCAUGGGGGGGCGUUUGUGAUGUCCCACAUCGGAUAGGGGAGAAAGUUCCUAGUGCUAUAUAUGUAGAUGUUUCUCUUAACCAAGUAGAUGCAUUUUAAAAUUGUGAGGGCCUCUUUGGGCCCAAAGCGGACAAUAUCUACAUGGUUGAGUGUAAGUCAUUACAUGCUCCAUGUCAAUUUCAGCAUUUCUCAUAUGUUUCACACAUACACAGAAGAGCAUCGUUUUUUAAAGCAUGCAUUUAUGUUGGAUUAAUUUGGAUUUUGUGGGAACUGGGGCAAGGAUCACAUGGAAGAGAGGUUGACUUUUUUCAGUACUUCAAUGGUUGAAAUAUGUGAAGGCUUGAUUGAUACUAAAGCUUGAAAUUGCGACUCUGUCAUUUGUAAAAAAAUAUGACAGCUUCCAUGCUCUCGUUUGGUUGCAUUGUCCGGUCGAGAGGUGCAAAAAGCAUUCUCUCUCUUCUAAUAGUCUUUUCGUUUAAAUCAAGGGAUUUGCCUUCCCGGUCGAGGUCCAAUAGAGGGUAACGGUCACCUACUAAACAUUAAAUGCUCCAACAACUAGUGAACUGAUCGACCCCAGCUCGACUAGUUGAGGUUACUUUUUGGUUUUCUUGUCUCCCGAGGUUAGAAACCUAUAAAUAGAGAGCUUCACUUCAUUUAUGAGUAAGAGAACACCUAAAUUUAUUUGUUUACCUACUUGUUUUUGCCAUAAAAGCUCUCAUUUCUUUUCUUGGUGUAUUAAAUCUCCAUUUGCAUAUCCUUUAGUGCACCUUUGUGAUUCAUUCUAGCCUUGAGUUGUAUUUAAGCCUUUGUUGAGCUAGGUUGAGAGUUUCAUACUUGUUUAUUGAGUGUUAAAGCCUUCAAGUGAGUUAAAACUUGAAGAGAUUGUGUAAGAGCCCAUUGGAGUCGGAAUCCAAGUGUAAAGGUGAUUAAAAGCUUGGUUGAAGCUUCAAGUUAGUGGAACUCUCACUCGGUUAUGAGCUUGAGAAGAGUGGACAUAGACAAGGCAGUGUCGAACCACUAUAAAAUCUGAGUUUGAUUUCUCUAACCUUAUCUCUUUAUAUUUGCUUCUCUUGUGCUUAAAUUUUUUGUGUUUAAAAAGAAUUUUUAAAAACUCAAUUCACCCCCUUCUUGGGAGUUUUUCUCUUUUAAGAUCAGCUUUUAUUUUCUCAAUUGGUAUCAGAACUAUGCCUCUUGUUUAAGACUUAAUCGUCUAAGAGGAAAUGGCUAAUCCAUCAAGUUCAUCUCACAUUGAAAGUUUUGCAACCAAUAGACUUCUUUUUUUUUUUUUGCGGGAACUGAUUAUCCCUAUUGGAAAACUAAAAUGACUUGGUUUUUACAAUCAAUUGAUUUAGAUGUAUGAGAUGCCAUUGAAGAUGACCUAACUUUUCCUUCAAAACUAGUUGAUGGAGUCAUGGUUCCAAAACCUAAGCAAGAAUGGGAUGAGCGUGAUUGAAGAAAUUUUCAAUUAAAUGCUAAAGUCGUUUAUACUUUGCAAUGCUCUAUGGACAGAAAUGAAUAUAAUAGAAUAUGUCAAUGCAAAUCGGUUAAAGAAAUUUGGAGAUUGCUUGAAAUAACUCAUAAAGGAACAAAUCAAGUUAAAGAGUCAAAAAUCAAUUUACUUGUUCAUAGAUAUGAAUUGUUUUUUAUGAAAGAUAAUGAAACUAUUGUUAAGAUGAUCACUAGGUUCACCAACAUUGUUAAUGGUCUUAAAGCCUUGGGAAAGACCUACAAGGAAUCCGAAAACGUGAUGAAGAUCUUGAGGUCACUUCCAUCAAAGUGGCAUACCAAGGUCACCGCAAUUUAAGAAGCAAAAGACUUGAUCAAGCUACCUUUGGAGGAGUUCAUAGGGUCAUUGAUGACAUAUGAAAUCAAUUUGGCAAAGAAGUAACAAAAAGGUGAAGACAAAAAGAAGAAGAACAUAACUCUCAAAGCUACAACUAAGGAAGAAGAAGUUGAAGAAGAAAAACAAAUUGAAGAAGAUGAAGAUUUAGCCCUCAUCACAAGAAAGUUCAACAAAUUCAUGAGGGGUGAAAGGUUUAGAAGAAGAAGGUUCACUUCUAGAAGAGACUUUUCUAAAAAGGAAUCUUCAUCUAAUGGUGACAAAAAGAGAUGGGAAGAGAAAAGAGACUUGGUGUGUUUCAAGUGCAAGAAACCGGGACACAUUAAAUAUGAUUGUCCUCUCUACAAAAGUGAAGUCAAGAGGAAAAAGAAUAAGGCAAUGAUGGCCACUUAGAGUGAAAGUGAAGAUGAAUCAUCCGAAGAAGAAAAUGAGAAAGAAGUGGCAAACAUGUGUUUCAUGGCAAUAGAUGAACUUGAUGAGGUAAAAUCUAACCUUAGUGAUUAAGAUAUACAUGAUGCAUUUGAAGAAUUGUAUGAGGAUUUUUAAAAACUUAGUUUGAAAAAUAUUUCUCUUAAAAAGAAAGUUCAACAACUUGACAAAGAACUUAGAGAAGUAAAAGAAAAAUUUUCAAAUGUUAAAGUUUCUAAAACUCAUCUUGAAAAAGAAAAUGAGAUUCUAAGAAAGAAAAAUGAAUAGUUGAACUCCUCUCUUUCAAUCUUUUCUUCUAGACAAAAAUCUUUUGAAAUGAUUCUAACUAGCUAAAAAUGUGUUUUUGACAAACAAGGGUUAAGAUUUAAAUCUUCAAAAAAUCAAAAGUAUUUUAAAAACUAUUUUGUAAAGGAAUCCACAAGUGCAAGUCCUUCCACUACUUGCAACUUUUGUGGAAGAGAAUGGCACAUUAGUAGUACGCCCUUUAAGAAAUGGUUCUCAAAAGAAUUUAAAUGCAAAAACUAAAAAAGAUUUGGAUUGAGAAAUCCAAGGUCACUAACCCUCAAGGACCCAAAAAGAUAUAGGUACCUAAAUCAACUUGAGUUUUAUGUUGUAAGGUUCAAAGAAUGAUAAGUGGUUCUUAGAUAAUGGUUGCUCAAGACACAUGACCGGAGAUGAAUCCAAGUUUGCUUUUCUUAAAAAGAAAAAUGGAGGAUAUGUUACCUUUGGAGACAAUGCAAAAGAAAGGAUGAUUGGUCAAGGCAACAUUGGUAAUGGCACAUCCUCUCUCAUUGAAAGUGUUUUAUUAGUAGAUGGUUUCAAACAUAACCUUUUAAGCAUUAGUCAAUUUUGCGACAAAGGUUUUUAAGUGAUUUUUUAAGCAUCUCAUUGCAUCAUCAAGGAUAUUCAAAAUGAUAAAACCAUUUUCAUGGGCCAUAGAUGUGAUAAUGUUUAUGCUAUAAAUAUUUCAAAAUAUGAUGGCCAUGAUAGAUGUUUUUCAAGCAUGCAUGAUCAAAGUUGGUUGUGCCAUAGGAGAUUGAGACAUGCUAACAUAGACCUCAUUUCCCAACUCAACAAAGAUGAACUUGUUAGAGGCCUUCCCAAAAUAAUUUUUUAAAAAGAUAAAGUUUGUGAAGCUUGUCAAGUGGGAAAGUAAAUCAAAAACUCUUUUAAAAACAAAAACUUCAUUUCCACAUCUAGGCCACUUGAGUUGUUGCAUAUGGAUUUAUUUGGUCCCUCUAGGACACCAAGUCUUAGAGGAAAUUCUUAUGCAUAUGCUAUUGUGGACGACUUCUCUAGAUACACAUGAGUCUUGUUUUUUAGUCAAAAGAAUAAAGUUUUUUAUGAGUUUUCAAAGUUUUGCAAUAAGAUUCAAAAUGAAAAAGGUUUUUCAAUUACUUAUAUAAGAAGUGAUCAUGGGAGAGAAUUCGAAAAUAUUGAUUUUGAAGAGUAUUGCAAUGAGCAUGGAAUUGACCACAAUUUUUUGGCUCUUAGAACUCCUCAACAAAAUGGGGUAGUUGAAAGGAAAAAUAGAACUCUUCAAAAAAUGACAAGAACCAUACUAAAUGAAAACAACUUACCAAAAUAUUUUUAGGCCAAAACGGUUAACACUUCUUGUUAUGUUUUAAAUAGAGUAUUAUUGAGGCUCAUACUUAAGAAAACUCCCUAUGAGCUUUGGAAAAACAAAAAACCCAACAUUAGUUAUUCCAAAGUCUUUGGAUGCAAUAUUUUAUAAUAAACACCAAAGACAAUCUUGGAAAAUUUGAUGCAAAAUUGGAUGUUGGAAUUUUCCUUGGUUACUCAACUUCAAGUAAAGCUUUUCGAGUUUUAACAAAAGAACCAUGGUUGUAGAGGAGUCCAUCCAUGUUAUUUUUUAUGAAUCUCCAAGAAAGAGAGAGGAUUGAUGAUGAUUUAGGUUUGAAGACCUCUAUAGGAAGAUUGCAAAUCGAAGAUAGAAGACAACAAGAAGAAAAUGGAGAGAAUCCAAAGAAAGAAGGAUCACCAUUGGCACUACCCCCUCAUCAACAAGCGCAAGGUGAAUCAAGUCAAGAGCUUCCUAAAGAAUGGAAGUUUGUCAUCAAUCACCCACAAGAUCAAAUUAUAGGCAAUCCAUCUAGUGGGGUAAGAACUAGAUCCUCUCUUAGAAAUAUUUGCAAUAAUCUAGCUUUUAUCUCUCAAAUUGAGCCUAAAAAUAUAAAUGAUGUUUUAGAUGAUGAAAAUUGGAUAAUUGCAAUGCAAGAAGAGUUAAAUCCAUUUGAAAGAAGUGGAGUAUGGGAAUUAGUACCAAGACCUUCAAAUCAAAGUGUUAUUGGAACUAGAUGGAUCUUUAGAAAUAAAAUGGAUGAAAAUAGCAUAAUUGUUAGAAAUAAAGCAAGAUUGGUAGCCCAAGGUUUUAAUCAAGAAGAAAUGAUAGAUUAUGAAGAAACCUUUGCCCCCGUAGCUAGGUUGGAAGCCAUUAGGAUGCUACUUGCCUUUGCAUGUUUUAAAGACUUUGUUUUAUAUCAAAUGGAUGUGAAAAGUGCUUUUUUAAAUGGUUUUAUAAAUGAAGAAGUAUAUGUUGAACAACCACCCGGUUUUCAAAGUUUCAACUUUCCUAACCAUGUUUUUAAACUUAAAAAGACACUUUAUGGUUUGAAACAAGCACCUAGAUCAUGGUAUGAAAAAUUGAGUAAAUUUCUUUUGAAAAAAAUGUUUUAAAAUGGGAAAAAUUGACACAACUCUUUUUAUAAAAACCAAAGAAAAUGAUAUGCUCUUAGUUCAAAUAUAUAUUGAUGAUAUCAUUUUUGGUGCUACUAAUGUCUCUCUUUAUGAAGAAUUUUCUAAGUGCAUGCAUAGUGAGUUUGAAAUGAGCAUGAUAGGAGAACUCAACUUCUUCCUUGGACUUCAAAUCAAGCAACUAAAGGAAUGAACCUUCAUCAAUCAAGCAAAGUAUAUAAGAGAUCUUCUCAAAAGGUUCAACAUGGAAGAAGCCAAAACAAUGAAGACUCUAAUGAGCUCAUCCAUUAAGCUUGAUAAGGAUGAGAAAGGUAAAUCCAUUGACUCUAUUAUGUAUAGAGGCAUGAUAGGUUCUUUGCUCUAUUUGACCACUAGUAGACCUUACAUUAUGUAUAGUGUGUGUUUGUGUACUAGAUUUCAAUCUUGUCUUAAAAAAUCUCACUUAAGUGUCGUGAAAAGAAUCCUCAAAUAUUUGAAAGGGACAAUGGACAUAGGCUUAUGGUAUCCUAAGAGUGAUAACUUUGAAUUAAUUGGUUUUUUGGAUGCUGAUUUUGUCAGUUGUAGGGUUGAAAAAUAAAACACUAGUGGCACUUUUCAUUUCUUAAGACACUUACUUGUCUCAUGGCAUAAUAAGAAGCAAAAUUUGGUAGCUUUGUCAACAGCAGAAGCUAAAUACAUAGCAACUGGUUUAUGUUGUGCACAAAUCCUUUGGAUGAAAUAAACACUUAGUGAUUUUGAUUUAUCUUUUGAGCAUAUUCCUAUUAAAUGUGAUAAUAGUAGUGCCAUAAGUAUAUCAAAAAAUCUCGUGCAACACUCUAGGACUAAGCAUAUAGAGAUUAGACAUAAUUUUCUUAGAUAUCAUACACAAAAGGAUGAUAUAACACUUGAAUUUGUAAGCAUAAAAGACCAACUUGCCGAUAUCUUUACAAAACCUCUAAGAACAUUUUGUUGAUAUUAGAGGACAAUUAGGAGUGAUUUCUUUAUGAUCUAAUGUGAUGAAUUCUUGAUGAAUAUACUUUUUGAUUGCAUGAAUUUCAUGUCAUAUAUGCAUCAUAUAGAAAUAUACUUAGAUAAUGGUCAAAUUUCGACCAAAAAUCAAAAUUCCCAUGGCAUUAGGCAUAAAAAUUUUGGAAUUUCAACUGAAAAUGGUAGGAGGAGGAUCACAAAAUGAGAAAGUAUGCAAAAAUUGAAAAAUCAAAACGUUGACCAAGCGGUCAAUCGGACUAGACCGAUCGACUAGUUUGUCGAGAUUUAGGAUUUUUAAGAGACUCCAACGCUUCAAUUUUUGCACCGUUCUCCUCUAUUUCUUCACGGUUUCUCUGAUUUUGUCUUUUAGAGACUAAUUUGAGUGCGUUUUGGAUCAAUUGAAGCAUUUUGGAUUGGAUUUUAGGAAGAUUGAAAGUUAAGGUUUCGGAUUUGGGUCGCCUUCUCUUCCUCUCGCGUGUCACAAUCAGCUUUAGCAUUGUUCUCUUUCCAUUUUCACACACCUAGGGUUUCAGUUGUGAGCAUCUCUCUCUCUUUACCAACCACUACUCCCUUGCUUCUUCCAUAUGGCUCCUAGGCGAGAGUCCGCUACUUCUAGGGCACAAGGCAAGCACCCAACUGAGUCGUCUCAGUCAAAGGCACGUCGAAAAGUGAGAUUUGACAUUGCCUUGUUCAGUUCCAUGGAGGACUACCAACUAUACAAGCAACACUUUGCUUAGAGACGAGUAGUUCCCAAGAGAAAUAUUAAUUUUCCUCAACUUCAGCAUUUCGAAUUUAAGGGUCUAUUUACUAGGAUGGUUGGUUGUCUAUUGUCACAAUUUCGGAGCCGGUUUUCCUGACCUUAGUGCGAGUUUUUUACUCGAGGGCGACUUAUGGCAUGGGUGGCAUGAUCAUUUCUACUGUUGGAGGAGUUGAGAUCUGUCUGGACCCAGAGAGCAUCUGCCAUAUUUUCGAUAUUGCUCUGGUUGGACUCAAAGUAUACAAGUCCAAAAUGUGGCCCAUUGUGCCAGGAUUUGAGCUUAGAGAGGUCAUUCAGAGGAUUUGUGAACUUCCAGACGCCCAGGAGAUGGGCAAACCAUUGCCACACAGUUUGACGGUCAUCAACAGGGUGCUACACCAUAUAUUGUGCUCUAUCUUUCUACCACGAAGUGGACAUUGAGAUGAGGUCUCUUAUUAUGAGGCAUUCCUUAUUGACUCCAUUCUAACGGAGAGACGAAUUCAUCUACUAUGUCAUCAUUCACUAAGCCUCCUCACAGUGACAUACCACCUCAUCAGGCACCUCUUGCUCCUGACCAUGCUCCAUUGAUGGAUUUAUUUACUCAUAUUAGCUCUCUAGGCACUCGCAUGAAGGAGUUUGUUGUAGUUAGUGAUACAUGGUUCUACUCCAUAGAGGAUCGCAUGGAUCAGUAUCAGACUGGCUUCACGUCACAGUUUGAGUAUCUCCAAUAGAGGAUUGAGCAUAUUGAGGAUCACUUGAGCAUGAGAAGAUGAUGGCUUUUCUAUGCUCUGUGUUUCCACCUCCACCUCGUCAACCUUGAUUUCUUAGAGACCCAUUGUUUUCAUUUUGUAAUGUUGCCAAAAGGGGGAGAUAUUUAGGAUCUAGGACUCUAUAGGAGACUUACAUGCAUAUCAUUUUCAUAUCAUUGUUUGGAUCGUACAUAUUGGAUAGUGAUACUUUUUACUUAUAUAUGAUAUGCCUAUAUGUUUCAUGUCUUACAUUGUUUCUUAUUGCAAAUUAUCUCUAACAUGUCUUGAUUAUCUUUUUUUUAACUUCAUAAAUUUUGAUUGUUAACCCAUGAUUGGUUUGAGGGGAAGAUUCUUCUUCUCCUAGAUAACCAAGGUUUGUCAUCAUAAAAAAAUUGGAGAUUGUUAGCCCAAGGGUUCUCCUAAUCAUGUUUUGAUGAUAACAAACCAUGCUUAAGUUACUAAUUGGUUUGAAUUAUAAAGAAUUUCAAGUGUUAAUUUGAAAAUUCAUCAAAGAACCUAAUGGAUGCAAGAUCAAGAUUUUUGGAAGACCUUUAAUCAUAAGAAACAUAUGUAAGAUGAAUGCAUGGGUGCACUUAAGAUUUGCAUAUCAUUUCAUGCAUAUUUGGAAAACACGGUUUAUGCUUUAAAGUUACAUUUCCAUCAAAAUUUGAGAUCCAUCAAAUGAACCUUAGGAAAAAUGUUUUAAAAUUGGCAUAUAAUUUUACCUAAAGACCUUGCCUAAGUGUUAGAAGCAAAAGGACAAAAAAAAUAUAGGUUUUCUGGUCAAAAAUGGUGAACCAGUCAAGGCAUUGUCUAAAUCAGCUCAAUCGGCCAAGGUACCGGUCGAUCGGUUUCCCUUUCCCUGUCGAGAUCUAGUCAAGAGGUACAAAAAUCACAAUCUCUGUCUCUUUCUCUCUUUGUCUAUCUUCCAGUAGUCUUUCCUUCCCGGUCGAGGGAUUUGCCUUCCCGAUUGAGGUCCGAUUGAGAGUAAUAGUCACUUGCCAAAUAUUAAAUGCUCCAACAGUUAGUGAACUGGUCGACCCCCACCUUGCCCAGUUGAGGUUACUUUUUGGUUUUCUUGGCUCCCGAUGUUAGAAACCUAUAAAUAGAGAGUUCCACUUCAUUUAUGAGCAAGAGAACACUUGCAUUUAUUUGUUUACCUACUUGUUCUUGCCUUAAAAGCUCUCAUUUCUUUUCUUGGUGCAUUAAAUCUCCAUUUUGAUAUCCUUUAGUGCACCUUUGUGAUUCAUCUUAGCCUUGAGUUGUAUUUGAGCCCUUUUUUUAGCUAGGUUGAGAGUUUCAUACUUGUUAAUUGAGUGUUAAAGCCUUCAAGUGAGUUGAAACUUGUAGAGAUUAUGUGAGAGUCGAUUGGAGCCGAAAUCCAAGUGUAAAGGUGAUUAGAAGCUUGGUUGAAGCUUCAAGUUAGUGGAAUCCUCACUCAAUUAGGAGCUUGAGGAGAGUGGACGUAGCCAAGGAAGUGUCGAACCACUAUAAAAUUUGAGUUUGAUUUCUCUAACAUUGUCUCUUUAUAUUUGUUUAUCUUGUGCUUAAAUUUAUUGUGUUUAAAAAGAAUUUUUAAAUACCCAAUUCACCCCCCUCUUGGGUGUUUUUCUCUUUUAAAAUUAGCCUUUAUUUUCUCACAAACUAUUGUAGUAUAGUGGUUUUUAGGUGUCAUCCAUUAGGAUGAAUUGUUCUCGGUAAUUAAGGCGUGAAUGAGAGGAGAAUUAAUGAUUGUGAUUAAGUAAAAUUGAUUUGAAAAUUCAUGGUGAAAAAUCAAUUUAACAAUGGUUUCUAAUUGAGAAAAACAAUGAAAUGUGAAAUAAAAUAAAAUUAAUAGGAAAUGAAAUUCUCGAAGUUAGAAUUUUCUAAAAAACAAAUUCCAUGGUGAAUGGAUGUUGAGAUCUAAUUUUCAUCAAGUUAGAUUGAAAACCGAAAUUUUCAUAUAAACUGAUUUUUUAUUUAGUUUUAGGUCUAGAUUUAAUUUCCCUUAAAAUUAGGUUAUUUAAUCCAAGAAAUCAAUUCAAAUCAUAUAUUCAAUUCAUCUUAAAUUAUCUUCCAAUUAUUCACACAAUGCAACUAUUCAAUCUCAUCAAAUCUAGCUUUUAAGAAUUUAAUGAAUCUACCUAGUUUGCAUUGUAAUAGUCAUCCAUGACAAUUUGAAGAGAAAAAUAAUUCAAUUAAUCAAUCACUUGGAUCAAAUUACCUUUGCAAUUAAAGUUCAUUUCUCUAAUUCACCACAGAUUUUGUCUCUAGAUCCUCCUUUCUCAAAGAAAAAUGAGAUUUAGCCACACAUGAUUGGAGAUUUGGUCUCAUAAGGCAUGUUUAGCUAGUGAUAAAAUGAGAGAAAAUAAAGAAAAAUAGAGAAUUCGAUUAAGAAAGAAAAUCUAAAAAAUUCUACAAUUAGAAAUGUCCAAAAAGCUUUUUCAUGAGAAAAUCAAGUUUCUAUUUAUAGGCCAAGGUCAAGUGGACACUUGACAUCAUCUAAGAGGUCUUCCGGAAGCUUCUUCAUCAAGAAAUCUGGAGUUUAAUAAUAAAAUGGUCAUUUCACAAGAGCUCAAACAAUUUCGCAUGAUUAUGUGAAAUAAAAAAUGCAACAACAGCAAUUUACAUCUUCUUGGAGCAUUUCGCAUGACUGUGUGAAAUUUUCACAUGAUCAUGUGGAAUCGACUUGACAACUCUCAUUUAGCCUACAACAUAAUUCCACCUUUUGGUCCAUUUUUCAUAGUCAUGCGAAAUGGAAAUAUUUGAUUUUUAAGUUUUCUUUUGUCAUUUCUUUCAUUUCCUUCUCUUGAUUCCACUUCAACUACCUCCGAAUCCUGGUCCAAACCAAUUGCAUUACUUCUUUCAUUAUGCAUUUGGAUCAUCAUCAACAUUAUUUGUUCUCUUCAAUUUGAUUCAUCUCUUUUGUCACCAAUUUAUCAAAAUCAUACCUUGAAAUGACUCCAAAACUUCAUAAAACUUGUUAGUAACUCUUGCAAGGGCAACAACAUAUUAAUUAAGUGUUUUAGGCAUAGUUACUACUCAAAAGAUGCGAAACUCAUGAUAAUUAUUAUAUAAAAUAUGCUCUUUUUGAGUAGUAAUCAACUUUCUUGCAUAAGCAGACCUUUUAGGGUGGAGUACUAAAGACCAAUAUGCUUGUCCUUGUUGUAAUAAAGAAACUUGCUCUUAUUGAUUGCACCAUGGGAGAAAAUUUUGCUACAUGAGUUAUCAUCAAUUUCUUCCCACCAAUCAUAGAUUUAGACGUGACAAGAGGCCUCUUAAUGGCAAGGAGGAACUGACACUCACACUUAUACAAUUAUCGGGCAUUGAUGUGUUGCAACAAUUAGAAUAACUUACACCAAUUAUGUUGGGGAAGUCACAAAAGGCAAACAUGAAAACUAAAAGGAAAAAAGAAAAAUGUUACAUAUCACCACAACUGGAAAGAAAAAAGUAUUUACUUUCAUUUGCCAUAUUGGAAAGCACUUAUUUUACAUCAUAAUAAUUUAGACAUAAUGCAUAUUGAGAAAAAUGUGUGACAAUAUAAUUGAGACAUUGUUCAGUAUUGACGAAGAAACAAGGACAACCUAAAUAGUCAUCUCGAUUUACAAGCUCUAACUAUUAGAAAUGAGAUUCACCCAAUAGAAAGCAGGACCAAAUUUAUUUUGCUUGCAACAUGCUACUCACUCACCCCAAAUGAGAUUAAGGAAUUUUGCAAGUUUUUGAAAUCAAUAAAGGUCCCCAAUGGCUAUUCUUUCAAUAUCUCUCGUUAUGUGCAACUCAAUGAAAGGAAGAUAUAUGAGCUCAAAUUGUAUGAUUGUCAUGUCCUAAUGCAACAACUUCUCUCACUUGUAGUUCGUGGAGUUCUACAUAAGAAUGUUUGUGGAGUUAUCAUAGAAUUGCGUAAUUUUUUCAAGCAAUUGUGCUCAAAGGUGUUAGAAACAAAUCACUUACACCAACUUGAGAACAAUAUUAUUGUCAUACUAUGUAAAAUGGAGCAAAUAUUUCUUCCAUCAUUCUUUGAUAUUAUGGUGCAUUUACUUGUGCAUCUAGUAAGGCAAAGGUUGCAAGACUUGUGCAAUAUUGUUGGAUGUACCUAAUUGAACGAUAUUGUUAUAAUUUCAUAUGAAUCAUUUAAUUUUAUUUUAUAUUAUGUUCAGUUCAUUAACAUGUACAUUGGUCUACAUAUGGAUGAUGAUAGGUACCUAAGCACUUUAAAGUCAUAUGUGCGUAAUAGAACUUUUCUAGAAGGUUCUAUUGUAGAAAGGUACCUUGCAAAAGAAUGUACAACAUUUUAUUCUAGGUACUUGAAUGAUGUGGAAAUAAAGUAUAAUCACAAUGAUAGAAACUUUGUUGGUUUCAACACUAGAGGAGAUGAAAGGGGUUAUCUUUAAACAUAUUGGACAUGCAUUGGGAAAGCCCAUAUUUCAUUAACUUAGUUCAAAAGAGUGGUCACAAGCACAUUUAUAUGUGUUGACAAAUUGCGAAGAUGUCAUACCAUUCAUUGAGUAAAAAAUUUAUUUGAAUUUUAAUUAAAGCUCUAGUUUAUAUCCUUAAUCAAUGUUUUUUAAAUUCACAAGGAGCACAAGCAAACCAUCAAGGCUAGACCACAUAUACGUGUUUGAGACGUAGAUUUAAUUCAUAACAAGGAAUUUAUCAAGUGGUUUGAAAGACAUGUAAGUAUAUUCCUUAUUAUAAGGGAUUUAUUUCACAUUAUGUUUAUAUUGAAUCCAAACCUAUUAUUGAAUUGUAGGUUGAACAAUUACAUAAUGAAGGUCAUAUAUCUGAACACCUUCUCACAUUAUCAUGUGUUCCAAAUUCAUUAGUUACAUGCUUCAAAUGAUAUAUUGUCAAUGGAUUUAGAUCCCACAUUAAAGAACGUGAUAAAAAAGUUUUUAAAAAAAGACUCAGAAUAAUGGAAUUGUUGUAGUUGCAAAAACGUCAAGCUUUACAAGUGCAUGUGAUAUGAGUCCAAUUAUUAGUGAUGCUCUCUACUAUGGUGUUCUAACUAAAGUUGUUGAGUUACAUUAUCUUGGUGAAAAUAAGGUUGUUUUAUUCGAGUUUGAUUGGUGGGAUGUUACAAAUAUUGGAAAAUUGAUAAAAGAUGAUGAGUACAAUUACACAUUUGUUAACUUUGCAUGAAUUCUAACCACGAACGAACGAUUUGUACUUGCAUCUCCAGCAAAGUAAGUGUUCUAUGUGAAGAAUGCGAAUGAAUCAGAUUGGCAUACUAUCAUGGAGAUGCAACCUCAAGACCUCUAUAAGAUGAACGGGAUAGGAUCCAAUGGUGAUUUUGAACCAUUUCAACAAAGUGAACUACAUGAUCACUAAUAUAUCUCAGAUUUAGUUGAUGAAGAUAUAAUCAAGUGGAACAAAAGUGAUGUUUUAGGACUAAUCAUCCUAAAAAAUAUUGUAGUUUCUUAAAAAAAAAAUGAAAAUGAAGAAGAUAAUUGAACCUUUGUCAUACUUUAAAAAGCAACUAUGCAUUGUUCAUUUUGUAUGUUUUGGUUUUCUUCAUUUAAUUUCCUGAUUUUUGUGAUUCAAUGUCAUAUUAUUGAUCUUGAAAUAUUUUUCUAAUUUUUCAUUCUACGAUGGUUUCAACAAGGAUGACAUCAAGUCAAAAAAGGAAAUGUGGUCCCACACACAAUAUUGCAUUACAGGGAUUAAGGUCAGGGAAGAAGGUAAAAGUUGCAUUUAAUGAGUACAAUCAAUUGGUUAAACAGAAAAAUGGAAAACACUUAUCGAGCUACAUAGGGACACUUGUAUCUAACCAACACAAUGUACCUCUCCAAGCUAGUGAUUGGAAAAAUGUUCCAAAUGAUGCAAAAGAGAAAGUAUGGCCUUUGUUUUGGUAUGUUGUAUUUCUCACUAUAUGAUGUCAUUUCACUGUUAUUCUAUUUUGUGACUAACGUUUGAAUCAUAUGUAAGAAAAAUUUGAAGUAGAUAAAGACUGAAAAGAUUACAUGUUGGGUAUAGCCUCAAAUAAAUAUAGAAGCUAUAAAAAUAUGAUGAAUGCAAAAUACUAUGACCCUUGGCAUAAGGAUGCAUGAGGAGAGGUUAAUACAUAAAUCACCAUUUGUCUCUGAUGUUGAUUGGAAGUGGCUUGUCUCUGAUGCAUAAACCAAAUCCCCCACUGAAUGUUUGAUAUUUGAUAGCAGGAAAAACACACCCGCAGCUAUACACCUCCAUCAUUCAGAUAAUUAUAGUGGGGGAGAUGAUUCAUGGUUGCCCUUAUACCCUUUAUUUGCACCAUCUAUUGAGAUUCUUUAUCAUGGCCAGGUUUUACUGCAGCAAUAAGAUAUGGUGGCAACAAUUUUAUCUAUAGGUGCGGUUCCAGACCGCCUCCAUAGGUGCGGUUCCUGACUGCCUCCAUAGGUGCCUCUUCUUGUAAUGUUUGUUCUGGGAAUUACACUUGAAAGCCUUAUCGUGAUAAGGGAUUACAAACACUAGUUCAGAGGACAGCCAUGUUAAACUUCCACUAUGUUUGUGUCACAUUAUCAGCAGCCUAGUGUUUAUUGGUCAUGCUAUCUGCAACUAAUAUAACCCGGUGAACUUCAAUCUAAAUUCUGAAAGUACUCAUGUGACAGAUGGUGCCUUUCAGCAGAUAUCAUCAAUUUAAAAGUAGUGUGUGUGCCUAUAGGUGGGAAGGCCUUGGCAAAUGUUCAGUAUUCCGGUAAUUCAAGAAGGAUAUAUCUAAAAUAGAUUUUCUUCUUGCCCAUUUCAAUAGUUAAAAUUUGAGAAGAUUGUGUCCACAUCACACAAAUAUUAUUGGUCCUUCUGUUGCAAUUUACCUCUGAACAUGUCUUCCAAUUCCCACGGUCCUGUUACUCCAGGAAAACUAUUUCGGUCAUAUUGAAAAAAAAAAUAUUAAAGAAGGUACACAUGCUUUUAAGUGGACUGGGGCAUUCAUAUCAGGUGGUCUGUAUCCACAUAUGCCACUUCGUGAAAGGUGGAACAGCCUAAUCACUAGGCUAUUUAGUGUGGCCCAGCCACGUUAAUCAAGCACAAGUCUUCAUACUUAAAGUCAAAUGGUGUCUUUAGUCUCAUUACACAUCGCUAUUUGAAGAUUAACUCAUCACUAGUGUAAUGCGAUUAAGACAGUCCUAACUCAAUAUUUGUUCUAGUUUUGGAUGCAAAUGCUUGCUGGUUUCAUCAUUGGAUGGGAUAAAGGUGCAAUCAGGACUAUGAAUACGUGCAGUAAUACUUCAUUCUCUUUUUUCUCAAUGAGACUUCUUGGCACAAUUUUGCUGCUCAGCAACCUACCUUUCCAUGGAAAAUCAGUUGUGACUGAUAGUAAUGGAUAUAUUCUAGAAAGCUAAACAUAGAUAGCAUUCAAUAUUAUCGAUAUAACAUUAACAGCGUAUGUCUCAAUGCUCAUCAGCUACAAGCAAUGGACAAACACUUUGAGUAACUCACAGCAGUCAAAAUUCCUAAACAGGACAGACGUGACAGAUCUAUAUAUAGAACACUGCAUAUGAGUCACAGGAAAAGAUAAUACGGGUACAUAGAAGCUCUUAUUUUACAUAUUACUCAUACUGAUCAAAGUCGCUCAGUUGGGAUGGAUGGGAGAAGGAGGUUUGAGGGGUGGCUUGUGCGGGGAAGUUGGCAGCUUCUUUCCGGGAGCUGGUUGCUUCUUUGCUGGAGUUGAAGGAGGCUUAAUCUUCCGAGGUGGCUUGUAUGAGUCUUCAGCAUUCUCAGCAGGAGGGUGACCAGGGUUGUGACCAUAAUGUGGUGGCUUCUCUCCCUUAGGUGGUUUGCCAACUGGGGUUGGUGGCUUGUUUUCUGGGAGUGGCUUCUCUCCCUUGGGUGGUUUGCCAACUGGGGUUGGUGGCUUGUGUUCUGGGAGUGGCUUCUCCCCCUUGGGAGGUUUUUCGAAUGGGGUGGGUUUGUGUCCUGGUGGUGGCUUCUCUCCCUUGGGAGGUUUACCAAUUGGGGUCGGUGGCUUGUGUUCUGGGAGGGGCUUCUCUCCCUGGGGAGGUUUAGUGGGUGGCUUGUGUUCUGGAGGUGGCUUCUCCACCGGAGGCUUAUGCUCUGGUGGUGGCUUCUCGAAGGGGGGAUGCUCAGGGUAAUCACCAAGUGAGGGGGUGGUGAGAACCACCAUGCCAAGCAACAACACUAGCAAGUAUGUAGUAGACAUCUUUGGGUUUGGACUCAGACAGUGCAAAACUACGAGAAAUCGCUAGCCCUUUAUAGCGGCUCGGACCUAAUACUGACAUAAUAUAAAAUAAAUAUUAUAUUUUAUCAAGAGAGAACAGAGUGUAAUUUUAUCAUUAAUACCGAUCGAGGCCAAAGAAAGAAGACCCAUAAUCCAUUUCCCACAAGCAUACACAAUGCAGCUGUAAUUUUAUCAUUUACUUUUAUCCCUUGGACCACUGCAUUUUUGUUGAGAGACACAAUAACACAUUUUUAUCUGUCAUUCAACAUUUACAGUAAAGAGAGGGCACAAAACGCAAUUAGAUAAAUUAUGUUUUGCCUGCUAAAAAGAGGCAAAUAACUUUAUUUGCAACAUAAUUAUUUUGGUUUCUAGUGACCCCGGGGCCUUUCGGUUGGUUUGGGAUCGGAAAAUGAACAUCAUAGGGGGGGUUGUGCCCUUAUGGGCAUAUAUAUCUGAUAGCUUCAACUGGCCUUGUUCCUAGAAAGAAAUUGCCAAAGAUAUAAACUUAUUCCAGGCUGAAAGUAGAUGAGAGUCAUAAUGAACAUCAACCUUUGUUCAGUUUGAUUCAAUGCCCCCAUAGUGUUCAUUUCACAGAUCUGAAUGAUUAUAUCCGUUGAAUACAUAAAUUAAUGAAGACAAAUAUGAAACCCAAGAUACAUCUCUGCAUAACAACCCCAACCCUGGUUGCUAUGUUUCCCUUCUUCUAUUCACAUGAGGAUACUGGUUAUAAUUGUCAAACUUGCAACAAGCCCUUUGACACCUAACGUCAAUGGACGAAUUAAAAGUCUCCUUCAAACGUCUAUUUCACAGCAUGAAGCUUAUAAAGGAUGCUGACAACCUUCAGAGUUAGCGACAAAAGAUAAUUAUCAAGGAGAGAUAGUUCCAUGAGAAUUCCAAGGAGUCUGAAUCAAAGACAAAUUGCUCACUCAAGGGUUCUUAUUUUCUUUUAGGUACAAAUCUCUUGAGUGUUGUUAAAGAAACACGUCACUGUCAUUUUGAUUUGCAUUUAACAUUUCACUUUUGUUCUGGAAGGUUUGUUCCGGAAACAUAUCAAAUGAGCAUCAUUUUCUUCUUCGGUGACACAUGGUCGCGAGUACGUGGGUCCAUUUUCAUGCCACUUAGUUGAAAAGUUGGAAAGAAAAAACAUGCCAACAAGAAGAUAGUGAGAGAAGGGGCACUUCAAGCCUUUAACAUGAACAAACAGUAAAUAAAAGAUGUUUCUCCACUCAUAAAAGUGUGUUAGAUAGCAAUAUAACGAAUCACAUCCAAAAUCUUUACUAGGCUCAAACAUAAAGAAGACUCAUUUUUAAGAAAAGAUAAAAAUGGCAUUGUCUGAUAGUAUCCAAUACACGAGAUGGCACUUAAUUUGUACAAGAUCUGUCAAUGCUGACGCACAUUUUCUGAUUAAAAAAAAACUGAUCAGUCAAAAGCAAUGAAGAGAAGUGAUGACAAUGAAUGAUGCUUCCAAUAUUUUCACCCCUUAUAGUGUUCUUCAUGAUUCAGAUAUAUAAUUGGAAAUAGAACAACCCUAUGCCAUACAUUCGUCUAAGUAUGGUGUCUAAUUUUUUGUGUCAGCGGUUGCGAAUGGAGCGUGCAAAAGUCCAAAUUGGCGUCUCUCCAUUUCCACAUAGGAAGGUGACCUUUAUUGACAAAUACCCAAUAUUUGUAGACAUUCCUUAAAUAUCAUAACUUCUUGUUGAUUUGAAAAUCAUUUUUCAACUACCAUGUUUUAAUAAAUAUUUUUUAAAAUGUAUUUUUAUCAAAGUCCACCAUGAUGGAUAAUAUUCACCAUGCAAUAAUUAAUAAAGUACAAACUAAGCGAAAUGAAAAGCAUUUUCUUUGCUUUGAGUUGAUUUUGGUUGCAUUGAGUUGAUUUUGGUUUCAUGGUUUUUUCAACUCUUAUUUUGAUUGGAAGAUGUCAAGAAAAGAAAACAUAAAGAAAAAUUAAAAGGGAAAAAAGAAGAAAAAUAAAAAAAAAUAGAUUUAAAAGUUAAUAAAUUAUUUUUUAUAUUUAUUUUAAUUCAUUUCACUUAUUUUUCUUUUACUAUAUAAAAUUUAAAUAAUUUAAAUUUUAUAAUUAAUUUAAUUACAUUUCAUUUUCUUCUAUAUUUAAAUAUUGGAAAAAUAUUUUACUUAAUAUUUUUUUCUUUAAUUUCUUUGGCAUUUUGGGAACCAAACUUAGCCUUUAAAAUAAAAAACAAAAAAAAAAUGAAAAUAAGGAGGGAAAAGUGAGAAAAGAUAAAAACAAUAUGUAAAGGAUUUGAAAAGUAUUAGUUUGUAAUUACUAUUUGGAUUUCAAUAGUAUUUUAUUUGUCUUUCUAUAUUUCAUGUAAGAGAGAAUUUAAGAUAUUCCCCAAGGCAAAGCAUUAGUUACCUGCAAUCAGUGGUGAUAAGGCUCCAAGCCAAUUUUGGGCCCCAUAUCUUAAGACAGUACAAUUUCCAUUUCAACAUUUCUGAUUUCUCAGAUGUUUCACAUACCACAGAAGAACAUUGUUUGUGAAAAUAUGCAUUUAUGUUGGAUUUUGUAUGCUGUGGGGACUGGGGCAAGGAUCAUAUGGAAGAGUGGUUGACUUUUUCUGUACUUUAACGGUUGAAAUAGGAUAAGCACGGGCAUUUGUGAGGCUUAAUUGAUUUUGAAGCCUGAAAUUGCGUUUCUGUCAUUUUGUCAAAAAAAUGGCAGAUUCCAUACUCAUAUGUUUGGCCUGUGGCCAUGUACAGAUGCCAUUUAGUGACCAGUUUGUAACUGUCAAUCGUUGCGUUUUGACUCUGCCUCAACAACAUCUGCCAUUGACGGGUUUUCAUACUUGCAAAUCAAAUAGUCUUUCGUCCCAUCAGGAAUUUCGGUUUAAAUAUUAUUAAGCAUACGUUUGGCUGACAAUCAUUAUCCAGUUCAUGAUUUGGUUUCUUACCCUUAAUCAAUGGUUUCUAAGUGAAUAUAUGUAGAAGGAAAUCCGAAGUGUAGACAGUAGUAUCGAUAACUCUCAAUAUUCUCUAUAUAAUAGAAUAAACAGCGUCAUAGUGAUCGUCGCCUACAAGCAAGGUACAAAUACCAAAACGAGUGACUCACAUAGACAUCUCCCAACAAGAUGUAGUAGUGACUGACACAUGGACACAAUUAACUCGUAGAAAAGGAUAAGACCAUUGCACAGCAGCUCUUAUUUUACAUACUACUUAUGCUAACCAAAGUCAAUUAGUUGGGAUGGGUGGGAGAUGGAGGUUUGUGCGGUGGCUUGUGGGGCGGAGUUGAUGGCUUCUUUCCAGGAGCUUCUGGCUUUUUCAUCGGAGCUGAAGGAGGCUCAAUCUUAUGAGGCGGCUUGUAUGAGUCUUCUUUACUCUCGACAGGAGGGUGGCCAGGGUUGUGAUCAUAAUGUGGUGGCUUCUCUCCCUUAGGUGGCUUGCCAACUGGGGUUGGUGGCUUGUGUUCAGGAAGUGGUUUCUCUCCCAUGGGAGGUUUAGCAAUUGGGGUUGGUGGCUUGUGUUCUGGGAGUGGCUUCUCUCCCUUGGGAGGUUUAGUAGGUGACUUGUGUUCUGGAGGUGGCUUCUCCACCGGAGGCUUGUGCUCCGGUGGUGGCUUCUUGGUUGGAGGGGGCUUGGGGUAAUCAGCAAGAGAUGGGGUGGUGAGAACCACCAGUCCAAGGAACAACACUAGCAAGUAUGUGGGAGACAUUUUUGAGUUUGGGCUGAUCAGAUGAUGCAAAACUAAAGCAUUACGUGACCUUUUAUAGCAUGUAGCUCCCAAUACCCACUAAGUAUUGUGGGGUCCAUUUGUGCCCUACGGGGUUGAAAACUUAGACAAUUGGGCAAGGACCCACCUGACUAUGGAGGACUAGUGAGGUGUGAUCAUAGCUUUAGGAUUUUUCUUCCUCUGCAGCCGUCGUGCCGUUGGCAUGAUUUUCUUAAUCUUAAAUAAAGGCAUAGUUAUAGAGUUGUUUAAUCUCUAAAUGGGAUUUUAUAUAUAUCUUCAGAUAGCCAUUAAUAUAUUUGAUGAAGAAAGAAAGACAAGUGCAUACAACAUGUAUACGACUAGCUUUCAUGGAGUUCAUUUAUGAUCAGUUUUCCUGUACAUGUAAACCAGGAUCAUAUAUAUGUUUCUGUUCCACAACUAUUUUGGAAUCUUGUUUAUCAGUUUUUAUCAUUAUAAUGUCACAUAGGCUGCCAACUUGGGCGCUAAAAGAACCAGUUGGGCUAGUUCGUUUCAGAAUUUCAAUGUGGAUUCAGGAAUUGUUUUGUAAGAUAUGCGAAAUAGUAGAGGGAUGAAUAGUGUUUCAUUAAUAAAAGUGUCCUGUAAAUUAGAAGGUGUCAUAGAAACUAUAAUCAAUAAAUAACUUUUUUUCCCCACGGGUGGUGUUUCUUGUGGGGAUCAGUGACUGGUUUAGGUUCACCCAAAAUGAGUUCAGACUAAAAUUGGUUUGAGUCAAUGCCGUGUCUCUUUUUUCCAGAAAUCAACUAUUUUAUGCAUUGAAUAAAUCAUACAAAGAAAAUAUGAACGCCCGCAAAACCUAAACCCUGGUUGCUAACUUUCUAUGUUUCAGUUCUAUUCACGCAAGAAUAUUAGUUUAAGUUUGGGAAAAAUGGCAACUUACCUAGUGAUUACUUGGUUUUGGUUUGCGACUAUUUACGCAACCAACCAUGAGUUUGACUUUAACGUCAUGGGUUGAAGCCUCCUACAGGAAGGGAGAAAGCUCCACAGCUAGCUCCAAAAGAGAAUUAUCACAUUGAUAGCUCCAGAGAUUCCCAAGGGGACUGAAUCAAAGACAAGUUCCUCACUUUUUCUUCUUUUGAGGCCAAAUAUGAACCAAGGAUCACACAACCUCAUUCAACUUCAUAAGUUUGAUUUCAUGCAGUUGAACACUGGGUGAAGGCCAUGACAAGAAUUGAUUCAAAAAUUCUAUCACUCUUUUAAGUAAUGGAAGAUUAUUAUCUCUGAUUGGCAUCACAACAGCACAUGCUCCUAGAUCUUUCUAGACACUCCAUGCAAUGAAAGCACAAUGGAUCUUGUAACGAUAGAAACUAAGCCAUGCUACAGUACUAGAUGAUGAGGUAAAACUAGUAGACACGGGUGGCAGCCUAUAUGGGAGGGACACAAGUCUAAUUGAUUUGCAUUUCAGCAUUAUAGAUAGGUAUGUUUUGGAAGAUUUGUUCUGGAAAUACCGCACCAAGUAGGAUUCUUUUUCUCUUUAGUGGGUCCACUUGCAUGCCAAUUAACGAGUUGAAAAGUAUGAGCACCUACCUCGUGCUCGUGGAACCGAAGGUCAGUGAAGUGGGGCUCCUUUUGGCCUCGUGUAAACUUGAUUCAGAAGUGAAGUUAAUAGUCUUCCAUUCAGAUGGAUACAUGGGAAUUUUUCUCUUUUAUUUAUUUAUUUAUUUUUUUUUUGUGUGUGUAUGUCAAAGGAUAAUGAAUGAAGCGCGUUAGCUUGUUUUCUGACUGGAACCGCAGAUGUCCAAAUUGGAGUUCCUUCAUUUCUUACUUAGGAUUGUUACAUGUAUAAACAAGGUAUAAGAAAUAUGCCAACGUGUCUUGAGGAGUUAUUGAUUAGAAAUAACAAGUCACCCGACUGUAGAGUUCCAAGAUUUGAAUCUUCAGACCCUAUAGCAGCCUCUGGGGUACGUGGCAUCCUAUAGCAUAUUAAUGAAGGCUUUUUCGAUUUAGACUUCACAAUACCAAUUAAUAUGUAUGCACAAAAUGGAGAUGACCCCAAAAAAAACAGAAUCGCCAUAGUUUAUGAGGUUAAGGUGAUUCUCCACUUAAUAUCUACAUUAGCUAAUUAUGUAAAUCAAAUGAACUUCUAUUUUUCCUUUUUUUUUUUGGUUUAUGUCAAAUAGUAGCCCAUAAUUAACCCAACCAUUAGCCUGUUUGAAUUGAUUUCACAUGCACAAUGUUGUAGUAGUUCAUAUUUUGAAUUUUAUUUUUACAAAGGUAGUUAAGGAAAAUGAAGUAUAAUAAUUAUAAAAGCAGACUAUAUACACUACAAUAAUUGUUAGAAUGGUAUCUCAAAUUCUAAUUUAAAAUAUUAUUUUUUGUAAAAGAAAUAUUAUAUAGAAUAUUUCCUAAUUUUAUAAAUGAUUAUAAUUAGAUCUUUAUAAAAUAAGGAAAGUUGGUAAGAAUAUCUUUAUAAAUAUUUUAGGUCAUGAGAGAAAGAAAUGGGAUAAAAAUGUGAUGAAGAGGUGAAAUAAGAGAGUUGAUUAGGAUAUAGAUGUGAAGAAGAAAGGGAUUCAAUAUAUAUAUAUCUUUCAAUUACCACAUUAAAACCCUGUGAACCUUUUAUAUGGUUUACUUUAUUUUUAUAUUCCUCCUUUAAUAUAUUUACAUUAAUGCUUCCAUUGGCACAACAAUAACGAAUUACAAAUACAAGCAACAAGUCCCAUGUUUUAUUACCAAAAGCAGGUAAAAUCCACCUAAUAUAUUACAAUAUAUUCAUCCAAUAUUUUAGACCAAUUCUUCACCAUAAAUAUCAUAAUGUGGCUUUUGUUCUUUCUUAAAUUUAAAUUGAAUUGUCUUAUAUCAAUUUGUUUGUGAUUUUUUCAUUAACUUCACUUUCAUUUGGUUAUCUUUGGUUUUUGAAAAGUAUUAAGGAAUUAAUUAACAAAAUAAUGUUAAGAAAAAUAAUUUUCUCUCUUUUGAUUUUGAUUUUGUAGUAGAAAAAUAUAAUUAAAAUUAUUUAAAAAGUAUGUAAUUUUAAAUUAUUUAAUAUUUAGAUAAAAAAAAUAAGUCUAAUGAGUUUAAAAUAACAUAUAAAAAUAAUUUAUUUAUUUUAAAUUUAUUUUUUAUUUUCCAUUAUGUUCUCUUUCUCUUUUACUUUUUCAUAUUUUUUCUUACGAAGAAUCAAACACAACCUCAUAUUAUAUGUCAAGUGUUUGUCUAUAUUUGAGCAAUGUUAGAUACGGCCAUGGAUUCAUCAAACUAAACUGAUUUUAAUAGAUACUUCACAAAUUGAUUUAUACACUAAAUCAUUGGAUAGCAAUGAUGCAUUGGAAUUAAACGUAGGAUGAAGCUCGAAGAACACUGUUUGUGUAACAACAUAUUUAUGAAAUUAUGCAAAGGAUGAGCUUCGGGGUAGUAGUACAAGGUCAUUAAUGGAGAGCCGUGUUAAACCUUGAUUGUGAUUGGAUUCCGUUAUCAGCAACAGCAACCUUGUUUGUAACCUUGAAAGUCAUUCUGUCCACAUCGAAACUCCAAUUUGACGUUUGUAAUUACCAUUCCUGGAGUGUUCCUUGAUUGAAAUUUAAAUAAUAAUUGCGGCCCACAAGGAAUAUUUUCGAUUCUGUGGGAAUUUGACAAGGUUUGUUAGAGAAGACUGGUGACAUGUUGACUUCAAUGGUUCAAAUAGGAGACGUAUGUGGAUUUGGGGGGUUUAAUUGAAACUGAGUCCCUAUGGCUUUUUAAUAUUUGCAUUGAGCAGUCUCCAUGUGACUUCCUAAUUCCCACCAACCCUCCUGUCCAUGCUGUGAAACUAAAUUGUAAUUUAUCAGCCUUUGUCAAUGGUUUCUAAAUUAAAGAUAUAGACCAUGCAUGUACUUUAAUAAAAGCAAAUCUAAAGUGUAGAUAGCAGCAAUGGUGACACCCAAUAUUCUCCAUAAAAUAGAAUUAGAAUAAGCAGUGUUACAUUGUUCAUGAUCACCUACAAGCAUACAAGAACUUCCAUGAAUAACUCAUAGCAAUUGCCAACAGGGCGUCGUAGAGACUCAUACAUAGAACACUAUCCACCCAGAGGAAAGGACAAGACCAGUGCGCUGCAGCUCUUAUUUUUCACAUGUAUACCACCACUCGUAAUAACCAAAUUCACUCAGUUGGGAUAGGUGGGAGAUGGUGGUUUGUGGGGUGGCUUGUGGGGAGGAGUUGGAGGAGGCUUUAUUUUCUGAGGCGGCUUGUAUGAGUGUGCAGGAGGAUGCCCGGGAGUGUGACCAUAAUGUGGUGGCUUCUCUCCCGUAGGUGGUUUGCCAAAUGGGCUUGGUGGCUUCUCUCCCUUAGGAGGUUUACCAAUUGGGGUUGGUGGCUUGUGUUCUGGGAGUGGUUUCUCUCCCUUGGUAGGUUUGCCAAUUGGGGUUGGCGGCUUAUGUUCUGGGAGUGGCUUCUCUCCCUUGGGAGGUUUGCUAAUUGGGGUUGGCGGCUUAUGUUCUGGGGGCGGCUUCUCUCCCUUGGGAGGUUUGCCAAUUGGAGUUGGCGGCUUAUGUUCUGGGAGUGGCUUUUCUCCCUUGGGAGGCUUGCCAAUUGGGGUUGGCGGCUUAUGUUCUGGGGGUGGCUUCUCUCCUUUAGGAGGUUUGCCAAUUGGAGUCGGCGGCUUAUGUUCUGGAAGUGGCUUUUUUCCCUUGGGAGGUUUGCCAAUUGGGGUUGGCGGCUUAUGUUCUGGGGGUGGCUUCUCUCCCUUGGGAGGUUUGCCAAUUGGAGUCGGCGGCUUAUGUUCUGGGAGUGGCUUCUCUCCCUUGGGAGGUUUUGUUGGUGGCUUGUGUUCUGGAGAUGGCUUCUCCCCUGGAGGCUUGUGCUCCGGAGGUGGCUUCUGAAAUGGCGGGGGCUUGGGGUAAUGAGCAAGAGAUGGAGUACUG
Molecule: long non-coding RNA, 91085 nt
Filed under: Vitis vinifera (wine grape)
Lineage: Eukaryota; Viridiplantae; Streptophyta; Magnoliopsida; Vitales; Vitaceae
Description: long non-coding RNA (VVIN_LNC001392)
Source: RNAcentral